UUUAAAAGUCCUAUACUCAAAUUUUAAAGAUUAUUCAAUUUCUACCUUCCAUUUUUACAUAAUUUACUUACUAAGUAAACAAUGUCGAAAAAAAUUAAAAUUUUAUUCCUAAAAAUUUCAUAUAUCCCAGAUCAUAUUUAACGGUAUGGAUUAUUAAUUAGAAUACCCUAAAAUUAAAAAUAAGACUAUUGUACUGGAGCUCCGGUAUAUAGAUAGUAUAGUAGCCGAAUUCUAUAUUUAUAUAUCUCAACAGGGAAAUUUGUUGCACAAAAAUAGGGGGAAAAGAAAAGUGCCUCUCAAUUUAGCCGUUUUCACAUUUCCCAUUUUACCCCCUAAACCCCCUCUUCUCCCUCUUCGCCUCUUCCCCGACCAUCUCUCUCUUUAUCUCUCUCUCUCCUCUCUAUAAAAACCGAGCGCUGGAACCCGAAGCGUCCGCGAACGAGCUCGCGAGGGCGCCCCCAAGCGAAAAGAAGAAAAACCCUAAUCUCCCCGCCCCUUCGUCGUCGUCGUCGUCGUCUUCGUCCUAGGGUUCUCUCGCGGGAAUGGGCGCGACGAUCCUCCCCGAGCUCCUCACGGAGAUCCUGAUCCCGGUCGCGGCCGUGAUCGGGAUAAGCUUCUCCCUUGUGCAGUGGCUCCUCGUCUCCCAGGUCAAGCUCUCGCCCGAGCGCCAGGGGGGGUCGCCGCAGGGGGGGAAGAACGGCUUCGGCGACUACCUCAUCGAGGAGGAGGAGGGGCUCAACGACCACAACGUCGUCGUCAAGUGCGCCGAGAUCCAGGCCGCCAUCUCCGAAGGUGAGAGAGAUCGAUCGAGAGAAGGGGAGAGUUUGCAAUUUGAGUCGAGCUCUCGCGGUGUUUUUACUCGAUUUGAGCGUUGGUUUAGGGGAAAUUUGUGUGGAGGGUUUGUUUUUGGGUCAGAUCUCGUAGUUGCUGAAGUAAAUAAAAAAGAGAUUUUUUUUUUUCCUAUUGUUUAUUAGAUCUGCUGUAGCUACCGGAGUUUUCUACUUUCUGUUGUUUUUAAGCUAUUUUUUGUGAAAAAUUCCCUUUUAUGUUUUCCUUUAUUCAGAUUUUACUCUUAUAGCUGCUCUGAACUGAUUUCCUAAAAUUUUUCUGUUUUCAGAUUAAAAUUGAUAUUUUGAAAAAAUUUUCGUGCUCUAAUACAAUGCGCGCUUCUAUGAUAGUUUGAUAUUUUGAAAUCUUAGUUGCUGAAAUAGUCUCACUUGUUUAGUAAAGGUCAUAUUUUUAAGAUACUCUUAGUUUUUUUUUUCUUUUUAAUUUAUAUUCUAUUGUUAUAUUUGAAAAGUUUUCUUCUUUUUUUUUUUUUUUUUUUUUUUGCAUAUUUUUGUUUUCCGCCAUCUGGGAUUUUUCUGAUUAAUGCCCUGUUAUGUGGAUAAUUAUUGUGGGUGUUCGUUCUCAUUUAAAAGUAUUCUUAUGGGUUUUCCUUUAAAGAUUUUGUUUUAUUAAUAAUUUUUUUAUAUUAGACAUGCCGAGAAGAUAAUAGUUGCUGAUUUAGUCUUUGUUGAUGGCUUUGAAAGAGAUUUUACAUCAAAUUUUUAUGUUUUUCUAGCUCAUAAUACCUGCUCUGAUUGUUGACUUAUUCUUACUUGAUGAUUGCUUAUGACUUAGUAUAUUUGAUGACAUAUUGAAUGUGUUUAUGGAUAUUGAGUAAGUACGAUACGUCGUAAUGAACACUUGGAUACUUUCUAUUACGUUCUCAUUAGAUGCCAUACUCAAAUACUAUCUAUUCUGUGGUCAUUGUAUACUUUUUCCCCAGUGGGAUGAUUGGAGAUGGUCAUUGUAAACAUUUAUGAAGUAUAACCUUGUACUCUUUUUCACAACAUGCUAGUAGUAUUUUCUUUUAAUCUCUAGGUGGGAUUGGAUUGAGGUCAAUUUUGUACUGUGUUUUCCGUGAAACUUGUCUCAGGAAUUUAGGCUGUAUAACAAGUUUGUUUGUACAGCACCAUCCUCCUAAAUCUGCUGAAUCGCAGAUGCAGUUGCGAUACAGUGCUGAUUGGACUCUUUAUCUUCUUAUUUUUUACAGUCAUUCAUUUUUCGCCAAAUUGUGGUGAUUUACUUGCUGUUCAGAUCUAAUCUGGGUGGCAUGUGUUUUAUUUUCUAUUGGCCAUGAAAGAAGAAUUUCGUAGCCGCAGUUUGGUCACGUGCUUGUAGAAAUCAUGCUUUAUUUCCCCUCCUUUUCGUAUCUUUUUUUCUCAUGCUGCAGUAAUUUUUUUAUCUGUCCCCCAUCUUUCUUGAAAAUUUUUAUUGGUAAUCUUGUAUCAUAUUUUUUUAUCACAUUUCUGUAUAAUGCACUCUGUUGUUAUUUUGACUUUAACUAAUUAUCUUGUAAGACAUAGGGAAAAGCAGCUUGGAUGGUGAUUGAUUACUGAAGAUUAUAGCUGUUUUCUUUAUUCUUUUUUCUUUUUCUUUUUGUGGCUGAAAUUGUUGCUUCUUUCAAUUGGACUUCUUAGGUGGAUCAGGCUUGGGUGGCCCUCAUUCUUUUACUAGUCAUUGAUAAUCUUGCCUUAUUCUUAAGCGUUUGGUUAGGGGAUGGGGAUAGGAAUAGGCCCUUAUCCCCCCUUUAUACCCAAACGCUAAUUUUUUACCCGAGAAUAGUAGUUCUCGGUUAUCCCCACCAACACCUCCAUUUUCUAUAUAAAACUACCUAAAAUUGUUCUUAUUCCCGGGAACAACCCAAUUUUCAUCCAAACACUAUUUUUCUUAUCCCCAUACUUGUACCUAUCCCUGUAAUAGCUAGUUUUUGCUUAUACCCGAACCAAACGGUACUAAAUCUUAAUACUUACUGUUUUGUUGUGUUUUGCCUUCUAUAUUGAAAUGCAGCGAAUUAACAACUAGACACUCACAUGUUGCUAUCUGGAAUUAAUAGAGUUCCUUUGGUUGGACGUCAUUGCUUGCGAAUUCUAUCCCUGCUUUAGUAUCUUCAUAAGUACUACCAUUUGUCCUUUUCUGGUAUCCUAAGUUUCUUGUUUAAAUAGACGGCGUCUUAUCCUUAGACGUCCAAAUGUGGUGUACAAUAUUUUAAAAAAAAAAUUAUCCUAAACGUGGUGUAUAAAAUACUUGAACUUACCGUAUUAGCAUUUUUACCCACCGUAAUUUUUGUAAACAGGAGCCACAUCUUUCCUAUUCACGGAGUACCAGUAUGUCGGGAUCUUCAUGGUGGCUUUUGCGAUCCUGAUCUUUCUCUUCCUUGGCUCUGUGGAGGGUUUCAGCACAAAGAGCCAGCCCUGCACCUACAGCAAGGACAAAACCUGCAAGCCGGCCCUCGCUAAUGCUAUUUUCAGUACUGUGUCCUUUUUACUCGGUGCGGUUACCUCCGUAGUUUCUGGCUUUCUUGGCAUGAAAAUCGCCACAUAUGCCAAUGCUAGAACUACUUUGGAAGCUAGAAAGGGGGUCGGAAAGGCUUUCAUUACUGCGUUCCGCUCUGGCGCGGUGAUGGGUUUCUUGCUUGCUGCGAAUGGGCUUCUCGUGCUUUACAUUGCUAUCAACUUGUUCAAGUUGUACUAUGGGGAUGACUGGGAAGGGCUUUUUGAGUCUAUUACUGGUUAUGGACUUGGGGGUUCUUCUAUGGCCUUGUUUGGUAGAGUUGGUGGAGGUAUCUACACCAAAGCUGCUGAUGUCGGGGCAGAUCUUGUUGGGAAGGUUGAAAGGAAUAUUCCUGAGGAUGACCCUAGAAACCCGGCUGUAAGUUUUUCUGUCCUUGCCUCUGUUGAACCUUUGUUAAUGUUUAUGUUUGUUCAGGAAUGCCAUUUAGUGUUAGUAAUUGGGCUUUUCCAUAUGUCAUUUCGGUACCCAUCUUAGCACAUAUUGCACUUUCCAUUUAUAUUUUCCAACAUAUUCUACAUUUUCUAGAAUUCGUUCGAUGUUGCUGUUGAGGUUGACAAACAUUUGUUAUCUUCCUAUAGGUCAUUGCUGACAAUGUUGGUGAUAAUGUUGGUGAUAUCGCUGGAAUGGGAUCAGAUCUUUUCGGCUCGUACGCUGAAUCUUCAUGUGCUGCCCUUGUUGUUGCCUCAAUUUCUUCCUUUGGGAUCAACCAUGAGUUCACUGCAAUGGUGUAUCCCUUACUUAUUAGCUCGAUGGGUAUCAUAGUUUGCUUGAUCACCACUCUUUUUGCCACUGACAUCUUCGAGAUCAAGGCGGUGAAGGAGAUCGAGCCUGCUCUUAAGAAGCAGCUCAUUAUUUCUACUGCCCUUAUGACUGUUGGGAUAGCAAUUGUCAGUUGGCUAGCUCUCCCGUCGUCCUUCACCAUUUUCAACUUUGGCGCCCAGAAGACUGUGAAGAACUGGUAUGUGCCAUGUUUUAGUUAAUUCAUUUUGAAAUAAUUGCAUAUUUAGCUCGGCAAAAAUAUCACGGUACAUACAACCUGAAAACCUGAAUUUGCAUCUGUACCCACUUUCCCCACAAACUGGAUGAUUCCCCAACUUUUAAGUUUUUGUGGGUAUGUGAGAAAAUAUGGAUUUUGAAGGGAUAUAUGUAUGCAUAUAUGAUUUUCGUAAGGGUAAAGCCAACUUUGGCAACUAAUUUUUUUUAUUGCUCAUUAUUUUCUUUUUGCUCAAUUUGGCAGGGAACUAUUCUUCUGUGUUGCAAUCGGUUUGUGGGCUGGUUUGGUCAUUGGGUUUGUCACCGAGUACUAUACGAGCAACGCUUAUAGGUAAAUAUUAAGUCCUCUAUGUUUUUCAUAUUUCUGACGUCUUUCCUUUUUGCGCAGAUUUAACCUUAAUUUUCUAUUACAGCCCUGUGCAAGAUGUUGCUGAUUCCUGCAGAACUGGAGCAGCCACUAACGUGAUCUUCGGGCUUGCUUUGGGAUACAAAUCCGUGAUCAUCCCUAUUUUUGCCAUUGCUGUUAGCAUUUUCGUUAGCUUUAGUUUAGCCGCCAUGUAUGGUAUUGCAGUUGCUGCUCUUGGCAUGCUCAGCACAAUUGCAACUGGCCUUGCCAUCGACGCCUACGGACCGAUUAGUGACAACGCCGGAGGCAUUGCUGAGAUGGCGGGGAUGAGCCACAGGAUCCGUGAGCGAACUGAUGCUCUUGAUGCUGCAGGAAACACCACAGCAGCCAUCGGAAAGGUAUGUUGAGCUGCUUUAUUAUUUUCCUGCUGCUCUUUUACAUCGGCGGUCUUGUGUUUUGAAAUUAGCGCCUGCUCCUUUGUUCUCAAUCUCGAUCCCAGAUUCUAUAAAUGCGAUGCUCAAAUUUGAAAUCUGCUCAAGAGAAUUUUUCCUAGAUGUUGUUUUUCCUGCACCUCAUUAGCAUUUAUAUUCUUUAGUUCAUACGGUGGGUUAGCAUGAUAUUUUAGUGCCCUCAUUAAACCAUUUAGACAUCUUCUGAGAUAUCAAAUUGAUUCACCAUCAGUAUUGCUAAUUUAACCAAAUUCUCACAUCAAAAGAAAAUGCAAUCAACUUACUAUUUUUCCUCUCUAGGGUUUUGCCAUUGGUUCUGCGGCCUUGGUAUCCCUCGCACUCUUUGGUGCAUUUGUAAGCCGAGCUGCUAUCUCCACCGUCGAUGUUUUGACCCCCAAAGUGUUCAUCGGGUUGAUCGUCGGUGCCAUGCUUCCCUACUGGUUCUCAGCCAUGACCAUGAAGAGUGUCGGCAGCGCAGCCCUGAAAAUGGUCGAGGAAGUCCGACGGCAAUUCAACACCAUUCCCGGCCUCAUGGAGGGAACUACUAAGCCCGAUUAUGCCAAUUGCGUCAAGAUCUCCACUGAUGCCUCCAUUAAGGAGAUGAUCCCUCCCGGCGCCCUUGUCAUGCUCACCCCACUCGUCGUCGGGAUCUUCUUCGGCGUCGAAACCCUCUCGGGAGUUCUUGCGGGCGCUCUUGUUUCUGGUGUUCAGGUUAGUAACAUUUCCUUGGAUCCAUUUUUCUUUGAAGAGUUAGUUUAUCACUAUAUUUAGGUUAAUUGUAAUUCUCAUUUCCAAGUUAUGCUCCAGUUUGAGAACUCCAAAUUGAAAUAAAUUAGAUUCUAAAGUUUGUUUCUUGCAGCAAUUAAAUCCUUCCACCAUUGCUCUGGAUGCGAGCAAUGAUGUAUCAUAUUUUUCUUUUUAGAACGGGGAGAGUUGUUACAUGAAACGAGCUUCAAAGAACAUAUUAUUGAAACUGAAACUCUUAGCCAUGCAACCAAAAUUUGAGUUCGAAGAUCAGGAACCCGCAAUUUUACUUCAUUUCUGAUUUUUUUUUAUUCUUUUUGUAUAUUUUGCAGAUUGCUAUCUCUGCAUCCAAUACUGGUGGUGCAUGGGAUAAUGCGAAGAAAUACAUUGAGGUAAUGUUAUUAUUGUACACCAAAUAAUUCAAUCUGAGGAGAAAUAAAAGAAUUCUCGGUGCAUCAAUAAACAUUUUUCACUUGCUGUGAUUUGCUUCAGGCUGGAGCUUCGGAGCACGCGAGGAUGCUCGGCCCGAAAGGUUCGGAUCCCCACAAAGCUGCUGUGAUCGGCGACACCAUCGGAGACCCGCUCAAGGACACAUCCGGGCCGUCGCUCAACAUCCUGAUCAAGCUCAUGGCCGUCGAAUCGCUCGUGUUCGCUCCCUUCUUCGCCACACACGGCGGCCUCCUCUUCAAGAUCUUCUAAACAGAGGAAGAAAAAGAAAGCGAAGAAGACGAGUCGGGCCAAUUUGCUCUCUCUAUAGUAUCUCUCUCUGGUCCUUAAAUCCUGAACUUAUAUUCUCUCAUUUUUAUCGCCGAUUUCGAAACUGUAGCAGUAUAAUGAUGAGUUGCCGGAUCAAUUUGGACAAAUAGUUGUUGAAUUUUUCCUUUGGUAGGUAAAUUAUGAUGAUGAUGAUGAUGACGACGACGACAAUGAUCAAAUUUCAGAAUCAGUUAUAAUCAGUUUUCGUCAGAAAUGUUUAUUUGGCUAUUUUAUCUCUGUGCUCUCAAUGUUUUUGCAUUCAUUAAGUUGCUUUUAUGUAUAUUUCAUGAUAAUUGGAAGGUUAAAAUGCAUUGCAACCCCCUCAACUGUAGCAAUUUUUUAAUUAGAUCCUCCAACUUUGUUUAUUUUUGUUGUUUGAUUGUUUAAAUUUUUUUUCAACUCUUUGUGACUAGAAUUGUGAAACAUAAUUGCUACUAAAUUCAAAAAAAAAUAAUAAAAAUCUUUUGAUGAGUGGGGAUCGAAAAAAUUUGAAGCUUGGGGUUUAUUUUGUGGUUUUGAACUUGGUCAAAAUCAAAUUGAAAGAGAAUUGUAUAUGUUUUAGUUUUUUAUUAUAGUUAGUAGAUAAAAUAGGGGUAAAUUACACUUUUGGUACUCAAACUAUGUGUGGGUAACACUUUAGUCUUCAAAACUUUAAUUCGGUGCAACUUUUGGUUCGUAUUUUCUGAAUUGUUGCAAUUAAGUUUCACAACCUAAUUUUUUGGACUAAAAGUUUAUAAAUUAUUAAUGUAGAAGUAAUAUAGCAAUGUCGUAAUUGAUGAUACGACGAUAAUUAAGAUGUUAUAUCACUUCUAUAUUAAUAAUUCAUCAAUAUUUAGUCAAAAAAUUUAAAUUGUGUGAUUUGAUUGUAAUAAUUCAAAAAGAAAUUACAAUGAAUUAAAGUUUUGAGGACUAAAGUGUUGCAAGCCUCAUAGUUUGAGGAUCAAAAGUGUAAUUUAUCUGAUAAAAUUGCAUAAAUUGCACUAUUAGUCCUCAAACUUUUAGCUACAUUUCAUUUUGGACCUCAAACUUUUGUUUUCCAUAUUAGAAUAUCCCUAAACUCUUUAAAGAGUUUUAUUUUAGUUCCUACACUUAUUACUAUUUAGAAUAAACUAAUUUAUUACUCUCGGUGCAUCUAUAUAUUCAAUGCAUCUGUGUAUAUUCGGUGAUAACUUAUUCAGUAUAAUAUUAUCACCCAUGAUUUGGUACAAUAAUAUAUUUCUUAGUAAAGUGAUUUAACUUAUUUCGAAAAAAAAAAUGAUAAAACUGAAUAUGCUAUUUUGUUUUAGACAUUUGACGUAAUCUAUUCUGAUAUCCAAAUACUGAAACCUGAAAAAGUUUAGAGACGUAUUUACUAAAGUUUAAACGUUAGGGGGAUGUUUGUAUAUUUUCCCCUCACUGUUGCAUAGAAUUCCUUGUCCUGUACCUGCUAAACGGACAGACUGCACACAUCAUAGGAACUAAUAAUGUUCUCAGGCUGCAGGCAAAACAACAACUGCUAACUCUCAAACCUCCUGCUAUAACACCAAACUCCACUCUCUCUCUCUCUCUCUCCUUUACUUGCAGAAGAAGCAAAAUAAAAAGCUUUACAAACAACCAACACAACUCUCUCUCUCUCUCUCUCUCUCUCUCUCUCUCUUUUCAAGCUCUGGGUCUUUUGCUCUUAUGAUUUGUGUUUGUGAGUGUACUACUGAUGGAUACAUUGAAUCUCCAUAUAUAUAUAUAUAUAUAUACUCCUAUUGUUACUCUCUAGUUUUAUAUUUUAUAUGAUCCUUCUAUUAAGGUAUAAUAUUGUAUAUGAGAAGCUAUUCUUAUCAGAGUUUCUGCCUUUCGUCCGUAAAAUUUGAGAUUUGAUUUAUGCUUCAGCAAAACUCUAGAUUUUCUUAGAUUGCCGGAUGCUUUAGUAUAGAAACCAGACAGCUGAAAACAAAACCACAAGUAGGGCCAAACAGGAACAUGGAGGUAUGCAUGCAUGUCACAAGGUGCGCCUUUUCCUUUCCCAUGUUUGAUCAACCCUUCAAUUAUUGUACCCUCCAGAGUUUGGCGAACUUAACAUAGUUUCUGAGGAAUAUCACAAUCCAGCAAAAUGAAAAGUAGUUUGAGACAUGAGAAACCGUCAAUCCGCAAAACAGGAAGAGAAGCUCCAGGGAGUGAAUUUGAUCUUGAUCGCCGCGGUUCAAAGGAAACAAUCAAUGAUCAAGGAGUUUCGAGCGCUGCGGCGGCGAAUCCUAUGGCUUUCGAUCCCCGUAAGAUGAAGAGGAACUCCGCGAUCGAUGUCCGGCGCGAGUUGUGUGAAAAGAUCCAUGCCAAGAUGCAGUUUCUUGAAGAGGACACAAGGCUCAUGAAGGAGGCUAUUUUGGAUUGUGUGAAGGAUAGGGACAUCCUCAUGAGUGAGGUAUCUCACAAGCUUCACAUGAUAAGAGAGCAUCUAAGUAUAAUAAGCUCAGAGUGUAGGCUUGAUUGUCCUCCUAGGGUUUGCUCAUUUGAUCCACUCAAGGUAGUACCUGAUCUUUUAAGGAAGUUUCCUAUUUAUAUAUAUUUUGUCAUUUUAUUCUAGAUAAAUUUGCUUAAUUAUAUGCAUUUCAAGUAAUGUUAGUUUGUUAUGACAGCAUAUGCAUAUUUUUUGCAGACUCAGUGUGCAGAAAAUUUGUGCAUACGGCUGAUCUGACCGUCUAUCUAAAAUAUGAGAGUCAUCUCCGCUAUUGAUGAUGAUCUAAUAAACAACCGACAAAAUAGUUUUAAAAUGACUUCUGCCUUAAUAUGUAUGGUUAAAUCAAGCGAUGCGUAGGAAUUUCUUGCACAUUAGAUCUGCAGAGGAUGUGAACCCUUAAAAAAAAAAAAAAAAUCUAAGCUAAAGUGUUAUAUUUUCCAUUAACUACCACUUUUCUCUUUUUUUUUUCCCUAUAUAUUGAGCUUAUUUAGAAGAGUCUUUUGAUUCUUCUAUCAGUUUUUACCUGUCACAAUUAAGAUCAUUCACAUAACAGCAUCUGGAUUUUUUUUUUUUUUUUUUUUUUUGUUUCUAUCUCCUUCCUCUCUCUUUGAAAGUUUUCAAAUUUUGUUUUUUCUUUUUUCUAAUUCAAGCAUAAAUCCAUCCAUACAUUUUCCUAUUUCAAAAUAUUCACCACUAUUUGAAGCACCCUAUACUGAAUCUUAUGCACAAUUUUUUUGUUGUGUGCACUUAACACAAGUUCCCUUCCACAUGCUAUAUAUAUACUUAUCAUCUUUGCAGUUGCUUCAUUAACUGUUUUGAUAUUAGUACCAUGCAGGAUGAUAGAAAAGAUAUUGGAUUACUGGGAGUGCUACACCAAGAUCUAACUCCAACACUCGUCGCGCGACGAGCGAAGAAAAUCAACGUCGACGCUUUCGACAACUAGCCUGAGCUGUUUAAACAUGUAAGUUAGUUCACUGAAAAAUAGGGGACUCUGAUCAGAACAUGGAACUUCAUUUGUAAAGCUAGCAUACAAUUCAAUGGAUUGGUAUUUAGUAUUCCAAACUUAUCAGAUAGUUUACAGCAUUUUUUUUUUAAUGCUAUUAUUCUGUAUAAAAAUUGACAUUGUAUUUGUAAAAUUGAUUUUUGAAUAACUUUGGAAUUCAUAUUUUGUUUUGUAGCCUUACAUAGCACAAAAUAGUAAAAGGAAUUUGAUUAUUCCGCACCCUACAACGGAUAUACGAUUUUGACAAAUAUAUUAGAGUUCUCAUAAUAAAAUAUGUGGGAACCCCAGUUGUAUUGUGCCAAUUUCGCCAAUUUCAAUAAGAAAAGUAAAGCACUCUCAGAAAGAUUAUAAAUUAAAAAAAUAAUGGCCUUUAAAAAGAUAUCAUCCUAUAAUCAAACACGCAAAAUGUACUGAAUUGACAAAUAAUCCUUAUGAGAUACGCUGAGACCACUAUUUUUCUAAUGAUUUUAUCGUUGCAACUUACAUAUUUUUUAACGUAUGAGACCUGUUUGGUGAAGCGCGCUAGUGCUGCACCACAUUCACUACUGCAAAAAAGCUCUAAUUUAAAGUUUUUACUGCAACAUGCUCUGCACUCUGUCUGCACCACAAACUGAUUCUACAUUAUCACAGUUUGUUAACUUCUACAUUCAACCAAAUGCUUCACCUGAAACCCCCCAACCAAGCAAAAAACCAAACUUUUUGUACCAAUAUUUUCUCCUUUUUCUUUUUUUUUUUGCUCCUCACAAAAAAGUCACAGUAAGUAAAUAAGAAGCCCAUCCACACUCAAAAAUAUAAUAAUUUUUUUGUUUUACUGUCGCAUCAUAUGCUAAGACAAGCUCUGGAACAAUAAAACUCAAACAGUAAACUUUCCUCGGGCGAGGCAGAUGCAUAUCCAGUGGAUCCGAAAAAUCAGCAAAUUACAAACAAAGUUCCAAGAAAAUUAAAAACACUUUUUGAGUCCUCAAAAUGGCUAACUCUCAAUCAAAAGAUACGGAAAAGUGCAACUAUGAUUCACUCAGGAUCUUGUUUCACCAUUCUGCUUACCACAAGAUAUUGGUAAUAUCCCAUAAUUCUUAACAAACAAACCAUAAAUAGAUCAACUUGGCAGUUUUGGUAUCCAAUGCGGCGACAAAUGAAUGUGAAAUAUCAAACUCGUAGAAAGACCUCUCGAAACAGAGUCCCUGCCUUGUGAAAUGCUUAUAGGAAAAAAAAAAAGACAAUUUAGCCUCUUCGAGGGCUUAAUUUAAGGUACAACAAAAGGAACCCUAAUCUGGUUCGCGGAGAUUGCAUUGAGCAUUUGAGAAGCAACUUUAGUCACAAAGGCAAAAUCUGAUGUACCAACAAGAAAACAAUUAGGACUGCUGAUUUAAAUUAUGUCUUUAUGCAUGCUUGACGAUGUGUGAAAUAUUUUACAACGCAGAUUCCAAGGGCGCUUUCCGAAGUUCAAGUUACACUGAAAUCCUACACACGGUGGUGCGCAACAUGAACAACGCCACCUAUAAUUUUGUCAUAUCAAAAUUCCUAUCUGCCCGCUAAGAAGCUGCACCUGGGUCGUUGAUAACACCCAAGAAGUCAUCCUUUAUCGUCCCAAUGCAGAACUGCACAUAUAGAAAAAGAAAAAACAAAAAAAAAAGAAGAUACAAUUAUGUAUGCAUAAUCUAGAAAUACAUUAAUAAUCACACCAUUAAUUAUCUUUAUUUUCAUAGUAUGCCAGUCUUAAUGAAGGUAACAUUAUGCACCAAACAUCAAGUAGCUCAUAAGUACUUCGCCAAGUCAUAGGAAGCAGAAAAAUGAACUAUCAGAAUCUUGGAAGCAAAUCUGUCUAUCCGAUAAUCAAAUAUCAAAAUAUAAAGAGCAAAACACUACAGACCAUAGUUUCAAAAUAAUCAAGAAAAACUCGCUAUGGAAUUGCACAUUAUUCUAAUAACUCGGCCAUAAAUCUUUCUUUCAAAUGAAUCUAAUUAAGCCGACUCCGCACAGGUGCUUUAGCAUCAACAUGGAACUUCCAUUAAGAUUACUUGAAAAUUAUGAAAUUGUCAGCAUCGUUUUAUGUACAGAAGUAGCAUUUUAAUGGAGAUCUCCGAGACCAAGCAAUAGAUAUAAAAAUAUUGAACGUGCUUUGAGGUUACAAACUUGCAUAAACUCGUAAAUAGAGUUCUUCCGGCAUGAACAUUAGCCAUGAAACUUGACUAAAAGGAACAGGAGACGUACAAUCUCUGUGGCAUCAACACGAGUCCCAAUAAUCUUUAGCCGGACCUCACUAUCCUUUUGUAUUUUCACCUACAAACCAUCAAUACAAAGAGGUUAGCAAAAAAGAAAAGCAUGCUGGCACAUUUUAUUCGCAGCCUGAAAAAAGAGCAAAGAUCCAUUCUAAAAGAAAAGUAGUUAAGGUAAAGAAAUUUGUUAUUAUUGAAUCUUGACUAAAUUAAUGCAUGCAUUAUCAAUUCAUACAUCUGCAUACAUGCAUCUUAAACUUCUAAAUCCACAUUAUGUCAGAACUUCAACUACCCAAUGUAUCAUUAAUGUUACAGAAUGUUGCAAAUGUUAAAUAUGCUCUUCAAAAUUGUAAAAUAUUGCUUGCGUUUACUUACAGAUAAUUAUCAAGAAAUAAGUGUAAAGCCCUCUUCUUUAACCUACCUUUCUCCCGUAUUUUCUUUUCUUGAUCACUCAACCAAUUCUAAGCAAAUGAAAAGAGGUAUCUAAUUUUUUCCAACUAAGAUCCUCCCUUUCAUGUUGGACAUGGUGACUCUCAGGCAUGCACCCAAUCAACACACCCAUACCCAAAAGGAAAAAAGUUCUCUAUCCAGGUAGUGGUGGCCUUGGGUAGAUUUAGUGAGCGGCAGAACUUAGGCCCAUUUAUUCCAAAACUCGCAGUGGCAUGAAGUUCUCUACCCUGACCCAGUAUUAUGCCUCUCAAAUCACUCCAAACCAGGCCGAUUCUGUAGCAUGAGUAUUGUCAUCCUUCAUUCAGUUUUGUGACAGCCAAUCCUGCCACAAUCUACACGUUCUGAACAAUAAAGUACUCAACAAUCAUAUCUACAUAUUACAAUAAAAACCUCUGUUGGGUUAGAUUGUAAGCAAUAGGGCAUCAACAAUCAUCAAAAUAUGCAUAGCAAGGUCAAAUACAAAUUGUCUUGUUUCUUCUUCUAAUCAUUCAGUGAACAAUUAGUCUAUUACCAUAUACCACUGAAAGUAUACUUUCGAUUCGUCUCAAAAUAGUCACAGCCACCAGUAGAACUCAUUAAGAAAUAAUGAACAGAGUGAACUAUAAUCCAUGCCUUCUCACUCAGUUAAAAAGAUUGAAAGCCAUAAUUCAGCCAACAUGCUAGAACUCAUAUUUCAGUCUGAUUCCUGUUUUUAGUGUUUCACUUGUAACUGUGAACAUAUAAGAAAUGUAGGAAAAGGAACAAAGCAUACCGAUCCAUCAGAUGUUGUAUAGUUUGGCAUAUCUCCAGACUGGAACUCCAUGUCAUCAGGGAUCAACUGAAAAAAAAGAAAAACAAAGAAACAAAAAACAGACAGCAACAAAGAAGGUAUCAGCAACAAAGAGGGAAAAAGAGACAUUAAAUUCCAUCAUAUCAGACAAGAGCCUACUACAACUUGAUCUACAGGGGUUUCUCGACUUGUACCAUGCCAAUCUUAAUUCCAUACCUUUCAAGUUAAAACCCAUGAGGCUACAAACUAAAUUUAUGUGUUUUCUCAACUAUUUUGUACAGAAAAAUUGUAUAUAUAUAUGCUAUUCUGAAAGAGACCCUUACAUUCACUUUUUUUCUGAUUGAGCACCACCUUUUGAUAUGUUUAAUUUCAGUGGUUGAAGCCCCAUCAUGAUCUUUUGAUUUAUAUAACUUUAGUCAAUCAAAUUGGGACAUUUUGAUAAUCUAAAGUUAUCUAACAAUGAUUCUGCUAAACUAAAUGACUUUAACCACUGUUUAGUAAAUGAAACUGCAGAUUUCACUAACAAUUAACGGCUAAUAGCUACAGCUGACGCUAAAUUUUAAAAAUUCCCACUUUAACAAACUAGGGCAACUUGAAUCCAGAAAAUAAAGUCGUCAAUUUCAAACCAGCCUAUAGUUUUAGGUGUUUCAUCACAUUUUCACUUUUUUUUUUCCUUUGUGUGUGUGUAUUCUACCAUGCACAUACCUAAACCACUCAAACAAAUUACCAAUUACAAGAAAACAACAGAAACAAAAAUUCUUACAUGAUUCGAAACGAAAAUCUGCACCGGCCCUGCCUCUGCGAAGAAACCCAUCUGCGGAAACAUUAAAACAAAAAAACGAAUAAAUAAAUAAAUAAAUUCAUCAAUCCAUCCAUCCACCACGCCUUAAAAUCCCGAAAGAAACCCUAAAUGGAGAUAUCGAGAUCGAGAUCGAGAUCGAGAUCGAGAGACCUUGUUGACCAUGGUGACCACGGCCUCGAGGAUCUCGCCCUUGAAGGGGCGGAACACGACGCACUGGUACUUGACGGGGAAGGUGACGAAGCCGGUGCCCUCCCUGAUGAGCCCCUUCCCGAUCUCCUCCACCCCGGUGAUCGCCACCACGAACCCAUGCCUCCCACUAAAACCGAAGCAAAGAAGAGAUCGCCGAAGGGGGUUUAGGGUUUAGGGCAUCCUCUGUAAGAGUUAGGGUUAGGGUUAGGGUUAGGGUUAGGGUUAGGGUUUUACCUGCAGGUGCCCUCGACGUCCUUCAUGAGCUUGGAGACGAGCUUGUCGCGGAGGUGGGGCCCGAAGUGCCGCGGGUGCAGCUGCAUGUUCCGCUCCAACACGAUGUGGAAGAACAUCUCCUCUCUCUCUCUCUCUACUUUCUCUCUCCUCUCUCUCUUAUUACUAUUUAUAUAGGUAGGAAUAAUUUCAUAUGCAUCCCUACGGAGUUUUAAAAUUGCUGAUUUAUCCUUGCAAAAUUUUAAUUAGAGCAAUACUUUACGUGGCGUGGCGGGCAAUUCAACUCGAUGUUCGCGAGUCUGCUCAUGUUCGAUUCGAAAUAAAUUCGAGAUCGUUCGAUUCGUUUAAUAUUUCACCUCGAAAUUUUAAUGAGCAAAACACGAGAUGAGAUAAGAUCGCUGAUGAUCGGUUUGAUAUAGUUUCGAGUAUAUAUAUAUUAUAAAUUUUUUCUAUUUAGAUUUUAAACCAAUUCAUAUGUGAAAAGAAUUAUAUUUUGUGCAAUUUUUUAUAGAGUAAAAUUCUAAUUUUUAAAUUUACUUGCAGCUUUUCAUCUAGUAGUAGGGCUAUUAUUUUAACUUGCUAUCAAAGAGCUGAAUUUUUCACCUCGAUAUUUUAACUACUCUGCUUGCGCUAGGCUCGUGUAAUAAACAAGCAAACGUGGGCUCACUUGUAGGAGUUUUGAGCUACUAAACCUACAAAAUUUUUAAAUAUAAAAAUAAGUAUUUAAAAUUUAUAUUUAUAAAAAUAGUUUGAUAACUUUAAAAAUGGUAAAUGAUUCACCGCUUUUACUCUAAUUUGUAUAUUUUCUACCUCCAAACUUUAAAAGAUGUAUAGUAUUAAAUAUUAAAAAUAGUUUCAAUUUUUUGAAAAAAGCGGUGAAUGAUUUACCGCAUUUCGAAAGUAGUAAAUGAUUCACCGUAUAAAUCUAAUUUUGUAAAUAAAUUUUCAGAUUACUAUUUUUAUAAUUAUAGUAUUUUCUUAGUCUAUUAAUAAAAAAAAUUUCUCUCAUGUUCAGCUUGUUUGAUCCAGUAGAUUCCAGUCAUGCUCGAUAUCAGCGUUUUAAAAUUUUUUAGAAAACCUUGACGAUACAGUACUUGACUAAUUGAAUCGAUGCCGAAAAUGUCAAAUCCUCUGAAAGAGAAAGUAGGCAUUGCGUAUAGGAUCGAAAUAGCCGCAGCCAUGGAGAACGGUAGUGAGUGUGGUGGAAAUGGACUUAAUACCAUACGUGGGCAUAUAGGAGAGGAGGUUAGGCACUAAAGUAACGAAAGGAUAAAGAUUAGGGACUAACGGUGCAAUUAAUUCUCAACGCUAAGGAUCUGAUUGCAAAAAAGUAAAGAGUUGGGGAUGAAAACGAAAAAGUUAGCACAGGAACUAAACUGCACGAAACGUAUAGUAUAGGGACCAUAAAUACAUUUUACCUUAUUUCUUCUGUUCUUGUUCUCUAUAUAUAUAUAAUAUAAACCCUCGCGACCUCGUCGUUCUCUCUCUCUCUCUCGCUCGGCCCCGAAAACGAAACCCUAAUCGAGGUAGGGGACGCGAAUCCCUGCGAUUUCUCCUCUAAUCCCUUCUCAGUUAUUAUCCUUAUUAAACCCUAAUCGGUUGGAUCGUUGUGGUUGUUGCAUAAACCCUAGAUUUCGAGCCCUUGAUUCAUGGAUCCGCAGCAACCCGAACCUGUGAGCUAUAUUUGCGGAGGUAUAUGUCUCUUUCCUUGUGAUUUAUCUUUUGUACUGAUCAUAAUGUAUUGAGACGCCCCCUUAACUUUAUUUUCUUUUGAUUGAUACCUCCUUGCUUUUUUUUUUUUUAUUUGAGUUAUUCUACUUGGUUAAAUUGGGGAUUUUGUGAAUUUAAUAGUAGUUGUUGACUGAUACAGUUUUGUUUGCUAAAAACCGAUCAGUGCCAUCAAAUUUUACGGAAUCGCUGUUUGAUUUAGUGAAAUUCUCAAAGCAUUUGGCUAAAAGCACACAAAUAAAAUAAAAUUGGAAGUUAGAGGGGGUGUUGAUAAAAAAAAAAGAUUGACGGAGACAAAAUGGCUAGUAGUUGAUGGGGUCUAAAUACAUUUUCACCAAAUAAGUUUAUAUUAGUGCCCAAUUUCUAUGAUAAAAUGAUUGAACUGGAUUGAUGACUAGAUUGUGGGGCGGAGAACACGCUGAAGCCCGGCGAUGUGAUUCAGUGCAGAGAGUGUGGAUACCGCAUCCUUUACAAGAAACGCACCCGCAGAAGUAUGCGUACAUUGAAUUUCUUUUUUUUUUUUGCUUGUUGAAGUAUGGUGGUAUUUUGUUUGUUCCUGUUAUUUUGAUUCAGUUCUUUGGUUGGAUGUUGCUGCUGAUGAUGUGACAUGUCUCAAUUUCAAGCAUGCUUCUUGCUCUCUAUUAAACAUCUAGGAAAGUUUCGAGCCUCAUGCAUAAUUGCACAAGUCCUCGAGGAUUGGCUCAUCUUGCUUCGAGUUUCUGGCUUAGACUAUCAUUCCAUUAAAAGGAAAUAUUGUGUGAAAAGCAUAAGACGUCACCUAAUUGGACGAGCUGUGUUCAUGGGGCAAUUUUUUUUUUCCUUUUUUUUUUUACGAAGAAGCAUAAAAGAAAUUUGUCUACAUCACAGUGCAUAUGUAAGUACUAUUAUUUCAAGGAAAUUACUCAUAGGUUCAAUCUUUGAUGCAAACCGAGAGGUUGCCAAAAUUGAAUUUUCAAGUUUGCUUUUGUUUAAAGGUAUUUCUUGAAAUAAACUAGCUUCAAUUUAUCGAUUCCGGCGAACUUUACUAUAAUUAAAGCAAGGAAGCAAAAAUUUCAGCAAGAUGAAAAAUUAAAAUCGAAUUGAAGCAAAACUAAGAUAAUGAUAAACCUUCGAUAUAUGAGAUAAUAACAACCAACUGAAAAUAUAUAUAAUAGUUUCAAAAGGUAAAUUCGGCUUUAUCGGACUUAAAGCUUUAGGUUUGGUUGUUUGGCAAAUAUGGUUGAUAAUGGUGAAAGGCUAGAUUAAAAGGGGAUAAUAGGAUGUCAUGAGAUGAGAGAUACAAAAAGUGCACCGUUCACACGAUUGCGGGGGAUCCACGAUCGACGAGGAGGGCGGUACACCACGGGUAGAACUUCGGCAACGGGGAAGAAGAAGAUGAGGUAGUGACUUGGAAGAAGAGGAGAGGUAGAAGUAGAAGCCGAUCUUGUCAUGAGGAAGAAGUGACAACGAUCAAGUUGAGGAAGAAGACGAUCUCGGCGCGAGGAAGAAGCAUCGAUGAUCUCACCGGGAAGUAGAACACCAAGGAUAAAGAGUAAGAGUAGAAUUUUCUAUUCAUCCAAAUAUAUCUCUCAAGGCUUCAAGAACCAUAUAUUUAUAGUGUUGAGAGCCUUCUGAUAAUAAAUUAUUGUCUUUUCGUUUUCAACAUAACACGGUCACCCAAGAGUCAUGAUGCAUAGAAAACGAAGCAAUUUUGAAAAUUUCAAAGGUCUUUUUUUUAUUUUUUGGGGAAUCCCAAAGGUCUUUUUGGUAUUGUUUUUUUGUUUAUGGGAGAAAAGGGUUUGGGUUAGCCAAAUCAACUAAAACUAAAUGAUUUAAGUCCGAAUCAAACACAAACCUACAAAAUAAAAGAAAAUUGCAUUCGAAAAUAAAACGAGAUUUAUGCUGCAUCAAUCUUUGAUGACCAGUCCGAUGAUCAAGCAUUAUGUUUUGCUAUGUAUUUUCCUAUAUGUUUAUUUCAUGUAUUACGGUACUUAUAAUAUCAAGGAAUUAGCGAGGGCGAACUUGGUCCUCUCCCCAAGAAUCCUAGGUGAGUUGAAUCCUAGAAGAGUUGCGGCCUCAAACUAGUGAUUGCAUACUAUACAUGUUAGAUUUAUCCAACUGCUCAUUCUAUUCCGCACCAUACUCUUGACAGCUCAUCUUUUAUUCUUGUCGAGUCUUUAGAGGUGUGUUUUUGUCCCCUUUUUUUUUCCUAUUCCUUUGAAGUUUGGACUGAUGCAAUUGUUUUUCUUGGGCCUAGAUGUAGAAAGACAUAAACACUGAAAUCACGUUGUUUUCAUUUUUGUCCUUCUAUGGUAGCCGUCCCCAUUUAAUGAGUGUUUGGUCGGAAGUGAAUGUUUGGACGCCGGAUGUUUAAGUUCUUCAUUCUUAUCAUAGAAUCACGACUCUGUGUACAACAUAUUGUGACGCUGUUUAGUAUUAGGUUCUGAUACUUUUGAGUUGAAUGGUGGCCUGUUUGGGCAAUUCAGUCUUCUUUGAUAUAGGAGCAAAAUGGAUAUUUGAUUGAGCCACAAUAUAUUCUGUUAGGGCAACAGGAUAUGCUUUAAUCAUUUCAAAAUGGACUGUAGUCCAGACCAGUAUUUUGAGCCCAUCCAAAGGGGUAUUAAUGCAAACUACUGAUACUGUGAUAUCAUAAUGUCUUAAUACUUUGUUUUGAAAUUGCUUCGUUAUCACAAAGUAAUACAUGCCGUGAGCCCGUGCUGAUUUUCAUCUAUUUUAGAUUUUAUUUCUUUAUAUUCAUCUGCCUCGCCUGUUUUAAUCCGUUAACACUCCCUUGGUCUCCUACUAACUUCUGUCAUCUUUGUUCCAGUUGUUCAAUACGAAGCACGCUGAGGAUGAAUGCAGAUUAAUUUCGCCGGUGAGAAACGCUAUGUAUGUUUUGUCGAACUUGUGAUCUAUAACGUAAUAUUGGACGUUUAUCAGUCAGAUCAAAUUCUUUUCUUGCAUUGUUUACAUGGUGUAGCCGUGGUUGCAUGAUUGUUCUGUGAUGUGUUUGCGACUUACACUCCGAGGGAGUUCGGUUUGCUAUCUGUUGCUGAAUCUAGAUAUAAACAUGGCAUCGCACUAAUAUAAAUCUAGAAUUAUUUCAUGCUGUAGCAUAUAUCUGAGGAUGAUCGAGCUUUACCUCAAAUAGUGUAGUCUUUGAGGUCUAGAUCGUAAUUUACUGCAAGGCCCUUGGCAUUUAGGGGGGUGGUAAUUAAUAGAGCAUGCAGGACAGUUGAGGUAUGAGCUGUUGAAUAGUACUGAAUGUUGUGCUGAGAUUCGCAUGGAUGCUAUUCAAUGAAUCAUAGAGUCGUACUCCUGUUGUCCUAACCAAAUUCUUUUCCACAUUUAUGUGGUUUCAUUAGAUGGGAGUGUUGAUAUGGGCAGUCACUUUGCAAAAUUAUCGUCACUCUUUCUCGGUAGUGUACUUGAAAAAAUCUUAACCUCUAUUGUUUGAUGCGAUUGUGAUAUGAGUUGCAGGUAUGACGGCGUCGGCAUACACCAAAACUACACUUGAAAUUUGUAUGUUUGUUCUACCCAACUUUUGCUUCCUCUCUCAUUUUUCGCUUUUCGAGUGAAAGCUCGCAGGCAAAUUUUAUUAAACUAGAGAGGUUUAGUUGUACAAGGAUGUAGGCAAUGCCAGUGUGUAGAGUUAACACUGUCUCCAAAACUCAAAUAGCUGUGUGCUGAACCAUUGAAGAGAGAGUGCAAAGUUACAGACCACUUCAAACUAAGUAUCUUUAGAUUCAAAACAGAGAACCUGUGAGAUUAAUGCAUGAAUAAAUAUGUAAGUGCUAUGUUAGAGUGACACCACCAAAGUUCUUUACAAUUACUGGAGCAUCCUCUUGCAACAAAAUUGACUUUCCCUAGUAUCAAAAGAAAAAAGAAAAAAAAAAAAAAAGAGGGAGAAGCUUGAGUAUCAUUAAAUUGGUAAAAGUGUAUGAAAUUGGCAUCAACCAUCAUCUAUUUUGACCUCAUUCUUUAAUCUUUAAAAGUUUUAAUUUUACUAUCUAAUCUUUUAAUUUUUUUAAAAAAAUGUGAGCCUGUUAAUGAUUUUUUAUGGCUUUAAUUGAUAUAUAUUAUAUAUGAUUUAUGUAAUUAUAAAUUUAUUGAAAUAAUUAGUUAGCUUAUAUUUAUGUUAGAAGAGUUAUCAAAUAAAUUAAAUCAAAUAAAUAGAAGAAUCGUCAAAUAAAUUAAAUCAAUUAAGUAGAAACUUUGGAUAUUAAAAUCAAACAUUUUAAAAGAUUGGAUAGUCGGAGUCCGGUUAUAAUACUAUCUAUAACAUCAAGCAUUUGGCACUACCAAGUUCUGCGGUUAGAUCUACCCUUUUAAACAAAUUAUGUCCGUUAGAUCAUACUAUCAAUCAACUACUCACUCAGCCCUAAGGAAUCACUAUCAUUCUAACCGCACAUCCCUUCAUUCAAGGGCCGAAAAUCUAAUAGCACCACUGACUUAGUUCUUUUAAUAAUAUUUUAGCCUAGUUCAAAUAGUCGAAGCAAAAUGAUCUAUAGUUUAGAUAAGUUCUGUACAUUUUUACCCACUGAAUAUCGCAAUUGUAAAAUUGAGUAGCAUAGUUGCCUUCUCUAGGGUAUCUAAUCUUUUAAUCCAUAGCAUUAUGGAGGUUCAAAUCUUUACCUUCAGUCUUCAGAUCAGAUUCCAAUUCCAGCGUCCCAUGAUGAUCAGAUUGGGUUACUUUUUGUGUAGUUGAUACAUUUUUUAGAGGCUGUUUGGUUAUAUAUAUCCACAACUUUACUAUAGUUAUAAUUAUUUAUAAAUUUAAAUACGGUAUUUGGUUUGAUAUAUUUGAAUCUAACUAUUGUUAGAGCUGCACGGGAAGGUUUAACUGCAUUAUGUUUAAAUUGACCGCAAUUCUAACUGUAGUUAAACGAAAAAUAAUUCUAUCUUUCUAAUCACAUUUUACAUAGAAAAUAAUACUUUUUCUGCAUGAGAGGUAACCUCAGAGUGAUGAAACUUAUAAAUGCAAAAUUUUCAAAUGCAUGCAGCCAAAUAAAUUAUUUAUGAAUGCAGCACUUUCUGCUACAUUUAAUCAAACAAAAUGCAUAUAGUUAAAUGUUGUUGCUGUAUUUUUUUUUUUUUUUUUACUUGGUAAAAAUGUACAAAACUUACUUGAAUUAUGAAUCAUUUUGAUUUGACUAUCUAAUCUUUUCAAACUUUUGAUUUUAUUAUUCAAGCUUUUAAUUUGUUUGAUUUGAGUUAGUCGACGACAUUUGACUUUAAAAUUUAAGAUACUUGAUUAUUUUAAUGAAUUUGUAAUUGCGACAAUUACAUAAAAUAUGCUAACUAAAUCUGUCAAAAUAAAUAAUGCAAUUCAAAUUUGAAACUCAAAGUGUCAUCGACUGACUCAAAUCAAACCGACUGAAAGGUUAGUAAAAUCAAAAUUUUGAAAGCUUAGAUAGUGAACUAAAACUGGUUCAUAGUUUAGAUAAGUUCUGUACUUGUUUACCUUUUAACUAUAUGCGUAUCCAGUUACACCAUGUUACGAUUAUAUCUAACCACGGCACCUCAAAGGGGGCUUUCUUGUUAGAAGUAGGGAUGCAAAUGGAUCCCGGUUAGUGGAGCUCCCAUUUCGAUCCGCACCGAAUGGGGCAGUAAGUGGGAAUAAAAAAUAUUAAAAAAUGUAAGCCGUCCAGAUUCGUUCUGAUCCGUCAAGUAAAUGGAAUGAGAGACAGAAGAAACCACCACCCUCCCUUUUUUUUGCAAUCAGAUUCAUAACCUCUAGUAUUAAUUUCACAAUGGUCCCUAACCUUGACCUAUUUUUUUCACUUUGGUCACUAAACCAUUCACCUAUAAGCAUGCUCAUUGCAUCAACCCUAAUCUCACCAAAAGCCCAAUGUAACAUUCUCCGCGACUGCAACCACCUUGAGCGCAGCUACAACCACCUCGAUCUUGCACAUGAUGCCUACUGCCUCAUUCGCAACAUCAAAUUAGACGUGCCACCGAGCUCUUUCGAAAACUUCGAAAAAGUCGGCGCCAAAAUCAACCGAAAAGCUACCGAUGAUAACCGUGAUCUCCACGCUAUCACGACUUCAGCGUUUUUGUUCACAAAGUCCGUACGGUGCCCGCAUUCCUGCUCGAAGAUGGACAAGCCUAACUCUUUGUUGUUAGCCUGGACCUCAGCCUCGUUCUCUUUUUUUUUUUUUUGCGUACUCAGUCAUAGAACGCGGAGAUUCAGGCUAGCAAUAAGGAGUUAUGCUUGUCCUUCUUCGAACAGAAAGAUAGGCAUCGCACGGGUUUUGCAAAUAAAAAUGCUAAGUCGGUGACAAAGAGCUCACUUUCUCAAAAACAGGCCCUCUGCCAACAUCAAUAAAAAUUGAAUAGUUGGGACCUAAUUGAAUCAGGAUAUAGUGGUCACACUACGAGAGAGAGAGAGAGAGAGAGAGAGAGAGAGAGAGAGAGAGAGAGAGGAGGAGAAAUGUAGACCAAGAAGUAAUCCUUCUCCUAAUAACAAUAUCUGUAGGAAGAAUCCCUACUCCUUAUCAAAGUUGAUGAUUCCGAGGAGAAUAAAAUCGCACUUUUGGCCAUCUUUCCGAAUAAGGUAAAAUUACAUUUUUGGUCAGCAAACUAUCGAGUGCGUCAUAUUUGUCCUUAAACUUAUUUGUAAUUACUGACUCAAAUUUUUAAAAUUGUUGCAAACAAGUCCUCUGUCUUAAUUUAAUUGAGUGAAUGAUAAUGUACCAUUGAUGUGUGGCUGCCACGUCAUCAACAAAAAACUGCCAUAUUUCUAUCCUAUUUGCCAUGCGUCACCAUUCACCCAACUUAAUUGUACCGCAAGAUUUUAUUGCAAUAAUUUAAGAUUUUAUUGCAAUAAUUUAAAAAGUUUGAGCUUAAAAUUACAAUAAAUAAAAGUUCGAGAACCAAUACACAACUUAAUUGUACCGUAAGGCUUUAUUGUAACAAUUUAGAAAGUUUGAACUUAAAAUUACAAUAAAUAAAAAUUUGAGAACCAAAAUACUCCGUGCCUCAUUGUUUGAGAACCAAAAGCAUAAUUUAAGCCUUCAAAAUAAUCUUAUCAAAAUUGUUUGAGUUCUCGUGAAGUCUUAAAGUCAAUAAAUAGAGUCCUAACAAUCACAUAAAUCAGUUUCUUAAUACAUUUGUCAGAACAGGAGAGUACCAAGUACUUUUUCAUCCUCAAAGCUCAAACUUGAAAAAUCUGUGUAAUGGAGAAUUUGGUGCCAAUAAAGUAUCAACAGUCAAGUGUCAGCACUGAAACAGGUAGCAGAUUUAUGCUUGCUGAUAAUGUAAGACAUGGUAGAGAGACUGGAAACUAAAAAGCCACUUGAAUUACACAACACAACAAAAUGUCCACAGCAAUAUGAUAUUCCAAGAGUUAAAAGAACACAAAAUAAGGGAAAUCUUAAGAGGUGCAUUCACAAUAAGUCAUUUUCCUAUUUCCCCUACUGUAACCCCUAACCACACACUACAACCCCAACCCCCCCCCCUAAAGACUAUUCCUCCAACCAACAAACUCCCCCCAUACUAAAACACAAAGCUGUAAGGAACCCUAAAAUUUAAGCAACCAACAUUCUUUCCCCCCCCCCCUUUUUUCAGGUCAUUUCCUCUUCUUAGAGGGUGGCUGGGGCAGCUCCUCAUCUUCUUCGUCGUCCUCAUCCUCCUCGUCCUCGUCCUCACCCUCCUCAUCAUCGUCAUCGUCGUCGUCAUCGUCGUCUUCUUCGUCGUCGUCGUCGUCGCUCCCCCCUUCGCCGUUGGCCUCAGGGUCAUCGUCGUCUUCACCUCCUUCAUUCUCGUUCCCCUCGUCACCCGAUUGCUCAUCCUCGCCCCCAUCAUCGUCCUGAUCCUCCCCAUCAUCGUCUUCCUCUUCAUCCUCGUCGUCGUCGUCGUCCGACUCGCCGUCGUCCUUGUUCUCGGGAACGGUUUCGCUUUUGCUUUUGCCUAGUAUCCUUCUAGAACAAUCAUGGUUUGAUUGUGAGAAUUGAACAAAUAUAAAAACUAACAUACAGCGUUUGGUUGUGAGACAGAUGAGAGAUAUGGCAAAAGAAAAGAGCGAGAGAGAAAAGGAAUUUACCUGUAAAUUACUUGUGGCUCUUCCGGACAAGGAACGACCUCACUCGGCAACGAUCCCAUCUGAAAGAAGUUGCAUAGUCGUGAGCAACUAAACAGUAAAAUAAACCGGAGGAAAAAUUAGCAAACUAUUGAUGACUAUAAUGCAAGAACUCUAAAAGAUCACAGUAUACUAACAGAGAAGAGGAACAACAAAGAAAGACAACAUUAUGCAAAUACUAUGAUAAAAGUUGAUAGCAGUACAGCUAGUUUAAAGGAGCAUGUAAAAAGAAAAAUCUAUAAGAGCAACAAACAAUGUUAUUAAAAUGUGGGAUAAUACGCUUAAAAGAAACAAUAAUCUGAAGCUGAAACAUAGAAUUUUAUUAAAAUUUUUUAAAAAAACAAGAUCUUAUAAAUUCAUAAUGCAUGAAAGAAAGAAAGAAAGGUGGAAACGAAAAGCAGGGUAAGAAAAGGAAACAAAACAAAUACAGAAAUAUGACGCCAAUGGUAAGUUCAAUAAUGCAGCUACAAUAUGUAUACCAUGCACGCUAAGCAUCUAGAAUAAAGGUCGCAAGAAUGUUAAGGGUUUAGAUAUUGGAUACGCAUAAAACUACAAGCCAUAAAGGUAGCUUGGCAAGAAGGCUUUUCAAAAAUUAACACACAAAACACGUGCGGGUGCGGGCGGGCGCAUGUUUAUCUGCAUAUGCACAUGCAUACAAACGCACGUGAGGAUGGAAGAAACCUCCUUCGCGUGCUACCUUUACGCUUUAACGCUUUUUGGCCCUUGAUGUUUACGUCGACCAUCAUGUUGAAUGCUGACUUGGACUGGUUAACGACAACGAAUCACAGUAUCAAACCAACAACGGUUUUUCAGAGGGAGGAAAGGCAAUGCAUGUCCAGAUGCGAAAAAAACCUGUAAGAAUAAUCGAUAACAACAGCAGGGAAAUCAUAAAAACGACGUCUUUUCACGGGCACUUAAUUUUCCACCCCAACUUAUUAUCUAAAAAUGAAAAUAGACAACAAAUUUGCAAAGAAUCCUUGAAGGAUUGCAAGUGCAAAUCUUGUAAUAUUUUUAUAAACACUAUAAGAUUUUUAUACUUCAGUGGGCAAAGUGUAAAUUGCUACAUUUUAGCCUUUUAAUAAAAAAUAUGUUUCUUUUCCCACUAAUUUCACAACCAAUUCCUAUAAGAUCCAAACUGGAUCUGAGGACAAAAUAUCAAUUUCAAAUAUAAGGCAUGCUAAAAUAGAUUGUAAAAACACUUCCAUAAAUUUUAAUCUCUACUGAAGAGAGGAAAUAAAAACACAAAAAAAAAAAAAAAUUCAAGCCAAACAUUGAAGGCAACAAAGAACAAUAAUGGAGAAAAAUUUACUACCAUUCAAAAUAAUUAAGAAACAUCACAGAUCUAAAACUUCAACAAAUGUCAUAUAAUUUGUUGAUUUAUUAAAGACAACAAACAGACUAAACUAUACCAAGUCCCAAACCCUCGUGCCCCAAAGUAUGGAAGUUCAAAUGCAUCAUAAUUUCGAAAAAAAAAAAUUAAAAUAACCUCAAACCCUAAACUAAAAUCCAACUAUUUUCUCAUACAUAAGCAACAAGGAUCUCAAAUCCCAUGCACUGAGCACCUUAUUAGACCCAAAAUUACCUCACCCAGAUCACAAAAUCAGAACUCUUAAGCACCAAAAAAAAAAAAAAAAAAACCUAAUUGUUACCCAAAUUCACAGCAAAAAAACGCAAAAAAAACCCAAAAAAUCGAGCUUUUCAGGGCGAGAAACAGGGAAAACCCUAGCGGGGGACGAAAAAGGAGAGGGAAACGCACCAGGAAUCGAUCGGAAGGGUAGAGAGAGAGAGAGAGGAGUGGGGGGGGCGAAGGAGCGGUGUCGCGAUCUCUACAGUGAGUGGGAGAGCGGUAGGGUUUGCGAAGCUCGGGCUAUAAAGAGGGGGGCGUUGAGAGGGUCGGGGUUAGGGUUGAAUUAGGGUUUUUGGGUGGUGUUAGGGUUUAGGGUUUGGGUGAGGAGGGGUCGGGUGCGGCGUGCGUGUGUGUGUGGUUUAAAUUUUGUGCGUGCGCGUUUGUAGGGUUGUCAACGCGCAGAACGCAAGUGAGCUGAGGCCGACUUGUUUCAUAAACACGUCGAUCUUAAACUGGCUCAUUAAAAUACUGAACCAAAAACUUCAGCUCAUAUUCAACUCAUUUAUUAACGAGCCGAGCUAGCUCACAAAUAAUAAAUUUUAUUUAUAUAUAUAUAUAUAUAUAUAGAGUGAGGCUACUAUGCUAUCGGAAACACGGAGCCUUCCGUGCUUCCAGCUCGUUUUCGAUGUUGCGACUUUCGAAUCGUCGAUCGGCUCCGUUAAACUUGAUCUAGAGUAUUUGGAGUACCUAGAAAAUAAAUUUUAUUAUUUUUCGAUAUCAUUUGCCUAGUGAUCGAAGGCACUCAAGAAUCAACAAAUUUCAAAUGGCCAUAGUGAGCCGUUUGCAAGUUUAACGUGUAGAAAUAUCCAAAUCAUGUGAAAUUUUGAUAGAAAAUCUUUUAUACUAUAUAAAACAAAAUCAAAUCUUUGAUUUAAAAUUUCAAUGUCAUAUUAUUACAUUUUGUAAGAUUUUUAUUUUCAGCCGUUGAUUUGAGCACUUCGUUCACUUAGGCAAAUGAUAUCGUAAAAUCAUAAAUUCAUUUUCUAGAUACUUCAAAUACUCUAGAUCAAGUUUAGAGACCGAUCGACGAUUCGAAAUCGCAAACAUCAAAACGAGCUGGAAGCACGGAAGGUUCCGUGCUUCCGAUAGAAUGAGUAGUCUCACUAUAUAUAUAUAUAUAUAUAAUAUAUAUAUAUAUAUAUAUAUAUAUAUAUAUGCUGGGCUACUAUACUCAUAUGAGUAUAGAGGCUCUUUGUACUCAUAACUUUUUGCCCGUUCAGAUAAAGAAUGUGCGGCCAGGAUGGAGUGAUUACAGUUAGAUUGAUAGUGGGCCCCCUAGGGUUAGUGGGUGGUUGGUUGAAUAGUAUAAUUUUAACGGGUAAAAAUGAUUAAAGGGUGGAUCAAACGGCCAAAAUUAUAGAGUACAAGAGCCUACUACUCAUAGAGUAUAUAGUAGCCGAACUCAUAUAUAUAUAUAUAUAUAUAUAUAUAUAUAUAUAUAUAUAUAUAUAUAUAUAUAUAUAUAUAUAGAUCUUGACUGCGGCUACUAUCGGUAGUAAACUGUUCGGUUUACUUACCGAUUUGAUUUUUUGAUGAUAGAGCUUCCAAAUCGACGAUCGGCACCGUUGAACUGAUCUAGACCCAUUUAAAUUAUCAAGAAAUCAAAAUUUCAUGAUUUUUCGGCAUCACUAACUGAACGAUCAAAGGGUCACAAAAAUAUAUAAUUUUAAGGGCCGAUAUGGUGCGUUGUGCUCGUUUAACGGUAUAGAAGAAUUCAAAUCAACUAAAUUUUUGUUAAAAAAUUCUUUAAACUAUUUCAAAUUAAGAUCUAGGUAUCUAGACUCUCAAAUAUAAAAAUUGUGAAUCCUCACUUUUUGAAGAUAUUUAUUUUCAGGCCAUUCAUUUUUUUGUUCACUUGAUGGACAAGAGAACAAUAUCGAAAAUGUGUGAAAUUUCAUUUCCAGAUAGUUUAAAUAGUUUAAAUCAUGUUUAACGUGCGAUCAUCAAUUGGAAGCUCUAUCAUCGAAAACAAAUCGGUAGUAAACCGAGCCAUUUACUACCGAUAGUAUUCUAGCCAAAACUAUAUAUAUAUAUAUAAUAUAUAUAUAUAAUUAGGCUAUAUAUAUAUCUAUAGUACCGAGCCGGUACUAUAGUGUUUGUUUUCGAUCUUACGGGUGUUCAAUAUACGACCACACCGUUAAAUAUGAUCUAGGGUGAAUUAUUGUGAGAAUAAAAUUUUAGUUUUUUCGAUAUCGUUUACUUAGAAAAUAAAUUAUAUCAAAAUAGACGUGGAAAUGAAUAAUCUUUAAAAAUUUGAGCAUAGGACCUUUUAAAUUCAAGAUCAAGAAUGUUAACCUUUAAUCUAUAUAGUUUAAAGUAUUUUCUAUCAAAAUUUAAAGAAAUUUAGAUUCUUCUACACCGUUAACUCUAAACUCGUCAUAAAGCCAUUGAAAAUUGAUCAAUUUUGAAAUAGUUUGAUCAUAAAGUAAACUAUAUCGAAAAAAUAUAAAAUUUUAUUUCUAAAAACUUUAAAUACCCUAGAUCAGUUUUAAUGGUGUGAUCGUUGAUUUGAACGCCCUAAGAUCGAAAACCAACACUAUAGUACCAGAGCUCGUACUAUAUAUAUAUAGAUAUAAUAAUAUAUAAUAGAUAAUAUUAAUAUAUAUAUAUAUACAUAUAUAUAUAUAGUAGGUCUUGUGUGCUAUUAGGAGCACGGAGGCCUCCGUGCUCCUAAGCCGUUUUCGAUUAUGGAGCUUCCAAAUCGACGAUCGGCUCCGUUACAUUUAAUCUAGUGUAUUUGAAGUAUCUAGAAAAUAAAUUGUUUGAUUUUUCAAUAUUAUUUACCUAGCGAUCGAAAGGAUUCAAAAUCAAAGGCUGAAAAUAAAAAUCUCAAAAAAAAUGGUGAUAUAGCGCUAAAUUUUCGAUCAGAGAUAUUGAUCUUGCAGUAAAUAGUACAAAGAAUUUUCUAUCAAAAUUUUAUCUGAUUUGAAUACUUCUACAUCGUUAAACUUGCAAAUGGUAUAUAUCAACCGUAAAAAAGUAUUGAUUUUGAACCCUUUUGAUCGCUAGGUAGAUGAUAUCGAAAAAUCGCAAAAUUUAUUUUCUAGAUAUUUCAAAUACGCUAGAUUAAGUCUAACGAAGCCGAUCGUCAAUUCGAAAACUCCAUCAUCAUAGGAGCACGGAGGGGUCCGUGCUCCUAAUAGCACACAAGACCUACUCUCUCUCUCUCUCUCUCUAUAUAUAUAUAUAGUCCGGCUGCUAUGUUAUUAAUAGUACCAAACAUUUGGUGCUAUCAAGUUUUCUGCCGUUAGAUUAACCUCUUUAAUUAUUUUUACCCGUUAAAUUAUACUAUUCAACCAACUACCCACUCAACCCUUGGGGACCCACAUCAUCAUAACCGCAUAUUUCUUAAUCCAAUGGCUAAAAAAUUAAUAGCACUAAUAACUUGGUGCUAUUGAUAGUAUUCCAGUCUAGUUCUAUAUAUAUAUAUAUAGGCCGUGGCUACUAUACUAUUAUGAGUAUUGGAGUCAUCGUACUCAUAAGUUGUUUUCAAUGAUGAAGCUUCCGAAUCGACGAUCCACGCCGUUGAAUAUGAUCUAGAGUAUUUGAAAAUUUUAGAAAAUAAAUUUCGUAAAUUUUCGAAAUCAUAAUAAAGUCCAUCAAGUGGGCAUAAAAUGAACAGUCAAAAUCGAACGACGUCCUUAAAAAGGAUGAUCGGAUCCUUCAAUUCAAGAUCAGAGUUAUUGAUCUUUAUCUAUAUAGUGAAUAUAAUUUUCUAUCAAAAAUUCAACAAAUUCCGAUUCUUUUACACCGUUAAACUAGCAAGUAUCCCAUACCGGCCGUUAAAAAUUGUCAAAUUUGUGACCUCUUGAUCGUAAGGUAAAUGAUGUCGAAAAAUUAUAAAAUUUGAUUUCUAGAAGUUUUAAAUGCUGUAAAUAAUGUUUAACGGUGUGGUUCGUCGAUUCGGAAGCUCUAUCAUCGAAAACAACUUAUGAGUACCAGGGCGAUCGUACUCAUAAUAGUAUAGUAGCCGAACCAUAUAUAUAUAUAUAUAUAUAUAUAUGAGUCUGGCUACUAUACUAUCGAUAGUACCAAGCCCUUGGUACUAUUGAGUUUUCUACCGUUAGAUCUACCUUUUAAUCAUUUCCACCCGUUAGAUUAUAUGAUUAAACCAACCACCCUCUCAACCCUAGGGGACCACUAUCAAUUUAACCGGGGACCACUAUCAUCCUAACCGCACAUCCUUUCAUCCAACGGUCGAAAACUCAAUAGUACUAAGGGCUUGGUACUAUUGAUAGUAUAGUAGCAUAAUUCUAUAUAUAUAUAUAUAUAUAAUUGAGCUCCUAUACUUUUAAAAGUACCAAGUCAUUGGUGCUUGUAAGUUUUUAGCCCUUGGAUUAAGGGAUGUGUGGUUAAGAUGAUGUGGGUCCCCUAGGGUUAAGUGGGUAGUUGGUUGAAUAGUAUAAUCUAAUGGGUGAAAAUAAUCAAAGGCGUAGAUCUAACGGUAAAAAAUUUACAAGUACUAAAUAUUUGGUACUUUUACAAGCACCAUAGUCGGACUCUAUAUAUAUAUAUAUAUAUAGAAUUAGGCUGGAAUACUAUUAAUAGUAAAACGCUCUUUUUGCUAUCAAGUUGAUGAUAUUAGUCGGUUAGAGUUGAGUGGUCCCUCUAGGGUUGAGUGUUCCCUACUGGGUUAUAGUAUUUAACUCAAUGGUUAGAAAUAAUGAAAAGAGUUGAUCCAAAGGCUAAAAAACUGGUAGCAACAAUGGGAUUUUGCUACUAAUGGUAGCCCAGUCCAACUCUCUCUCUCUCUCUCUCUCUCUCUCUCUCUCUCUCUCUCUAUAUAUAUAUAUAUAUAUAUAUAUAUAUAUAUAUAUAUAUAUAUGUGCGGCUACUAUACUCUUAUGAGUAUAAACCCCUUUAUACUUAUAAAUUUUCGGCCGUUAGAUCUAAUCCUUUGAUCAUUUUCUUCUGUUAAAUCAUACUAUUCAACCAACCACCUACUCAAUCCUAGGGGACCACUAUCAUCCUAAUCGAAGAUCGCUAUCAUCCUAACCACACAUUUCUUCAUCCAUCGGCUGAAAAUUUAUAAGUACGAAAGGGUCUAUACUCAUAAGAGUAUAGUAACCCUAGCCUAUAUAUAUAUGAUAUAGAUUUUCGAGAUCUUACCUAUUAAAUUUUGAUUUAAUGGUUGAAAUUUUAUAUGUAAAUAAACUUUUUUAGAAUUGAGUUGGGCUUAAUAUUUAGGUUGGACUAAAAAUCAAAUAACAAAAAUCUAUAUUAUGUAUAUAUAAUUAUUUAUUUAUAUAUAUAAAUAUAAAAUAUAUAUAUUCAAGCUGUUAUCGAGCAGAACACGAGCGAGUUAACCCUAGCUCGUGUUCGACUCGUUUACUAAACGAGCGAUUCGAUCUCGAAUUCAUUUCGAGCUGAACAUAAGCUGGCUCGCGAACAACGAGCUGGAUCGCCACCCCUACGUGUGUGUAUGUGCAAGACAAGUGGGUUUGUUUGAUUUGGGGAUUUGAUAUGGAGAGAUGUGAUUUAUUACUAUUAUUAUUAUUAUUUUUGAGAGAUAGAUAGCAUGCUACCCGCUUCAUUUAUUUCAUUUAGAAAUAAACUUAGCUGGAAAUGUGAGUCAAUUAGGAUUCAAACUUGGGAUCUCGGGUAUCAACUACCAAGUUCUUUGCCACUUGUGCUAGAGACGGUCAGUAUUAUUUUAUUAUUAUUAUUAUUAUAACACAUAAAAUGAGAAGAACCUAGGGCUUUCUCCUAGAAAAUUAUUUUUUAAAAAAAAUAGAUAAAAUAUUUAUUUUGGUUAUUAUCUAUAACUAUUAUACAUUCUUUUUUAUUUUUAAUGCAAAAAUAAUCAUGCUCAUCGGUACAAUAUGAGAUGGUUAUUAUGUGUCAAUUAUGUAGCUCAUGUUGAUAAAUCCGUACCAUCUAUGUUGUUCGUGUCGACAAAUAAAAUAUAAUGUGCAAGAUCAUUCAAAUUGAAGUAUGGUUAUCCAUCUAAUCCUCUAAAUUUUAUAUGUGUACAAGAUUAUUAUAAAGCAGGCAUAAAGAACUUUCUAUAUUUAAUAACUAUACAAAGGAAUUAAUGAAUGUUUACGCUCUCAUAAAAAUUUUUGAAGAAUAAUUCGCGGAAAAGAAUAUCAAGUUUUCAAUAGGCAAAAAAAAAAAAAUUAUGGGCAAUUGUGUUUGCUUAAAUGGUGCAAAAUGGCGCGCGAAAUGAUUACUUAGUUAAUUUUCUAUAUUGUUUAGGGUAUGUAUAGAUUCAUGUAGAACUACAAAAAAUAGUUUUCUGACGAAAAAAAUUUUCAGAUGAAAAUAAGCUUUUGUUUGGGUGGCAAAAAAAUGUUGGUGGGAAUUAUUGGUUGCUAAUUUUUGUUUUCCUUUAAUUACAUUUUUAUAAUAUAAUAUAUAUCAUUCUUAUUAAUCCAUAAAGGCUUAAUUAUACGCUACUAUAUUAUACAUUAUACAUACAUGUUUUCUCACUCGCUACACUAUAUCUUUUUUUAAAAAAAGUCAUAGCGCAACCAUCCCUUUUUAUUGGUCCCUCGGGUAGUAGUAGAGCAUAUAUUUGGCUCAAUUUGACACAAAAAUAAUAAAAUAUAUAAAAAUAACAAAAAAUUAUUAAAAAUAAUUUGAAAGAAAUUUUUAAUGAGUUUAUCAUGAAAAUUUAUUUGGUAUUUUUUCUACUAUUUAACGUGUGUCUUUUAAUAAAAAUGAUAUAUUUUGCAUAAAAUAAUAGAUUUAUUAACACUAAUAUAGAAAUUAGUAAGGAAAAAAAUAAUUCAAUGAUAUUUAUGAGAAAAAGUAGAGCAAGAUAAAAAUAUAAAUAAAUCUAAAAUACACUGUCAAUAUAAUUAUAUAAUAGUGUUUUUGAAAGAACAUAGUGUAAUAUAAUAAAUAAAAAUUGCACAAAAAUACAGUGUAGUAGGGUGUAGUUAAGUUAUCUAUAAUAUACAAUAGUAUAUAUGUUAUAAAUAAAAUUAUAAUAUAAUAUAUAUUGUUAUAGAUAAUUUAUAUUAUCAUAUAUGGUACUGGAGUCCGGCUACAAUGUUAUCAAUAGCGCCAAUCACUUGGUGCUAUCAAAUUUUAUGCCGUUAGAUCAACCCCUUUGAUCAUUUUUAUCCGUUAGAUCAUACUAUUCAACUAACCAUCCACGUAAUCAUGGUGGACUACUAUCAUUCUAACCAUACAUCGCUUCAUCCAAAGGCCGAAAACUUAAUAGCACUAAUGACUUGGUACUAUUAAUAAUAUUUUAGGCUAGUUCUAUAGUAUUGUAAUAUUAUAUUAUCUUAUACAUAAUGAAUAGGCUAAAUUACAGAAAACCCCCUUGUAAUAACCCGCUUUUUCACUUUCCUUUCCUGACAUUUAAAAACCUACACUUUGCCCCUCUGUAAAAUAAAAAAUGUGCACUUCACCCCCUACCGUUAGGGUUCCGUUAAAAAAUAUAUUUUUAUGCCGAAAAUACCCCUCCGCCAUCUCCCUGUUGCUUCGCCUCCCUCCGGCUCGCACCUCGCUGCCGCCUCGCCGCCUAGCCGCCUCGCCGUCCUCCACUACCGCGCCCUCACCUACAUCCCCUUCGCCGUCCUCCGCCGCCUCGCCUUCGCCUUCUUUGCCCUUCUCCUACUGUCGCCCACCUCGGUUUUCUCCUACUGUCGCCGAAAUCGAGAGCGGUUUUCUCCUACUGUCGCCGAAAUCGAGGGCGGCAAGGGUGCAGGAGGAGAAGGGGAGCAGGUGGAGAAGGAAAUGGAGAGAAAUCACAGCCGAUUGAGGUAGGAAUCGCGGCCGAACGAAGGGGCGGCUGAGGAAGAUAGGGAAGAAGACGACAAUGGCGAGGGACAAAAUGGUCAUUUUACACACCGUAACCCCCCUGUGAACAUUUUUCAUUUUACAGGGAGGUAAAGUGUAGGUUUUUAAAUGUCAGGGGGGAAAAGUGAAAAAGCGGAUUAUUAUAGGGGGGUUUUCUGUAAUUUAGCCUAAUGAAUAUUAUGUAUAUUAAAAACUAGGGUAAACUUCAAAUACCUACCCUCUGGUUUCACACUUUCUUAUUUUAGUACCCUGUGGUUUAAAGUGUAUCAUGUUAGCCCCUAUAGUUUCGCACUUUCUCACUUUAGUACACCGUGAUUUAAAGUGUUUCAAGUUACUACCUUGUGGUUUCAUUUUUUUUUUUUUUAUUAUCCAUUUCACUAAUUUUUUCGUUAAAUCAGUGAUAAAGUUAAAAUUAAAGGGUACUAAAGUGAAUAUUCGAUAAACCUAGGUAGGGUAUCUGAAGUUUUUUUGUAUAUAAUUUAACGAAAUAUUAACGAAAGAAAAAAAAAAUCAGCGAUAAAGUUAAAACUAAAGGGUACUAAAGUAAAUAUUCGAUAAGCUUAGGUAGGGUAUCUAAAGUUUUUUGUAUAUAAUUUAACGAAAUAUUAACGAAAGAAAAAAAAUUAGCGAUAAAGUUAAAACUAAAGGGUACCAAAGUAAAUAUUCGAUAAACUUAGGUAGGGUAUCUGAAGUUUUUUGUAUAUAAUUUAACGAAAUAUUAACAGAGAAGCCGACGAAAAGAAUAAAAUGAAACCACUUGAUACUAAAUUGAUGCACUUUAAACCACAUGGUACUAAAAUGAGAAAGUGCGAAACCACAUGGUACUAAAUUGAUACACUUUAAAUAACAGAAUACUAAAGUGAAAAAGUGCGAAAUUACAGAGCUGAUAUUUGAAGUUUUGUCACGCCCCGGGGUCCCUUUUAGUUUAAAAGGUAGCGGAAAAGCGUCUGAAAAUUUUUUUUUUUUGAAAAUCUGACCCCAGAGUGUGCCAGAUCCGCCACAAAUACAGGAGCUCCACUGUUCACACGGACAGAGUCUCCCCUGUAUUUGCACGGCGUCGCACAAGUACAACAGAGUAUAAGUACACACACAACCACAACCAGAUGAACAACAAGAUAGAUAACAUUCAUCCAUUCCAUUCACACACACAGAUAUGAGACUUGAAUAUGAAUAACAUUCCACAUCUAUCAGUUAAAAAUGUUUCCUACCUGGAAACUGAUUUUGAAAUACUAAAUCCAUAAAUCCACAGAGAAAUCAACUUGAAAACUGAUCCCUACACGGGAACCAUUCUUUUUCAAGACCAGCUACCACGAGGGGUAGAAAACUGUUUUAUAUUCCAGAAAACUCCAAUCCUUACGUACCUUUUCAGAAACCGAAAUUGAAACCCAGAUAGUCAUAAUAAAAUAGAAAACUGAACCAUAAUAUUGUCUAAGUAUUAUUCAAGCAUGAAGGGUAAAAGGAAUAACCGCUCGGGAAGGAGCUCUAUCGCACGGCUAGACAGCUCCGUCACCAGCUGUCCACUCGGACCUGCUACGUCACCUGUAAUGGGGGCGGGUGAGAGAACAUGUAAACAAUGUCUCCCCUCCAAGUGGGUACGCCAAGUCGUAGAGGGCGAGGGGUACUCACUAGUCACGGGAAACUAGAUAGAUAUAAAUGUUGAUAAAGUAAAUUUAAUGCUGAAAGUAAGGACUGACAAGUAUAGAUGCAGGUAAGUAAAACAGUAGCUACAAUAAACAGAUAAGGAUUGCUGGAAAUAAACACUACAGCUACUGUAUGCAUGCGUCAUGACGAAAAGCUCAAAGUCCCCAAUCUCGCUGCCCUAUUGGUCGUAUGACCUCAGGCUCAUGCCACACUGCAACUGUAUCUGACCCUCGCAAUGAAGCCCUGGGUCAGAAGCAUAUACCCCUCGCAAUGAAGCCCUUGGCUCACGGUUGCAAUCCAACCACUUUUCCCGGAAAAGAAACACCCUCUUGCGGUGGAGUUCAGACCGCUGGUGUUCGUGAAAUGCGUACCUGUAGUGGCGAUCAUGUAGUGCUCAAAGAUCAUCCGUCGGCAACUAGCCGACAAUCCAGGCCCUCCAGGCACACCGGCCGUAUAGGCCAUCAGCAACUAAUCGGCUAGUAAGCCAAGAUGGAACUGUAGCAACUCGACCGAACAGGUCAUGAGGUAUCACAAUAGGGGGAACGCCCCAACCAAAUCACUGAUAGUGAAUAGAUAGAAAAAAUCAACUCUAGCUCUAAGCAUGUAGUCAACAUGAAAAUAACUGAGUAGAGAUGUAGAUAUAAAUACAGAUGCAAGGCUCAAUAUACUAUAAGAUAUGAGUAAACAGUAGGGGGAAGAAACGUCACCCGAGCGUGCACCACGUAACCGACUACGGGUCGAAGUACCCACUGUAUGUAUCUGACGAAGGUCUUCGACUGUGAAGACGGUGCAAACCGAACCUAACGAAAGGCUACGGGUUAAGGUCUAACCGCACUGACAUGAAAAGCUAACUCACAACCCCUGCUAACAAAACCACGACCGGUUUCCAAACGAUACCAAAUAAGCCGAGUCACGAAAACUGCACCGGAACUUUCUCGUCGCUCCUACCCGUCGUUUCGAACCCUCAAAACGACGGCGGGUGACCAGCCCAACCAGGCUCAGCGACGCCAUAAUCAUCUCACAGGAGGCACCGUCGGAUGAAAUCCGAACCGAAACGCGUUCUAUCGGCAGAUUUCGCCGAAAACGCCUCGGAAAUCACUUCCGAUUUCCGCAAAGGCUUGGGGCCUUGGACCGAUUCAGUCCAGAGGUUACCGCCUCAGCAUUACACGGCUGUCACGCAUCUACAACGAAGCAAAAGCUAAAAGCCGAUACCGAUACAUGAAAUGAUCAUUUCACUGUGAUCUAGCUUUCUGGACCGUGCACGCAAACCGAAGUCGAUUAUCCGACCGUCUACUGCUGACAGGUUUCAGCAUGUCGGAGCCGUGCUCACUUUGGAGCACUGCCGCCACUGCGGUGCGCGCACGAGCGACGCGAAGUACUGAAAAACUGCACGCAACAGCGCGCAAGAUCGGCGACUAACUACAACCAGGGCAUCUUCGCCGUUGUUGGAGGUGAGCAGAUGUUCAGCACGAGUUGUAAGAUCAUCAUGCCACUUCCGAGACUUAGAAGGCUUCUCGAUUCACCGAAAAGACGCGAAGCCUCGGAAAAACAGUGCUGGAACAUAAAAUGUCCUUACCCAGACCCGAGAGAGCUAGGGUUGGUCGCAGGCCGCCGGGAGGCGGGCGUCCGGCCGAGGAGGAGCACUCGUCCAGGAGGUCGGGAGGGUGCUUGGCCGGCGGCGGGAAGCAACCGUGGCGGCGGCGGCCGAGAUCCACCCUGCACACCUCCUCUCGCGUUGGGCUUCCCGGCGGCGUGGCGGGGCCUGAGGAGUCGCGGCGACUCUGUGCGGCGCCGGAGCACGAGGGGAGGACGUGCAGCACCUAAGUGGGCUGCGCAGCGCCUGAAACCAGAGCGGGCCCGACCUCGGCCGCACGUGACUGGCGGCCACAGAAAGCUCCAGCGGCGGCCGGCGGCUGCCGGGACGGCGGGGACGCGCGCGCCGGGUUGCCGAAGGUCGCCGGGGCCGACUGGGGGCCGCGGCCGAAACGAGCGAGGGCGCUGCUUCCCGGGGGAGCCGCUCGUCUGGGCUGACCCGAGCUGCUGCAGGGAGCGGGUGUGGCUCCGGCGGCGUCGAGCGGUGCCGGGGCCGGCGGGCGAGGACGCCGGAGGAGGGCUCGCAGGGAGGGGAAGCCGGCUUAGAUGCCCUCCGAGCACAAUACACGAAAUGUGGCAGUCAGGGGCUAGGGGAGAGCUAAGAGGUGGCCGGGUGACUUCUCCGGCGGCCGGAGCACCUGCCGGCCGGCCAGGGCCGAGCCACGGAGCUGGGCAAGGAGAAGGUAGGGUGGUUAGGGCAGGCUGGGAAAAAUUAGGGUUAGGGUUCCUUAGCCGAACCUAAAACUCAUUUAUAUCAACAUGACUAAUUGUCGAAACCCCUCCUAGUCCAAUACCCUUUUUACCAAGCCCCUGGCAACAUGUGGAAAAUCCGCAUAGUCCCUCGACAUUCGAAUUCGGCGCAAGAUCGCGCAUAAAAUAUUGGACUUUUCGCGAGAUUAAUCGUUUGCACUUGACCUCUUAGCGGACUUUUCACGGAUUCCCGAAGAUCCGUCCGUCGGAUUUCGAACGGAUUGCGCCAGGCGAUCAGCACGACUGGGCAUCGAAUCUAGCAUUCUGUUUCGUCUGAAAAGGCUCCGAUUUGCGACAAACCCACCCUCACUGGUUCAUCAAACCACAUAUAGGUAUAAUCAUAUGUAAAAACCAUUAAACCCCUUUUCUCGACACACCAUGCAUCAGAACCCAAUUCCGUCAGCGCCAAUGGUUCGCAGUAUAGUCGAGAGUUCGAAACAAGUAUUGGAAGCUAUAUCAGGUCGAUACGCGUCGAAAGUCCACUCUACUCCGCGGCCUCUCCGGAAAAUCGGAGUCUAUCAUCACUUAAGUGAACUUCCGGGUCGCCGUAACACUCUCCGUUUUAACUCGUUUUCUCCUGAAAUUUGACGAGUACACUUAUAAUUAUUUACACACAAGAACAUCGUCAAACAAAAGGGUUCAAUCAAUAAAUGAAAAUCUCAGUUAUUACAAGUUUGCCUUAAAAGACUAUACCAUGAAUACAUCUAUCUAUCUAUCUCUAACUACAUUAAAGGAGGGUUUGGGGACCACGGUGACACGUGUCCCCCAAACCCCCUUCUCUCUCCCCGCUAUAUAUAUAUAUAUAUAUAUAUAUAUAUAUAUAUAUAUAUAUAUAUAUAUAUAUAUAUAUAUUAAGUUUUAAAUUUUUAUAUCAAAUAUAAAAUUUUGAUACUUCCAAAUCUUUACAGUUUAAAUUUCUAAUUUUAUAUUUUUUAUUUAAAUUUUAAAUUUCAAUUUUUACUUAUAAUAUUUAUUUCUAAAUUUUAAGCUUUUUAAACUUCAAAAUUUUAAAGUUUUAAUUUUCUAAUUUUAUAUUUUAUAUUUAAAUUUUAAAUUUUAUUUUUUACUUAUAUUAUUUAUUUCUAAAUUUUAAGCUUCAAAGUUUAAAAUUUUAAAUCUCUAAACUCUAUGAAAUUAAUUAAUUAAUUAAAUUUAUUAAUAAUUAGUUUUAUACAAUAUAAUUAAUUAAUUUUAUUAAAAAUACACAUAAUAAAUCGCAUAAUAAAAUCUAAUUUGAUAGAUGAAAUUUAAAUCACAUAAAAUUUCAUUGUAUAAAAAAAAUACGGAAUUUAAGUUUCAGGAGUAAAAUUUUAAAAAUAUAGUGUAUGUGUGUAUAUAUAAUUAAUUUUAUUAAACAAAAUCUUUUACAAUUUUAUUUUCCUUCUAUUUAUUGGUUUUUUUAAAAUUAUUUUGGUAGAUUUAUCUCAAAUCCUUUUCAUAUAAUUUUUUAUAAAAUAAACUAUUGUAAAAAUUUACUUUGCGCAUAUACCAAUUUUAAUGACUUUUAUUUAAAUAGAUUUAACUAUUAAAUUAUUUUUAUAUAACUUUUAUUUAAUUAAUAAUUAGAUUUAUAAAACUAUAUAAAAAUAUUAAAAAAACUAAAAUUUAUGAUAAAAAUAUUUUUAUAUCCGCAGCAUCGCGCGGGUAUUUUACUAGUAUACAUGAACCCAGUGCACCCAUGGGUAAUUUCUCACACUUUCUUUAAUUUAAAAAUCCAAAUUUAAAAAUCCAAAAUUUGUUAUUGUGGACCAUGCCAUUUUUUCUUUUGGGUUGGGAAUUAUAAUUGAAAAAAGAAAAAACAAAAGAUGCAUAAGAAAAAAUGGGAGGUUAUGGAAUAUGGAGAAUAUAUGGAAAAAAAUUCAUAUUUUUCAAAAAACAUAGGCUUAUGAGAUUUUUAUAUUUUUCAAUAAGAGAGAUAAUAUUUUCUUAUUUUUCAUAAAAAUAAAGUAAUGUACAAUGUGAAGGUUCAGCUCUUCUUUUUCUCUUUCUAGCCCAUUCCACAUUUCCACCAACCUUUUGCUCUUCAGUGUUUUUCUUUGCUCUUAUCUUUUGACUACAUUUUGGCUCAGCAUCUGACCAAAAAUCGAUUAAUAAAUUUAGAGUUUUGUUUAAUUUUACUGAUCAUGUUCUACGAUACUAUCUUCUAUAUAUAAUUUUUUAAUACGUUCUACUCCACAAUCAUCUAGAUUUUUGUCUCUCACUUGCUCCGAUCUUUCGCUAUAUCUUUCGUGCUGUAGCUUGGUGGACUCGAAGAGAGAAAUGUUUUGCUGUGAGUUGAAGGACGAAAGUUAGAUUAGAUAUGCAGAGAUUGCUUUCAUCUAUAUUAUUCCCUAUAUUUUACUAUAGGGUUAAUUGUAUAUAGAUCCCCGCAAACAUAGUGAAUUGCAUAUAUAUUUCUGUAAAGUUCAACUUUUAUAAGUUAUUCCUAUAAAAAUCCUAAUGUUUUCAGAUAUGUUCCUCUGGUUUGUUACCAUUAGAUAACCAUUAGAAAACUGUUUAUAUUUUUAAUUUUGUCAUUACAAACAUAUCCCUCCAAAAAUUAUAACAGUAUAUUAUAAGAGGGGUAAAACUGUCAAAAAUUAGUAUUUAACCUAUGGUUAACUAAACUUUUCUAACGGAUUCUAACAGUAGGAACAUAUCUGAAAAUAUUAAAACUUUUAUAGAAAUAAGUUAUGAAAAUUGAACUUUACAUGAAUAUAACUGUAAUUUAUUAUAUUUUUUUGCAAAAAUUUGUAUGCAAUUGACUCUUUUUUCUAUAUUAUGAGCUUAAUUAAUUUCUAAGUCGAUGAUUGAGUUAGGGACCGAUUCACAUAUUUUUCUUUUUCCUCUGUUAUUUUUAUAUUUGCCUUUUCUUUAAUUUUGAGAAUUUUUACAUAUUUUUCUUUUUUUCUUGAUAUGGGAAUGUACUUAUUUUAUUCACAAAAUCCUAUAAUAUGAGGGGCAUUAUAGUCCAAAAAAAUUAUGUACUUUCCUUCCCAUCCUUGACGUGGCUUAAUUUUUUGAAAAUGAUAUGAUUAUCUUGAACCAUCCUCAAAAGUAAAAUUGUGUGGAGACCCUUCAACCUCAUGCAAAUUUGAAAUUGUCUCUCAACUUUUAUUUUUUCAUUGACAUCCCUUAACUUAUAAUAUUUUAAAAAUUAAGUAGUUUUAAUAAAUAAAAUUGCAAACACCAAAUUUAUUGAUAAUUUCAUCAAAUUUAAUAACUAUAUUAUUGUUUUAGCAAAUAAGUAACUAUGUACAAUGUCUUAUUUCGUCAAAAGGGGUGCCCAUCAACAAAUACGUUAUGUGGUUAUAGUGUCAAGUGCCAGACAAUCCUUAAUCAACAUUUUGGAGUCCCAGCAAAUUUUUAUCCCAAUCCCAAGGUGGUCAUUUAGGAUUGCCUCCCGAUAGGCACCGCAGCCACGUGGCGCUUAUCCAUACAUGCACCCACUAUUUCUCAUUAUUAAGAAAGCAGUGGGUACUAUUAGGUGAAUCAAAUGCGUGCAUCAUAUAAUAAAAAAAAUUUUAUUUAAUUUUGUAGAGUUUAGAUUAAGAAUUUAGGGUUUUAGAAUUAUGCUGUAAAAAAUUAAAAUAAAUUUUAAAAUUUUAAAUCCUAAAUCCUAAACCCUAGAAACUACAAGUCCAAAUCCUAAGCCCUGAAAUCUUUAAAACUUUAAAUGCCAAAACCCUGAAAAGUUAAAAUAAAAAUUUAUGAGUACACAGUGCACCCUUAGGCAAGUGCAUCGUGAUAAUUUCCAGUGUUUUUUUCAAUUAUAAGGAAAAAAAUAUUUCUUUGGGAGGCAACUUCAAGAUGUCCAUUUGGGUUAGGGAUACAAAUGGAUCCGGGUUGGUGGAGCUCUCGCCUUAAUCCUACUGAAUGGAGCGGUAAGUGGGAACAAAAAAUAUAAAAAAAAUAUAACCCAUUCCGAAACUGCCCCGAUCUGCCAAGUAAAUGGAGCGGGAGGUGGGAGGUCCUUUUCUUCCUUCAAUCUGUCCCGAUCCGUCAAAAAUCUACUAAAAAUUCGCUCCUACCCCGAUUCAUCUUAAAUAGGGCGAUAAGUGGGAGCCAAAAAUAAAAUAAAAAAUAACCCGCCCCAAAUCCGUCCUAUUCUGACAAGAAAUGGAGCGGAAGAUGGAGAACACUCCAGCCCUCGGAUCCGCCCCAUUUGCAUCCCUAAUUUGGAGUUGCCUCCUCAAUAGGCACCACAUGGCACUGCAGUGAUGCGACGUCCAUCUACGAAGUUGCAAUUAAGGUUUUGUAUAUAGUUUACUUAUUUGCUAAAAAAUAAAUAAAGUUAUUAAAUUUGACUAAAUCAUUAAUAACUUUUAUAUUUAUUUUAAGUUUUAUUCACUAAAAUAUGUAAUUUUUAAAACGUUAAAAGUUGAGGGAUGCCAAUGAAAAAACAAAAAUUGAGAAAGUUAAGGGAUGUCAAUUAAAAAAAUAAAAGUUGAGGGGCCAUCUGAAAUUAGCAUAUGGCUGAGAGGUGUCCACACAAUUUGUUUUCUAAAUAUUAGUCCCUGUCUAACUAUUUAAUAACUAGAGUAAAGAUAACAUCAACUAACAGUAGAGGCAUUUAUAAUAAUUUACUAUAAUAAUUACAGGGACAUACAUAAUAUUUUUUUAAAAAUAUAUAUUGUAUAUCCCAAAAAGCAUAUAGAUCUUACAUCCUCCAUCCUAGAAUUGACAAAAUUUUAAGUAAUUUUAAUAAAAAAAAAAAAAUUUGAUGUGAUAAGUAAAGUAUUAAUGACCAAGGUUUUAAGUGCCGUCCGUGCCGUAUGAUACGAGGGCGUGCCGUACCGUGCCCCCGAGAAAGCGGCAACGGUACCGGAGGGGUUUCGGACCCCCCUCUGUCUCGCGGCACGCAAAUAUGUGCCGCUCGAGACAAAGCAGCAUGCAGGUGCGGGUCGCCCUUUUUUUUUUUUUUUGGCUUUAUUUUUUUGCUUUUUCUUUUUUCUUUUGUUCUCCAGGGUAUUGAGUCCCUCCCGGGCCACUUAUAUUAUCUUCUUCUUUUUUUUUCACUUUGUUAUUUUUUUUUCAACUUUUUUUCAUUUUUUGACGGAUCCCUUUUUUUUAACUUCUUAUUUUCGGUCCAAGCCCUCAUAUUCCACCACAGACAUUCAUUUUUUCUUUACAAAAUAUUUUGUCAAAAUUUGUCACAUCGCGAAGUUUUCGGUGAAUCAAGGGAACAAAAAUCAAUCUCCUAAAUAAAUUUUGAUCAUAUAUUUUUAAAAAAAAAUAAAAGAACAAAAAAUAUAAAUGUAAUAUCGGGAAUAUAUGACCUUCUCACAAUAUCAGCAAUAUUUAUAUCAAUAUUGUCAAAUAAAUCUUGUAUCUACAUAUGACAAUAUGCCAUAUGAUCAAGCGCGACGAUUUAUGUCGAAUUAAGCAGUCAUCUUUAUAUAAAGAUGUAAAUAUAAAUAAUUAUUGUAUUUGUGAAUUUUGUUAUUGUAUUUUGAUUUCUAUUCUACAUUAGGUAUAGUUAUAUUUUUAUUUACAAAAACUUAAAUGUAUAUUAAUUGAUGAGUAUAUAAAUUAUUUAUUUAAAUAUUUUAAAAUAACAUUAUAGGAUUUUAUUUAAAUCAAAACAACUGAAAUAAGUUCGUGCCAAAGCGUGUUAACAGAAGGUUAUGCGUAUCUAUCGGUACACAAGCGUGCCACGUGUCGGCACGCAGGCGUGUUUGUGCAGUACUGUGCCAGGGACAUAAUGGUACGCCCCCAUGUCACGGCACUUUAAACCUUAUUAAUGACUUCGAAAUAAAGUAGGUAUAAAAUAUACACUUUAUUUUCAUGUGCCUGUAGCAUUGCUCGAAAAGAAAAAAAAGAAAUUUGUACAUCCAAUAUACAGGUAAACAUUUUACACCCAUUCAUCUAAUGGGCGAGAUUCUUUUACUUGCCAUAUAAUGUGAUAAGCAAAAAAAAUCCCAUCCAUUAAAUAGAAUAGUGUAAGUAAUUUAUUUUUAAAUGGCUUGUAUGAAUAGCAUCGUAAGAUAUUUUGGAGCGAAGGGCAAAUUAAAUGAUACUAGUUAAGGGACCCGCGCGAUGCUGCCGGUAGUUAUUUUAAAAUUUAAUUUUAAAAAUUGGUUAUAAAAUUAAUUUCAGAAUUUAAAUGGUACAAUAAGUAUAUCAAAAAAUUUUAGUAGGCAUAGUAGUCCCCCAUUAGUUAAUGAAAUAAUUUUAAUAGGUAUCGUAGUCCUCCAGUAAUUAGUGAAUGAGAAGAGAUAGUCUAAAUUAUUUAACGAGUCCAGCUAUGGUGCUUGUAAAAGCACCAAGCACUUGGUGUUUGUAAGUUUUUUACCGUUAGAUCUACUCUUCGGAUUAUUGUCAACUAUUAGAUUAUACUAUUCAACCAACCACCCACUCAACCCUAGGGGGCCCACAUCAUCCUAACCGCAUAUUUCUUAAUCCAAUGGCUAAAAAUCUACAAGCACCAAUAACUUAGUACUUUUAAAAGCAUAAGAGCUCAAUUCAUUAUUUAACAUUUAUUUUUAUAUAUUUUAUAUUUUACAAAAAUAAAUAUUAAAUUAUAUAAUAAAUUAUUAUAUAAUAAUAUAUCCAUAUAAAAAUAAAAUACUAUAUAUAAUAAAUAAAUAUAUAUUUAUAAAAUUAUAUAUAUAUAUAUAUAUAUGUAGUAUUAUAUAUAUUAUAUAUAAAGAAUGAGAGGCGGGUCCCCGUGGACCUCCUCUCAUGUGGUCCACGAGUCACUUCGGCCUCGUGGACCCAUGAUAGGACCCACCCCACGCCGCGCGGAGCCAGCCCAGCGCCGCGCUGGGCCCCACCCCACGCCGCCGCGCCCACCGGCCUAGCGCCAGCUGGGCCCUCGGGCUUCGUCCAAGCCAGGCACCGGAGCCGCCCGCGCCAGCGGGCACGGCUGCUCCGGCCCUCGGCUUGUACCUGGUUCAGCCAGCGAUCAUGGGCACGUGCCCGCGCGCUCCCGCCUCCGCCCUCGCUGCUCGGCCCGCGCCGCGCCGCGCCAACGCCCGUGCCCUCGGCGCCGCGCCCACUGUCACGGGUUAGCUUUUUUCGCCUCAAAAAUCCCCGCGCGCCCGCUCAAGUGUGCACACCCGAGCAGCCUUCUCGAGUCCCUUUACGCGGAUCAAGUCUCCAGAAUUAACAGCGGAAUAACCAAUCCAGCAUUUCUUGCCAAGCUUUCGCUCCUCCCACGGACUUACAGCCCGACCCUUCGCCUGUAAUCGAACCCUGCCCGAUUUCCUACUGGCUUACUCUUGUGGUAGUCGACGUUACCCAGACGAGAAAUCCCAAUUACGAGUGGCCACCAAGGCUAGGUCUCCCGCUUGCCAACGAUCUCUCUCAGAGGUGCCUCUUAACCGACAUGCCUUGCUGCCUUCGUCGCCAGGCCCAAGGGUAUUACAAGUUCUCCCAACUUGUACAAUGAGUAUACCAAGCGUCUCGCUUUUCCCACGCGUUCCGCCCCCCGCGACUCCAAUCCGCCGCCUCUAGCGUCGAGGUCCGGGCUUCGCGACAUCACAUGCCCACGAAUGGCACUCAUAACCAUAAUUCCUCACCACUCAUGUCUCAUGCGCCUGACAACGCCAGUGGCCAUACCGCACCCGCGGCGGUCGCUCGGCAUCCAAACUGCUUGGACCUCCGAAAAGCACCCAAGUGUGCGCCACAGCUCGCUUGCCCCCAAACAUCAGCACCUCAGCAUUAAACACCCCGGCCGUCCAUGCUUCGCACCUCCAUGCUUCGCGCUUCGACCGUGCGGCCCUCGUGUCCCAUCGGCUUCCUGAAUACGGAACAACACAAGUCCACACCGUCUUCUCGACCGUGCUUACGACCACUCCUUUUGCCCACGCGCGCUCCGCCUGCCCUCGAUCCCAUAGGUUCGUCUCAUAAGCCCCUACAAAGAACCGGCCUCACUCCGCAUCGCUAGCCACUGGCCCCCCUUCUUGCUCACCACGCCUGGCCGCUACACUACUGGUCCGAGUCUCUCAGGUUCCUAUACGGAUACCGAAUACCGCUUGCAUCCUUGGUUCCGCCGCCGUCUGAGUCUCGCGUGAGGGCGUACCACACCUUACGAUUCUCCUCGGGUGCCUCCCUUAGCGUUCCCUAUCUGAGUUUGCUUUCUUGGCGUUCGUGGGCGCCGCGCCCACGAAUCCCCGCUCAGGCACCACUUGCCUUCGCGAAGUCUUGUCCUUUACGGAGACGUCGCGUCGCAUAGGACAUUCCUCAUGCCGCCUCGUCGCUCUAACUAGCAAGAUCCAAGCCGGGCAGAAGGUAGCGAGCGAACCUAGGGAGGAAGCUCCCGGUAUUCCCGCUCCGUAAUGUCGUCGACCUCUCUCCGACAUUACCCUAGGCCCGUGUCCCUUCAACCGUCCAUUAACCGGCUACACGGAACGCUAGGCUUGGCUACUCCGCUAGCCAAGGGACGACCCAUGUCCUAUGGGUCGACGGGGGAGUCGGGGCCACUUACGAAGUGUCCACCCCUCCUCUAAUACCCUUACGAGGCAUCCACUCCUUUGGCACCCCGGGGGUACAAAGGUGCUCACCGAGGGGUACGUUUUCAAGCCCCGCAUGCGGCACCUAUUUCCAAGUCAUGGCAUGGGCCAUUGCUAGGGAAUUGCCUCCGUUGACUUGACAGCGACUCCUACCUGACGGAACACCUCAACUCCGCAACUCCAUAACUUCGUCAACCCAAAUGCCUACCAAGUAUGGCCCUCAAAGGUGUCACGGUCGAGACCCAACGAUCGACCCGUGACACCACGCCGCCCCCGCACCGCGCCCCGCGCCGCCCUCGCACCUCGCGCCUAGCGCCAGCGCCCGCUCCCACGCGUCGGCCUCCUCGUGACACGUGUGUAGUUAUUGAGGAAUAAUAUAUAUAUUAUAGAUUAUAUAGUAUCAAAUAUCCAUUAAAAUUUUUGUGGACUGUUGUGUAAAUAGAUCUUGCAAUGGGGGUCUAAAUGCAAUAAAAAAAAAAAAAAAAAAAAAACCCUCCAACCCUGACCGGUUCGGCUCGCCUCAACUCGGGCUCAACUCAGUCAACUCAAACCAAACCCGCAGGUCGUCUUCUUGUUCUUGUUCUUCUUCUUCUUCCUCUUCUUCUUCGUCGUGUUCUUUUCCCUUCUUCCACGUCUCGAGCCCCUCUUCCUCUUCUUCGCCCAACCCAUUCCCCGAUCGAUCCCUUGCCCCCCCCCCUUCCACUCCUCUCCUCGCCUCCGACCCUUCUCCGCUUCCGCAACCCCAUAUGGCGUCGGAGAUCGAGGUGGUGGAGGAGGCGGAGGAGGCCUCGGAGGCGGCGGCGGGGGCGGCGACGGCGGCGGCAGAGGUGGAGGAGGAGGCGCUGAAGAACGACGUGUACACGGCGGCGGCGUACGGCGAUCUCGAGAAGCUGCAGCGCCUCGUGGAGGCCGAGGGAUGCUCCGUCGCCGAGCCCGACGGCCUCGGCUACUACGCCCUCCAGUGGGCCGCCCUCAACAACCGCACCGCCGCCGCACAAUACAUCAUCGAGGUCUCUAUCUCUCUCUCUCCCUUCUCCUAGCAAUUUCCCUUCAUUUUCGGUGGAUUUUAAGAGGAUUUGUGCGACUGGGGAGGAGAAAUUGGGGUUUAGCGUGUGCUAUAAUGGAUUUUUUGGUGCAUUGGGGGUGAUCAUUGUGUGCUUGUGUGUGCUCGUUUGUUUGUGUUGUUUGCGCAGCACGGCGGAGACGUCAAUGCGGCCGAUCACACGGGGCAGACGGCGCUCCACUGGAGCGCCGUGCGCGGGCACAUCCAGGUCGCCGAGCUCCUGCUGAAAGAAGGCGCCCGUGUCGAUGCGGCGGAUUUUUAUGGAUAUCAGGUUUCAGAGUUCAAAAAUCCAAUUUUUAAUAAUCUGCCAUAUUAGCUGAUACUUUGCUCUGUUCCUUCCGUUUUCUGGUAGCUGGUUCUGAGAUAAUUAGGCUGUUUGUGAUGCUCGAGACUUACUAGUUAAUUGGUGAAAUUGGCUGUUCCUUCAAAUUUGCUGCACUUUUCUACCAUUAUUGUGCCUGAUUCACGUCGGGAAGUAACUAACCACCGUCUUCUUAGAAGGUUCCUUGUUGUGGGACAUCUAGAAGUUCGUUCGUUUUUGUCCUUUAAGCAUUUGUGAUGUACCCUACCCUAUAUAGUUGGAGAAAAAAGAAAAAAAAAACACUUGGAUGAUGAUGAUAACGGGAAUGCUGUACUCCUGGUUGUGUCUAUAUUAAUAAUUCAGCUUUGUCUUGUUUUACCAGCAAAACAUGUCUAUUCAGUACUAUGUCAUUGCAAGUUUUGCUGAAUCAUUUUCCACGGCUUCCAUUUAGUAUAGGUUCGAACUUCGUCUAUGUGUUAUGUCAAUUUGGGAAGGUUCAAUUACCCACUUAAUGGUGUGCAUGCUUAUGUGUAGGAGAAAAGCUAAGCUUUACUCACUAGAGACUAAUCAGGGACCGUAAGGUUACAUUUGACUAUGGUUGGUGAAAUAAAUCUGCUUGUUAACUAACCUUACUAAGAAGAGUAAAUGGGAAGACCGAAAAAGAGACUGUUCCACUAAAAAAUCACCAAAACGCGGAUUCGGAAUUUGCUAAUUGAGCAUCAUCAUAUACGCCAAAUAUGCUAGAAACUGAAGUUCUCUAGUUUUUAGUAAAGUUUACAUGUCAUCUCUCAUUCUGUUUAUGCCAAUUUUCUUGAUCAAUUUUUUUUCAUCUACCAUAAUUAUUCGUGGAAAAGUGUAAAUUGUAGCUUGAGCUAUGUUUUGGUCAUUUUUUUCCCUCUUGUUCAGUGCUCACCUUUUACAUAAGAUCAAGAAGAUUAUUGUGUUUUCGUUAUUCUUAGACAAUGUAUUUUCCCUCUCACUUUGAUUGCAGACCACCCAUGUUGCAGCCCAAUAUGGCCAGACAGCAUUUCUUUACCAUAUUGUGGCCAAAUGGAAUGCUGAUCCUGACGUCCCUGAUAAUGAUGGAAGAAGCCCUCUGCACUGGUACAAGUCCUUUUCAUUUUUUUCCCCCUUAAAUUAGUCUGUUUGAUGGUAUAUUUGAAGUUGGCUGUAUAUUUGAGGUGUUCAAAGUGCUGAACAACAAAUCUUUUACAUCACAUUAGACAUGCCUUUUUUUAAUAAUGUCAUAUGAAAUGAAUUCAAAUUGGUUAGUAUCCAGAAAUUUUAUGCACUGCCAUCCAAGAUAUAUCCUUUAUCUCAUUCAUUUUUUUCCUCCCUUAACAAAAAUAGAAUUGAAACUUUUUCUUUAGUCGGGGUACGUACUCUCCUCCAAGAUACUAGCUUGUUCUUUCUCCUUUGUAAUUUCUCUUCUUUAUAACAUAUUGGAGCUUGUAGGGCGGCUUAUAAGGGCUUCGCUGAUUGCAUACGUCUUCUUUUAUUUUUGGAUGCUUAUAGAGGACGACAAGAUAAAGAGGGUAUGUACUAGAUUAUUUCCUCGAUUUUUUUUUUUUUUGGUUGUUGUGGUUGUUGUUGUUAUUGUAUGUUACUAAAUCAUCUUAGCCAUUGCAGGCAUAUGUUUUUUAACUGUUCUUGCUUCUUAGUGCUCUUGUUUUUAUACUUCCAAUUAUAUUUUGGACUAAAACUUGUUGUCAUCAGGAUGCACUCCUCUUCAUUGGGCUGCUAUAAGGGGGAAUUUGGAGGCAUGUACUGUGCUAGUUCAAGCUGGGAAAAAGGAGGACUUGAUGGUGCAAGAUAAUACUGGUUUAACUCCUGCACAGCUUGCUUCUGAAAAGAAUCAUCGGCAAGUUGCUCUUUUUCUUGUAUGUACUCUGAAUCUGGGAUAGUUAUUAUUUGUUUCAUAUCUAGCAUAUGUAGAGCUCCUGUAUUACCUUUCUAUACUUAAAGUAAUAAGAUAAAGUUCUGAUAUUAUAUAACCGCAUCUUCUGUUUCUUUUUAGGUCUUAUUGUUAUAAAGGAUUGUUGUUUUCUUUUCAAGCCUCUUUUGGCGUCUUUUUCUUUCCGUCUACUUGAGUUGCUACACAUUGUCUAUACUUCACAGUUCAUACAUAUUUACUGUUGACCCUGAAUUUCGUUCAGAGAUUAUUAUAAAUUAGGUUUAGAUGAAUAGAAGCUUUUGACUUCUACAACCUAUGGAAGUAUGAGAUACACAUUGUCUUAAUAGUUCUCUAGCACCAAGUUUUACCUGGCACACUCUUUUAUUUGGUGAUCAGUGCUGGAAUAAAUAUGAAGAUUAUUAAAUAUUUCGUGAAACAUUAUAUCCAUGUAUGUUAAACUCAGAUAAAUGUAUGUAUAUUUGCUGUUUUCUAGCUGUUACUGUUCCAUCUCAUCUAGUGAUUUUUACGAUACUAAGGUAUCUCUGAAUUGAGUAUAUUAGCUUAAAAGAUUUGACUUCCAACUUACUGUUGCAUCAUGCAUUUCUUGAUGUCCAAUUAAGGCAAUUUUUACUGUAAAUAUUGAAAAUGAGUCAAUUGCAGCUAUUGUUCACCUUUGGAAAUGACACACUCCGAUUUGUGAUUGUGAUGAUUUCAUAAAGCAUAUUUCUACAGAUAUACUUCACAUGAUUGUCAACUUUAAGUUCAAGAGUUAAAGAAGCGUGAGACAUUUAAAGGCAGAUGAUUGGAGUGGCUUGUUAAUUGAAAAAUUUUAUCUUUUAUUUUUUGGUAUUUCUAUUUUAGUUGUUUCCCAGUUUUGCAUCAGAACCCUAUAAAUAGCAGUUUUUCUGCUUUGACUUCUCUGAAAGAAAUCCAAGGGAACAAGAAAAUUUUUAAUUGUAUGCUACAGAGUUGUAGUGUGAAUAUCCGAUCAAAUUUGCAACAAAGAAUAAUUCUUUUGGUUAAAGCAGCUUCUAAACCGUUACAAAAGUGCGUUUUAUUUGUUCCUUCCUAUUGGUAGUUUUGAAAAAUCAAACCCUUUUUCCUGCCGUAUUAAUCCUAUAUAAGUGUUAUUACAAGCUAUCAGGCCCUAAAUUAGACUUAUUUGGCAGGGGAAUGCUAGAAGCGUAUUUGACAGGCGCUGCGAUGGGACCAGUAGGCUUGGGAAGUUGUCAAAAUUAGGACUUGCACCUUUUCUCUGGUGUAUUAUAAUAACCUUGCUUGUAAUAUAUAUUCAUUCAGUCAUCUCAGGUACACUGUACUUCCAAUUCAAAGUUUGUUCACUAUAUGACGUAAAUUGUUUUGAUAACUUAUUCAACUUUCUUUUCCUUCUAUGCAGACUUGUAUCUUUUGAACCUGACAGCUGUAUUUGGGCUGUUUGCGUGGUUAGGGGUUUUCCUUGCAUCCGCCGGACUGGUCAUGUUUUAUAAAUGUAGCAGGUGUGGUUUUCUCAAUAUCAUUCAUCAGUGUGACUUUCAUGUAUAAGUAAUUAGCCUAAGGUAUACAAGUUAAUGUGAUUUUAUGCAUUCAUAAAUUGUUGUUGCUCAUUGUGAUUUGUGAGUGCUUUGACUGUUUAUCUUCUUCUAGAAUUUUCAAUGAUUUUAUAGUUACUUGCAAUAUUUUUGAGGUGUUAUGUAUGUGUAUUAUGUAUCUACGUAUCAACAUACAUAUGUACUUUUUUGUAUUGUGUACCCUUAUAUAUAUAAAAAAAAUUUCCGAUUUUUUGGAAACCGAAUUAGUUAAUUUAGGAAACUAACACAACAAGAAUGUAAUUUAGGAAACUAACACAACAGAGUUAUAAUUAACACCAAGAAAAGAUGUUGUUGAGCAGUGUAAAUAAGAAGUUCACAAUUAAUUUUUCUAGAUCAUGGCAUGUAUCUGUACCACUGCUAUGUCCUGUCUAUCGUGAAAUGGCAUAAAAAACUGGUAUAUAUACAUUCUUGCUAGUAAUUGCUUUCAAACAUGUCCAUAUUAAUCUUUUUAUUGAGAAGGGUCUUGCUUUCGAAAUUUCCAUUGCCUCUUAGUUUGGAGGAUUAUACACAUUCCACAAGCCUUGCUAUGUUUGGAGAAUUAAUAUUUCAUACUCCCAUUUUGUAGUUGUACUACUGCUUUAAGGUUGGAUCUUGAAAUUGCCAGUGUCUUGAAAAACAUUUUAUUAGGAGCAAUCAGUCCAUUUCUUACUUAUCUCCUUGCAGUAUAUUCAUAUGCCAAUAUGCCAUAUUUCACAUGUGCAUAUUUUCAUACUUUCUGCUUUAUCUGAUUGCCAUAUUUUUGUAUUUUGGUGCAGGAAAGAUCCUGGUUAUAUCAAAAUGAACAUACGGGAUUCACAAAAUCUUAGAGACGACGUGAGUUGCAAAAAAAUGUUGAUUUUGUUUUUUCUAGUUUUUAGAUCUUCUUCUCUUUUGUCAAUAAACUUUGAUGACAUUUCAGUGAUUAGUUUAUUUGUUUGUCCUGUUUCCUGAAAAUGUCAGUACAAAGUGCAAACUUCUGUAUUAGAAUUCUGUCGCUUCUUUUUCAUGUACACGGUGAUAAUAUUUUGGUUCUAUUACAUUUACAUAGUUGCACUAAGGUCUAUUUUCAUGCUGCCUUUUUUUUACAGACAAAUCUUGCUUCUUGUUUCUUAUAGCAUAGAUAUCUCCUUGUUGGACCACUUUCGAACUUACAUAUGUACCAACUUAUUGAUUGGAUGCGGCAAACUAUAGGAGCGGGAUGUGUUGCCUCUUCAAGAGGCAAAUACUACAAACAUAGUCUAGAUUUAUAGGAACAGAUGAAUUUAGCAUUGUUAUUGAUCUAUUAGGUUCUUCAUUUAACCUUAUUGAAGGACCUAUUGGUUCAAUUUACUAUUUGGUAGUUGAUUUAUUAAUGCCAUUUCUUGGCAAUUGAAUUUACUUAAAGUUGUGUCUCAUUUCGCACCAUCCAUUAUCAAACAGGAAUUCUAUUUGCAUACUCCUUUUCCAUUAUUGGCUAUUUCUUAGCAUAUAACCUUUCGGCAUUAUGUCUCCAGCGUUUAAGGGUUGUUUGGUAAAUAUUUCAUUCUAGACUAAUAGCCAAUUUGUUACAUGUGGAAAUUUGUAGGAACCUUUGCUAAAGAUUGAACUGGACGAUCCAGCUCUGCUGGCUGGAAAUUGGUCCCAGCUAUGUGCUACGUGCAAGGUGUGUUUUGCUCUUUAUAUUUUUAUUUUCUUUCCAUUAUUAAGAUUCAUCUUCCAUGGUCUUGAAAAUCUUAUUUGGUUACCAUUUAUAAAAUUCUUAGAUAGUGAGGCCUCUGCGCUCAAAGCAUUGUUCCACAUGUGAUCGCUGUGUUGAGCAGUUUGACCAUCACUGUCCCUGGGUCUCUAAUUGCAUUGGCAAGGUACUUUAUUCUGGAGGCCUGUAAUCUUAUUUCUGAAGUAUUUAUGUAUCUAACCCUGCAAAUUUAUCUAUCUGUCUAUCUGUAUAUGUAUCAAUCUAUCUAUGUAUUAACAUCCUUGAAUAACUCAAUUUCUUACCUAUACAUCCUUGCACUUAAAUAAUAAUAAUAAUAAUAAUAAAAUAAAAAAUUCUCCCUGUAGACAACUUUUUGAAAACAAAUUCCACUUCCUCCAUGAUUUGGAUGACUUCCCUCCUUUAAAUAAUGGUAUUUUUGCGAAAAAGAAAUCGAUUCUUCAACAAGUAUAAAUGGAAAUUCAGAUUUUGAGAGGGUAUAUAAGUUGUUACAAGUAACCCUGUUUCUUUCCAUGUAACUAUCGUUUUCUACCGGCAUGGCCAAUAUUUUUUCAUGUAUUCUGGUCUUCUAUCAUUUUUUUUUCUUUCUGACCAUAGAUGAUGGCUUGCAUCUGCAGAAAAACAAGUGGGAGUUCUUUAUGUUUCUUGUUCUAGAAGUUUCGGCAAUGAUUGUUACUGGUGCAAUAACCAUUAUAAGUACGUUUCCUGAAGCCUAUUCUCAUGAAUCUUUUCCUUUGCGAGUUGGUUAUCAACAUUUAUAUUUGAACUCAUGAUUACUGCUCUGUUUUGUAGGAAUUGUGAAAGACCCAUCUGCGCCAUCGUCUUUCGGUGCAUGGCUCAACUAUUCUGCUACUCAUUAUCCUGGGGCCGUAUCAUUCUUGAUAAUGGACUUUUUCCUUUUCUUUGGUGUUGCAGUUCUAACUGUUGUGCAAGCAUCACAGGUAAAGAAGGAAGUUAUAAAAAUGGAAUUCUUUCACCUCAGUUUAAUAAUAUUAACGUGUCAAUUGUUUGCUCUAUCUCUUUCUCUUCUUUUAAGUACGUAAUUGAUAUAUUACCUGGUAUUCUCUGACCUCACUUCUCAGUUUGAACUGUGAUCCUAUUUAUGACUGCAAACACCUUUCCUGUUAAGAACUGCAGUCUGUUGAUUGUUGAUUCAUUACUUCUGUGCCCCUGAUUAAGUCCAAGGUUGUGCUAAGACUGAUCAACAAAGUUUAUGAAUGCUUUCAACGUACGUAGAUGAGUGAAAAGUAAUAAAUUUCAAGGUACAGAAAUUUAUUGAAGUUAAUUUAGAGGUUCUAAUGUUACCACAGGAUUGAUUUGACCCCAGUAUUUGAUUGAUUCUACAUCAUAGGAUGUUUGAGCCUCGGCAAACAUUCACCUCCAAGCCUGAGUAUUAUGAUUGAAGAAUGGAAGUUGCUCAUAUAUUAUUCACCACUAUUCUCUUCUUUGCUUCUUAUCGACUCUGCUUCUGCCUGCAUGAUAUUGUUGUCUUUGAAUAAUUGCUAUUCUAAUCUCAAUCAUUUUUCUAAAGCUAUUUUCAUUCCUUAGAUCUCGAAGAAUAUAACGACGAAUGAAAUGGCGAAUGCGAUGAGAUACAACUAUCUCAGAGGGCCAGGAGGCCGGUUUAGAAAUCCGUACGAUCAUGGUGUCCGAAGGAAUUGUUCCGACUUCUUGAUAAAUGGCUACAAUGAGGACGUGGAGCGUCCGGACCAACCUUUGCCAUCCGAUGAGGAAAUGGGAAUGAUCCAGAUGAUGACGAGAAGUGCAGUCCAGCACAACGGGGAGAGCCAUUCUAAUUAUGGUAAUGGCGAUGGCUCUUAUCAUGCCGUCGAUUCACACCAUAAAGAUUCAAAAUCUCACUGUUGUCAUGUGAAUUCUUCACAGUGCAAUCAUAACAAGAGCAAGACCGAAGGUACCCCUCUCGGCUUGGGUUUAGGGCUUGGACGAAACAAUGCUCAGCAUACACAGUCGGUUCUUUACUUGUGAUUCAAUUUUGCCCUUUGGCGAUCAUUGUGGAAUGCAUUGGACAGUCUGUCUAUUUAGUUUUGUGCAGCAUGCUAGUUGAACGCCAAUCUUUUGACUCGAUAAAAGUCAAAAAAAGAUGGAAAUUCUUUAGGGUUUUGGGAGAUUCUUAUAUGUAUUUAUUAGUUGAAGUUGGUUCCAAUAUCAAAGGGCUCCUAUUGAGACAAUGUCGCGAGGAAAUUUGAGUAUUUUUGUGGCACGAAAGGGGGGGAAAUCGUAGGAGACAUAUGCUCAGCUUGUGAACUCGAUCUGAUUGCUGUGUACAUGAGUGUAUUCCAUCAAGUUUAUCUGAAACGUAUCGUACGCGUAAAAUCUGAAUAUGGUUUACUAUAAUUGCUAUACUGUAAAGUUGGUAGCAUUUAUACUUUCUUAUUCCCUCAAUUUAUGUUUUUCUUUUGUUCAAGUCGAAAGUGUGUGUGGGAUCUUUUGCAUUAGGUGAACACAUAACGGUCCGUCAGGUCCGUCAGUUGUGAGGCAAACUGCGGUUUCUCUUCCGUUUAUGAGUAUGCGAUUUUUCGAUGUGCUCGUAAAUGAUGAAGAGAUCAACUCUCGAACAUUUUCGUCGGUCGUAGGAGUGCUGAACUGAGAUAUAAAAUUUGCUGGUGAAUUCUUAGUCUAUCUGAUUCUUUGUGAUGCAAGUGGUAGAAGUCCUCUUUUGGUGAAUCUAUAUGCAAGUGAAAGUGUUAUUUAUGAAAAGGUGCUGUAAAAUUAACAAAUUGAAAUUUAAUGGUCAUGUCCUAUUUUUUGCUGUUACAUGAUUACACAGUAUAUUUGAGAAGUGAUGCAAUGUUCUACUAGUAGUGGAAUGAGGAAUUACAGGGUUGCAUCACAAAAGCUCCUAUUUAUUUCUCAAUUGAGUAGGAUUGUUUAGAUUUUAUGUUUGGUUUUUUAUGCGGAAAAAAAGAUUAAAUGAGGAGGACCUCGUUCUCCUUUAUCGGGGCCUUUUCUUAAAUCCAUCAUUCAAAGCCGUGUUGAGAUUUGGACAGAAUUUUUAGAUUGAAACCAGUUUUUAAGAUCCGAACGCAAGAUGAAUCACACAGCUUAUCAUAUAGUAUCAACAAUUAUCAGAUAGUAUCAACCAGCUCUCGUAAAGGAACUCCUUGACAAAGUUGCGCUUAUGAUUUGGCCUUUACUAAAAACAAGAAUUACAAUAAAAUCACAAAAUCAACAAGAAUUACAAUAAAAUCACAAAAUCUUAACACCAUGGAUAAUUAAACUCUAUACUGAAGUUGAAAUCAAAUGCCGUUCCUCCGUUGAGCCACGUGGCCUUUCUUUUAUAACAAAUGCCAUUCCUUCGUCGAGCACGUGGCCUUUCUUUUAUAUGGGUUUCCUCUCUCUCCCUCACAUGUUCUCUCUCCCUCACACGGACUCACAUGGGCUAUGUUCAAGGGGCAUGCAUGUGCUUCUUUUGCACCUUCUCUCUACAACUCUCUCUCUAUUGUUUUUCCUAACCGAACACACACACACAAAAAUACUUUUUCACUUAUUUAAUUGCACCUAGAGUGGUUUGCUAAUUAUUUCUUCUUCUUUUUUUUGACAAAUCAUAAAAAAACAUCGUUCCGUCAUUAAGUCACGUCGCAUGUUUCAUUAAAUCUGGAGUUUUUAGUUACUGUAACCUCCAUGUACCCUGUGUUUGGGGAGGAUGCAUGUAUUCUAAUGAUAAGAAAGAAAACAAAAGGAGAAGGAAUAUUCUAUGUACUAUGAAAAAUUUUGUUUCAUGCACCCUGUGUAUCAUGUUAAACAAUAUUGAUUUGAAAGUCAAGCUCAAUUAAAAUCAACCAGAAGAACGUCAUCUGGCUUUUUCAGUUUCUAACCUUUUUUUGUCGCCGAAAGGUCUACAAACUAAAAUUUUUAUCAAAUUGCUGUUAUGUUCCGUCCUCACUUUUCGAGUGUCAGGAUGACAAGAAAUUUUAAAUCUAGCCUAAGAAAAAAUAAUUCCAACAUAUAUUCAAAGUUUAAAACUUUUUUUACACUUUCUAUUUUCUUCUAAAAAAAACUAUAUUCCUUAUAGAAAAUUCUAAAUCUCCUGUUUUCAUUCCAAUUCCACUAUGAAUUAUUUGCAAAUUGUCUUUUAUUCUCUCUCUAUUGUUUUUCCUAACCGAACACACACACACAAAAAUACUUUCUCACUUAUUUAAUUUCAUCUACAGUAGUUUGCGAAUUAUUUCAUUUUUUUAAAACAAAUUAUUUAAAAAACUGGAGUUUUUAGUUACUGUAACAUCCAUGUGCUAUAUAUAUAUAUAUAUAAAGUUGGGGAGGAUACAUGCAUUCUAAUGAUAAGAAAGAAAGCAAAAGGAUAAGGAAUAUUCUAUGUACUAUGAAAAAUUUUGCUUCAUGCACCCUGUGUAUCAUGUUAAACAAUAUUGAUUUGAAAGGCAAGCUCAGUUAAAAUCAACCAGAAGAACGUCAUCUUAAUUUUUCAGUUUUGAACCUUUUUUUGUUGCCGAAAGGUCUACCAAGUAAAAUCUUUAUCAGAUUGCUGUUAUAUUCCGCCCUCACUUUUCGAGUGUUAGAAUAACACGAAAUUUUAAAUCUAGUCUAAGAAAAAUAAUUCAGACAUGUAUUCAAAGUUUAAUAUUUUUUUAACACUCUGUAUUUUCUUCUAAAAAAAAUCUAUAUUCUUUACAGAAAAUUCUAAAUCUCCUGUUUUCAAUCCAAUUUCACCAUGAAUUAUUUGUAAAUUGUCUUUUACUUUUCUAAGUCCAAUAAAAAUAGUAUCUCACGCACAAGAUAAACUUUUUUCUUACAAAAUUUUUCAUACUACAUAAAAUAUUCCUUGUCCUUUUGCUUUCUUUCUUAUAAUUCCGAUGCAUGCAUCCUACCCAAUUUUUUUUUAUAUAUACCAAUAUUGUUUAACAUCAAACACAGGGCGCAUGAAACAAAAUAUUCCAUAGUACAUAGAAUAUUUCCCUGUCCUUUUGCUUUCUUUCUUAUCAUUAGAAUGCAUGCAUCCUCCCCCCAACUUUUUCUAUAUAUAGUAUUGCUGUUUACCAUCAAACAUGUGCAUGAAUGUUUAGGUUUGUCUCUACUUAUUUGUCUUUCAACAUCAACGAUUAUAUAGAAUAUUCUCCAACUUGCUAUAUAUAGAAACUUACAACUUCUACUAGAAUUAUUAGGGCUCAUUUACUUUACGAAGGAGGGGUAAUUUCCUUUGGCUCUAUCUAUAGAUCCAGCCAGUUAUAUAUAUCCAUGUGUUUGUUCUAGAAUAAUUUGGGAUACAUAUCUUCUACUUUCGUAAGGUAAGGUAAAACUAUAUUGAUGUAUACUCUUAUAGAGUGUACUUCUUGAUAGUAUAAAAAUAUAAAAAAAAAGAAUAUUUCAAACUAAACAAAUAUGUUUUUUUGUAUGCUAGAACAAUAAACUUACAUAAAUCAAAAAAUAAAUGUGUAACUAAAUAAUUAUUUUUUUUUUCUCUUCUUGCUUGACUCGCUUAACUAAAAUUAAUUAAUUAGCAGUUAACAAAUUUUUUUGUUGCAUUUUCUGAAUUUAAUCUUCCUUUCAAUUUUACUGGCUUCAUAGGUGAAUUUUUAAAACAAUGUAAUAAUAUAACUAAUUAAUUACAGCCUUUUCGUCUCUGUAUGUUAGAUGCAUUCUAUUUUUCUUUACUCCCUUAAUUAAAAUAAAUUAGUAAUUGUUUACGAAAAUUACGUUUCCUCUAAAGUUUUUUGUUUUUGCUUUAUGUUUCUAUUUCGAUGGCUUGGUCUAAAACGAUAAGAAAAUGUCUUACUAUUUUUAUCAAGAUAUAUUUAACGUGGAAAAAAAAAGUCCAACACUUUAAUGUAUUUGGAAUUAGGAUUUUCAUGACUCUUUUCCUUUCUUUCCGAUCUCUAACUUUUUUGGAGGGUGUAUACAAAUAGGUUCUUAACUAGCUAAUUAAUUACAUUCUUUGAGCUUCUUCAUUUUAAUGAACUAAAUUAAAGAUCAAUUAUAACAAUUUCAUACUAAGUUUCUUUAACUUUCUGUGCUUUUUAUAUUUCGCCAAUUCCCUAUGGAAUGAUAACAGAAUUUGUAAGAAAGUAAAUAAAUGGUUUAUUUGUUUGAAGGAUAUGUUGGUACUUUUGGGUUCCUUAUGUUUUUAUUAACGGUGUACAUAUAGAUAGAUUUGUCUCAAUUCUUUACUUUUUGAUCGAAGAAGAUUGAGAAAUGCAUGCAAAGAUGUUAGGAAGCUUCUCUAGGGAAUAACAUUGGAGGGUCAGAAUUAAAAAUUUAAUGCAUUAAAUAUUCUAGGUUCAAAACACAUGUCUUAAUUUUUGUCAUAUCUAUAGAUAUAUAUAAUCCUGAGUUCUACUGUGUUUGUACGGCGAGCUCUCCGGGUUUUGCGGGGGCCUCGCGCGCGCGAGAGAGAAAGAGAGAGAAAGAGAGAAAUAUUAAUUAUUUUGCAUUUGGUCAUUCUAUGCCUUAACUUAACAGUGGCUUUCUCGUCUUCUUCAUUUCAUUCUUUAAAGUUUAAAGGACAAUGGCGGCCCUACCAGUAUCAUAUAAGCAAUUGUUUAUCAAGAUACUUGAGGUCCUUGGCCUUCCUCUUCGUAAUUACGGCGCAAUGUUCGGUUCUGACGGAUUGUAUGUGGGAUGUGUUGAAAUAAAAGUUGAAAAUCUUGAUAGAACUGAAGAGGUUUUUAAGUGGUUUGGUCAGAAAUAUAUUAAUGCUGAGUUAACAGAGUAAAAGGCCGCUCAUCAAGCAAUUAUAUGCUUGAAGAAAGCUCUUAAUUUUGAUGUUGCUGAUAUCAACUAUGAUGACUUAAUGGUUUAUAAAGCUUUAUACGAACAGUUAUAUGCCAACAACAACCAGCUCCAGUGUGACUACUAUUUCCUAAAGAAUGUUACAAUUAUGCUCUCAACGAGGUUGGACGCCUUCAAAAUGAGAAUACGUGGAUGAGGCAACAAGUCGACCACGUUGCAGAGUUGCUGUGCCCCACUACAAUUAACAAUCAUCAUCAUGGCAAUAUGCCAGACGAUGGGAGCUCGCGUGUUUAAGAUUACUGAUAAUCUUCGAAGUCUCAUAGCCUGUCUGUUUAAUAUUAUGUCAUGGUCUUUGUUGCUUUAUACACAGAUAAAGGUAAGUCCAAAGUAGGUACUUGGGGGGUUUGGGACUAGUACUAGGGUUCUCAAUUAUCGAUCUGGUUUAAAUUUGAGGUUCAUGUCUCAAACUUUGUGUUUCUUUAUAUACAUAUUUGGAAGCUCGGGUUUAAGUUUAGGAUAGAACAAAAAAUUUUAAUUAUGAGUUUGAUCCAAUUCCAUCUAGUUUUAAAAUUGUUUAAUAGAAGAAGGGCUCGUUUGGUAUUGAAAUCCAUCUAAUGCUAAUAUAUAAAAUAGAGUUAGAAAAAAAAAAAAGAAUACACUUCUAUAUUUUCUAAUGGGACCACAGAAAUUUAUCAUAUCUGAUUUAUUACGAUAUACAGAACACGAUAUUAUAUAUGGUAACCACUAUGGCAAUUCUAUCUCUCUGCAGUUCUAAAUAAAGCCUAACAUAUCUAUAGAGUUGGAGGAUUAGGGUUUUGUAGUUAGUUUUUCAAAUACUAACUAUAAAGUCCGUGGUUCGAGCCCCGCAUGAGCUUAAAUUUACAACAAUAUCUUUGGCUUCAAAUAAACUAUAUAUAAGUAAGGGUAUUGUGUUAGUAUAAUCACCCCCUAAACUUUUAGACUUUGUCAAAUACACUUUUAAAGUUUUAAUUUUGGUAACUAGACCCCCAACCCAUAUACUUCAACCCUUUCUACUUUCGUAAUUUGGAGUGAAAAAAAAUUUACUACUUAGCACGAGUUUUAAAGAAGUUAUUUUAAUGUAGAAGCGUGAAAGUGGUUGAAACAGAAAAAAAAAAAAAAGUUUAAUCAAAUAUAAGAGAAAGUUUUGAAUACUUAACUGAAAAUUUUAUUUCAUUAAUAUUUAAUUGAAAAAAACUUACUAACUAAACACAAAAAAAAGUUUGUAAAGCUUCAAAAUACAUUUUUUUUUUGUUUUCACGAAAAAAAAAAAGUAAAGCACAAGAAGUGAAGUAUAUGCUAAAUCCAUCUUUAUUUUUUAUUACUUUCUAAGUGUUUUGAAGCUUGAUAAGAUCACACGCAAAACAUUUUCCAGAAUGUGUGCUUAAUUAACAAGUUUUGGGAUCUAAUUGUUAAAAUUAAUUAGUAGUAUUUUGUCAAAUCUUCAAAGUUUAGGGGGUUGUUUGCAUUUUUUUUUUUUUUUUUUUUGCCCUUUUAGUAGAAAACAGAAGCCCUGUUUUUUUCUUAAACCCUACAAACCCUCGCCCGUCUCCUCCGAAACCCUAAUAAUCCAGAUCGGAAGGAGCCCCGAAACCCUUUACAUGGGGAUCUUCGAGCCGUAUAGGGCCCUCGGCUACAUCACCGGCCCCGUGCCCUUCUCCGUGCAGAGGCUCGGCACCGAGACCUUCGUCACCGUCAGCGUCGGAAAAGCUUUUCAGAUCUACGACGUGAGCCCUCUUUCCCCUUCUUUUGAUUCUCUUUGGGCGUUUUUCUAUGAGUUUUGUGGUAAAUAAUGCUUAUUUUUGGGCUGGGGAUAGUGUGACAAGCGUAAACCCUAGGUUUCUUUUUGUGGAAAGUAGAGAGGAGUUGAUUGCAGGGUCUAUUUAUAGAAUUUGGAUGUUUUGUGUGUAGUUAUGUUGUUAUUUUUCAUGUUUCUAGUCGUCUGUGAGGUGUGUGAUGUUAAUUGUGGUUGAGUAUCUGAGAAAGAUGGGAUUUUUAGACUUUUGAACAACUUAUAGAUUACAUGUUGUUCGGAGUUUUUCGUUUCAGAUGUUUUAGAAGUAUGUAUUAUGUUAAAAUCCUGGUAACAGAUUCUCUAUAAAGUAAAGGUAGAAGUGCCAAAUGGGAGCUUUUGGUUUUGGGCCUCAAAAUCUCAUUUUUGAUUCCCACUACAACAGAAGUGCUGGACUUUUCUGUUUGCGAAAUGCUUUGCUAUAGGUGUCUGCUGCUGAAAGUAGAAGCAGACCCAAACAGACACUAAAGCUACUAGGUAGCUAUGUUCUGUUUAGAGCAAUUUCAUUGUUGUGAAUAUAUUGUAUGCUUUGGACAAGAAAUUUGAUGGAAAUUUCAACAAGAGCCUCAGCCUGGUUUUACUGGUAUCUUUGUAAUUCAUGGUGACACCUAAAAUUUUGAGGUCUUAGUUUUUAAAGGAAUUGGGGGAAUGGUUGGGGGGAUGGAAGAGAUGGGUAUGACUUCUCCCAUAGUAGCAACCUUACUACAUAAAGUAGAGAUGGUACAUUUUGAAUAUAAUUACAGUAUUAGCACGAAAAACCAGUGCGACAUUAUUAAUGGUAUUUGUUUGUUGCACUUCUUGCUUCUCUGAAGGUUGCAAAGUGACCAAUUGCUAGAUACCAGUCCAAAUCUAUAGUUGAUUCAAGAAGAAAGCUAUCCAUGAGAUCCUGUCAAACGAAAUUCUUGUGUGGAAGAUUCAUCUGCCAUUUAGUUCAGAUCUGAACACGUUGAAAUUGGCAUUUGUCAGGGUGAAAUUUGCUUCCUGUUUGAUUUCGCUGUAGGAUUUGUUGCCCAAGGGGGCACACAAUUGUUGCUAUCAAAUCAAUGGAAAGAAAUAAUAUUGUGAUCUUAAUAGAAAUUAUAGAAUGGUGUGCCAACAAGUGUCUCAAUUCAAAAAUUCAGCCCCAAAUUGGAUGCUUCAGCAAUCAGCAUCAUUACAAAAUAUUGUAAUAGACUGUGGAUAUGUCAGGGGCUUUCAAGUCAAUGUAUCAUAGGAGAUUCCAAACAUGUUUUUCUAUGUCGUCCUUUUAUGUAUGUGGCUUGCAUAGAUAAAUUGUCGUUAUCUUUUUGUCUCUAUGCUCAUGCUAUAACCUUAAGGUACCGUUUGGUUCGGGUAUAAGCAAGAACUAGCUAUUACAGGGAUAGGUACAAGUAUGGGGAUAAGAAAAAUAGUGUUUGGAUGAAAAUUGGGUUGUUCCCGAGGAUAGGAACAAUUUUAGGUAGUUUUAUAUAGAAAAUGGAGGUGUUGGUGGGGAUAACCGAGAACUACUAUUCUCGGGUAAAAAAUUAGUGUUUAGGUAUAAAGGGGGGAUAAGGGCCUAUUCCUAUCCCUAUCCCCUAACCAAACGCUGCCUUUUUUUAAGAAUAUUAAUGCAUAUUCACUCUUGCUUUCAGUAAUUUGGGACUCAUUAGCUUUAUUUUUCUUGCAGUGUGCUAAGCUGACUUUGGUUCUUUCCGGUAAGGUUUAAUAUCUUGUUAGUAUUUAUUUUCAUCGAUUGCUUGGUCAUGCUUGAAACCUUGUUUUUUAUUUAUUUGAAAAUCUCUGUUCAAGUAGACUUGUUGUUUAUUCUUUCAGUUUUUUGACUGGCAACCUUGUUAAUUCUUUUUGUAUGUCAAAAUCUGUAAUGUAUUUCUUUCUAUUUUCUCUUUGGAGAAUAAAUCAAAUGUACAUCAAAUUAACCUGAUGAAGAAAUAAGAUAACAACAAGAAUCCAGGGAAUGAGAGAGUUCAUUUGCCAUAUUAUAAUUUAUCUUAGUUCUAAACAAAGUCUAUCUCGUUAACACAUGAAAAUCCUCUCUCCAUUUCAGUUUCUUUAGAUGUACUAACAUCUUCUAAGGGCUGGACUUAUAAUUGUUAUUAGCACUUUCUCUCUUCGGAUUGCUACAACAAUUUGGUGUAGGUUUUUAUUUUUUUUUUUCUUUUUGGGUAAUGCAACCUCCGUCAAAAGGCUCUUAAAUUUUCUUCUGGGUAAUCAUGUGCAAGCAUUUGAUUCAAUAGUAGCCCAUUAAUUUCAGCUAAAUUAUUCAGAACGAUAUAAGAUUUCAGCUUUUUAGUAAAGGCCUUCGUGUUCCCCUUCUUACGUAGGACAGAUUAUUAUAGUGAACUAGGAGGAAAGGUGAAAAGAAAUUUCCAUGUGAGUUUAAAUGAUUAAAUAAUGAUAUUACACAUGGUUUUAAACUAAUAUCAACUUCAUGAGUAUCUAGACUAAUUAGUUUGAGACAUGGAUGGACUGUGCCGCACUUGUGCUAGCUAUAGUGUUUAUUGGCUAUUCGUUGAUGUGUGUGUAUAUUAGGUACAUCCAUGCCGCUUAGCAGAAGUCAAGUUCUUUUUUUCUUUUUUCUUUUUAAUUUAAUGUUGAGCGAGCUUGCCAUGCUUCCAUUUAAUGGAGGAAUUCAUCCUUUAUGAAACAAAUAACUCAAAUUGUUUAUUAGCUUAAUUCUAAGAUACAGCCCAAAUAAUCAAUGAAAAAUAGUGAGUUCUGUAUGGUUAUGCCAUCCUUUUUUAUAAAAGGGAAGUUAGUAUUGAAGUUUGAUAAGCAGAACUAAAUAAGUUCUACUUUGAUAACAAAGAUUUUACUUUUUCCUUAGGCCUUUUCACUUAUGACAAGCAUCUCUGGACAUUGCGUAGCUAUAAAUUGAUUUAUCAAACUAACCAUGGUUGCAUGCUAUUAGUGCUUCCUUGCUGUUUCUCAGUUCUCUUUUAUUCUACUUAUAAUGUGUGUGAAAUAUUUCAAAAGGACCUCAACUGCCAAAAAAGAUCCGUGCUCUUGCAUCCUGCAAAGAUUAUACUUUUGCUGCGUACGGAAGCGAUAUUGGAGUGUUCAAACGUGCUCAGCAGGUUAACAAGAGGAAUAUUUUUUUGCAUUACUAUUUUAUGUUGUUUUGAAGUAAGAUGAGUAGUUCUGACUCUCCUUCCUGCUGCUUCUACCAAUGGGUGUUGAAGCCUUCAUAUUUGUUGUUUUUUCAUUUUUUUGGAGCUGGAAUGUUUUCUGGUGCUUGUAUACUAAAAUGACAUCUAAUAGAAGUUUUACCCAGGAUUCAUAGUUGUCUGAUGUACUUUAUGCACAACUUGUGGCUUUAUAAGGAUAUUAUUUCAGUUGAAGCCUGCUUGUAUGGUAUAUUGUACCCUUUUAUAGUUGGCUAUAUUUUUUGAGGAAGUUGCCAAUCCUAGAGCUGUUGCUAGUAUUUAAUUAUAGCUUCAGACCACUGCUAUAUUUAGCACUUUGGACAGAACUUGUUGCAUUAUGAUGCUUGUCUGAACAUCUAUUAGCACAGCAUAUUUCUUAACCUUUGGUUCUUAACUUCUCUUUUUUUUUUCUUUUUGAUAAUUGUUUCCUUAAUAUUUCAUGUUUUCAAUUAUUCUGUAUUCUCACAAUGUACACCGGGCAUGUUUUCAUUGCUGAACAUGAUCUGAUCUGUGUUUGUUAAGGCUUUUUAUCAACUAUUUCUUUUCCCUCCAUAACUUACUGUUGUUAUUCAACUUCCAAUCAGGUAGCCACAUGGAGCAAACACAAAGAAAAAGUCAAGUUAUUAUUCUUGUUUGGAGAACAUAUCUUGAGCCUAGAUAUUAGGGGUAACAUAUUUAUUUGGUCAUUUAAAGGAAGGGAGCCUAACCUUGAACCAGUUGGGCAUAUACUUUUAGAAGGCAAAUUCUCUCCAAGCUGCAUAACGCAUCCAGAUACUUAUCUAAAUAAGGUAGAUGCAGGGUCAUUUUUUAAUUCCCAGAGUUUAUACUGAGGCCUCAUCAAGACUUGAACUCUAUUCAUGAAUUCACAGUAUAUUACUCAGUUGGAAAUUCAGACUUAAAUUAAUUCUGAAUCAGGUCAUCAUUGGUAGUCAAGAAGGUCCACUGCAACUAUGGAAUGUCAGCACGAAGAAGAAACUUUACGAAUUUAAAGGCUGGAAUUCAUCUGUAUGUUGUUGUGUUGCAUCACCUGCAUUGGAUGUGGUUGCUGUUGGCUGUUCUGAUGGAACUAUCCAUGUACACAAUAUGCGGUAUGAUGAAGAGUUAGUUUCAUUUCCGCAUUCUGUUCGUGGUUCUGUGACUGCAUUGUCAUUUAGAACAGGUAAUACGCUCAUCUAGUGUUUUGUUGAAAGUAUCAAAUUAUUCUAUGCGGCACACCUUUGAAUUUGACCUAUACAGAAUGCUUCAUGUUUUGGUCUCGCUUCAACUGUGUUUAUUCAACUAUUGUGGAUAUUGUAGUUUCUUGGCGUAACAUACUAGUUUACGACAUUUUACGUUUCUGCAAAUUUGAAUCUUGGACUAGGAAUAUUCUCAGUGUGCUAUGCAGGAAUGUAUGAUUCACAACAAAUUUAGUGCAUGAUGUAAGAAAUCUUAAUGAUUACCUUGAUUUUAUGUGAAGUUUCUCUAAUGUGCAAACUAGGUUGAUUUCUUAAAUUUAGGGAAUGCAAAAGGUUGGUAUGUUAAGAUUUCAUUCUCUAUGUCAUUAUUACAAACAGUUCUCUUCCUUUUUAUCUGUACAACCAGAUGGACAACCACUUCUAGCUUCUGGAGGUUCAUCAGGUCUGAUUAGCAUAUGGAAUCUUGAGAAGAAAAGGCUUCAGUCUGUCAUUAGGGAAGCUCAUGAUGCCUCAAUAGUGUCACUGCAUUUUUUUGCCAAUGAGCCUGUUCUUAUGAGCUCUGCAGCAGAUAAUUCAAUAAAAGUAAGGGCUCACCUUUAAUACUUUUGCCAUAUAUAAAUGAUUCCAUUCUAUGAAUGAUUUCAAGAGUGAUACUACUAGAAAGUGGAAACAUAUUGAAGUUUGGUUUUUAGCCUCACCCUAUGCAAAUUUUUGCGAGUUGCUGAGUGUUCACAGUGCUAUAAGUUAGAUUGGGAUACUCAAAUAUGCUUUUCUGUCAACUUGUGUAGAUUUCUUGGCUGCUUUCUAGAUCAGCUGAAAUAAUAUUUUGUUGACAAGUAUAUAUUAAUAUAAAAAAUUAAGUGUUGCUUAUUUUAUAUUAUAGUCACGACUUCUAUUACUACAACAAUGACUUUCUGGGUUUAAGUUGCAUUUAAUUUAGUAGCAUCUCAACCUUAAUUUAAUCUGAGUUGGCACUGACACUUCCUUUAAACAGUCUUGCUUAAUCUGCAUAAUCUACUUGUUUCUCUGUUCCAGAUGUGGAUUUUUGAUAACAAUGAUGGAGAUGCUCGCCUUUUACGUUUUCGAAGUGGCCAUAGUGCUCCACCUCUUUGUGUGAGGUAAAGAGUCCCAUCACUUUCUUUUUGCAAGCGUUUCUAGUCAACAUCCACUCAUCUUGGAUUUACUUUUUCAGAGAUAGUUUUUGAUUGAAAUUACUUUUUACAAUGGUUGGUGCAUUGUGCUGCAAAUCUAUUUCGACAAGUUGGUACUCUUGUGAGCUUCUCUAGUGUUAGUGCUUGUGGAGUUAUCAACAAUUUGUUACAGAGUUUGAUUCUUUAUUUUCAAAAUUCAUGACUUGAGGGUGAAUAUAUUGGAUCAGAACUUGCUACAGUGUUAUAUUAUAGGUCGGUACUGCCAGGUUGCUUGGCAUUAAACUACCCAGAUGGUAAAAUUUACCCAGUAGUUGGAUAAAUUUCUGCAUUCUUGUUGAAUGAUAAAGCUUUAUUAUUCAUAAUGGUUCGAUUAUAGGUUCUAUGGAAAUGGAAGAUUCCUCUUAUCUGCCGGGCAAGACCGUGCCUUCCGUCUCUUCUCUGUCAUCCAGGUAUUAUACACUUGUUCUCUUUAAUAUUAUUCUUCUUUUCUACUAACAUAACCUUAAUAGGACAAGACCCUCUUCUAAAGGAACUAAUAUCAUGUGUUCUGGGAUGCAUUGGUUUGAGCUUCUCCAAAAAUAUUUGUACGAAACCAAUUUACAUGUUUCAAAUGCUAAACUAUCCAAGUUGACUUCACUUUGUUUUUUUGUAGUUUGUUGACAAUAAUUGAAUUUGUCUAGUAAUGAAAUGUAGGUUGCAAUAGUUAUUCCAGAUAUAAGACACUAGAACUUCUGCUGAAAGAAUUGUAUGCUCGUCUGUUUAUGAAUUGUUGUCCCAAUCAGCUUAAUCCGAAUGGUAGGGAUUCUUUGGGAUUUUGCUUAAAGUAUUUGGAAUAUUCCAAGUGCAUAUGCAUAUGCCUUGUUUUAACUAGAAUGUGCUUAGAUCAUAAAAACAAAUAUUAAUGCCUAAAAGCUACUAAAUAUCAGAAUUGUUGUGCAGGACCAACAAAGCAGAGAGUUGUCUCAGCGCCAUGUGGCUAAAAGAGCUAAGAAACUUGGAAAGAAGGUAAUAUGGAGUAAUCUGCAUUCUCUCUUUUUUCUCUCUUUUUUUUUUUUCUCCCUUUGCUUGGGUAUCAUGGGAAAAACAAAUUUCAAUGAUCGGUUUCUCCUUUUGUCUUUGGUUCGCAGGAAGAAGAGAUCAAGCUAAGGCCUGUCAUUGCUUUUGAUUUUGGUAUGUAUUUUUGCUUCAAUUAAUAUCUCUCAAUGUCAUGCAUUUCCAUGAUGUUUCGGUAACCAGUGUACCUGCUUUCACUCAAAGAUAAGUCUCGUAUUUGAACAAUCAUGUGCGAGUAAUUGUGAUAUAAGAUCUCAUAAACAUGCUUUUCAGCUGCUGAAUUAUAUCUUUUUUUGUAUGCAUAAGAAGCUAGAGUAUCUAAAAAAUGAGUCCGGCUACUAUACUCUUAUGAGUUCGAUCGCCUUCGUACUCAUAAGUUGUUUUCGAUGAUAGAGCUUCCGAAUCGACGAUACAUACCGUUAAAUAUUAUCUAGAGCAUUUAAAACUUUUAGAAAUCAAAUUUUAUAAUUUUUCGAUAUUAUUUACCUUACGAUCAAAAGCUCACAAAAAUGACAAUUUUUAACGGCCGGUAUGAGAUAUUUGCUAAUUUAACGGUGAAAAAGAAUCGGAAUAGGUUGACUUUUUGAUAGAAAAUUCUAUUCACUACCUAAAUAAAGAUCAAUAACUCCGAUCUUAAGUUGAAGGAUCUGAUCAUCCAUUUUUAGGAUGUCGUUCAAUUUUAACCGUUCAUUUUAUACCCGCUUGAUGGACUUUAUAAUGAUUUCGAAAAAUUACGAAAUUUAUUUUCUAGAAGUUUCAAAUACUCUAGAUCAUAUUUAAUGGUGUGGAUCGUCGAUUCGAAAAUCCCAACAUUGAAAACAACUUAUGAGUACGAAGGGCUCUAUACUCAUAAGAGUAUAGUAGCCCUACUCCUAAAAUACAAAGAUUUAAAAUUGCUCUACAUGGCUGUAUUUUGCCAUAAACACAGCUAGUUUUGUGAAACCUAUUUGUCGACUUUCCUGUCUGCCGGAUAGUGGUCAUUUUAUUAUUUCCAGCUGCCUUGUUUUCUGCAUAAUACUUUAUUAUGAUUCCAUUAUAGUUGUUAUGCUGUAGUGUAGUUGCUGGGAAUUGGAUGCAGCUGUAUUAUCAGUUAGUUUUGCUAAUUUUACAACUAUGAGAUUAUAGCUAUAUGAAACAGAAGUAGAAGAACGAAUCGAUGCUCGUAAAAAUGCCAGAACUUGUUUAUAAAUUGAAGUGUCUCCAUUUAAGAACCAAGCAGAUUUUUGCUUCUAGGUUAAAUUUAUACAUCAGUUGAUAGAUUACAAGAAGUUGUUGAAAAGCAAAAAUUCAGAAUGGAUGGAAGGUGGAAAAGUUUCUCCAAAUGCGUUUAGUUAUAAUCUAAUGUUACUUUGUCAGUCUCUCUUAUUCUUGCUGGCGAUAUAUUAUGUAUUCAUCUUUCUGAUAGUUCUUUUGCAAAUGCAUUCUCUUAAUUAUAGAUAUUGUGGUUAGUGAAAUAUUUUCAACUAUUAUGCUUGUCUGUUACUUGAGACUAAAAUAAUGAUUGUAGCUGAGAUACGUGAGCGUGAUUGGUGCAAUGUUGUGACGUGUCACAUGGAUACUCCACGGGCAUACGUAUGGCGGCUUCAGAACUUUGUUCUUGGUGAGCAUAUUCUGACACCAUCUGCAGACAUUGAAUCACCUGUUAAGGUACACCAGUCCUUUAACUUUGUUGGUUUUAUUGUUUUGAUUUCAAAACAACAAAGAUAACAGUUUUCUCUGGUCCUAAAACUUGGUGGAGAAAAUAUUGUCAUUUUAUUCAAAACUCUCUAAUGAUAUGGAUUAAAUGGUUCCGUCAAAUUUAUCGCCUGUAUUUUAUGUUGUGCGGCAGACUUGUACAAUAAGUGCAUGUGGUAAUUUUGCUGUCUUGGGAACUGAGGGUGGUUGGAUUGAAAGAUUUAACCUGCAAUCGGGAAUCAGCCGAGGCAGCUACAUUGAUACUCUUGAACCUAGACAAUGUGCACAUGAUGGAGAAGUAGUCGGAAUUGCUUGUGAUGCUACAAACAGUUCAUUAAUAAGUGCAGGGUAUCAUGGUGAUAUCAAGGUCCCUUUUUUUUUUUCUAAAUAUGCAGCUCAGUUUUUUCUGUUUAAACUCUCCUUUUGUAACAUCAAACAUAGAAAUGAUUUUGGAGCGAAUCUGUUAGAAUGUAAAAAGAUAUUCAGAUUUUGUUAUAUUAUAUAUUUUUUGAGAGAGAAAGGUAGUAAGCUCUCCACUUUGUUCAUUUUUUGGAAAUGAGCUUAGCUAGAAAUGUAGAGCAACUAGGCUUCGAGCUUAAGAACUCGUGUACCAACCAUCGUGCCCUUAGCAAACUGCGCUAGAUACAAUCUAUAAUUUUGGUAUUAUUAAUUUAUAGAAUAGGACAUCACGAGUACAUCACGAGUACAUCAUGAUAAUAAGAGUGCAUCCGCGCUUAAAGUAAUAUAUGUAGUUUGACAUAAUACGUACAUCAUGAUAAUAGGAGUGCAUCCACGUUCAAACUAUUGUAUGUGCACAAUGUACAGACUCGUACUAGAUUGCUGAUAUAUUUCUCUUGGUUAGCAUUGUAUUCAAUUCUCCGCAAAGAACCUUUUCAGAGUCUUUAAUGCGGUUGAAUUUGGCAUGACACAAAGAGCAAUUUUAAUGCUUAGUUAAUUCAUAACAAGGACUAUUUAACUGUGAAUUGUUAUCUAUUCUCCACAUGAAAAUGUGCACUUCUUUGUUUUUCUGAUCUCUGAAGUGCCAUCCAUGAUCAUGCAUAUUAUUCAAGCUACAAUAAAUAACUUAUUAUCUGUUUCAGGUGUGGGAUUUCAAAAGUCGUGGACUAACAGCUCGACAGGAAGUUGGACGUUCUCUUGUGAAGUUUGUAUAUCACAGAGUAAAUGGUAUGGUCCAAUCUCCAAUAUCUUCAUUCUAUCCAGAAGAGAAUAUAAUUGAUUAAUCUCAUUAUUUUGUUUUCAGGACUUCUUGCAACUGUGGCAGAUGACAUGGUUCUUCGCCUGUUUGAUGUUGUGGCACUGCGAAUGGUUCGUAACUUUGAGGGUCAUACGGAUCGAGUUACCGAUUUGUGCUUUAGUGAGGAUGGAAAGUGGCUUUUGUCUUCUGGUAUGGAUGGAACUCUCAGAAUAUGGGAUAUCAUAUUGGCCAGACAGAUAGAUGCAAUAUGCGUCGAUGCGUCCAUAACUGCACUAUCUCUGUCACCUUCUAUGGAUGUAUUGGCAACUACUCAUGUUGAUCAGAAUGGUGUCUAUCUUUGGUGAGCUUACAUUUCAUUUAUUUGCUGAUUGCAUCAGUUUUAGCUAGCAUGCACGUUCUGUAACUGAAAACAGAAGUUUAAGACUCAUUCAUGUAAUAUUAUGUCAAGAACAGGCACUGUAGACAACUUAUAUAGGUCCAAAAGAUUUGUAUUAUAGACUAAUAAAAGGAGAUCUAAAAUUGCUUUUUCUUUUUCGCAUUGUAAGUCCACUUCUCCUUUUUUUUUUUUUUUUUUUUUUUUUUUUCUUUUUGAUUAGCAAUAAUAGGAUACUUUAUUGGUUUUUCAUGCUUCUUUAUUUGAACUAUCUUACUUUGGUUAGGAUUACAAGCUAUAAUGAUUUCUAUUUGUGCUUUUCUUUUGCUGUGUAGACUCAGAACUUUCGUCUUUUGAAUUUUCAGGGUUAAUCAGGCUAUGUUCUCGGGGUCCACCAAUAUAGAUAAUUAUGCAAGUGGGAAGCAUGUACGAAAUGUUCAAAUGCCAUCUGUCUCUGCGAAAGAAGGAUCCGAAGAAGAAUCAAUUCAAGCUUCAGGCAACCAGUCCCAAAUGAAAAAUUCUUCGUUUGCACAUAUUGAUCACCAAAUACCUAAUCUAAUCACACUCUCCUUGCUUCCGAGGAGCCAGUGGCAACAUUUGACUAAUUUAGACAUUAUAAAGGUUAGUUUGGCUAUUUAAGUCAAUAUAUAGGCUCUUUCACAUGGAUAUGAGUUAAAUAUAAUUCUAUUUCAAAUUAUGCAUGUAUUACUUUUGAUUUAUUAUGCUAUUUCAUGUCUUAUUACGUGGCUUUAUUUGUCCUUGUCUCAUCUACUGUAAUUUCUACUUCCGGUGCAUUCAGGUUCGUAACAAGCCAGUUGAGCCACCGAAAAAGCCGGAAAAGGCACCCUUUUUCUUGCCCUCUACUCCGUCUCUUUCCGGAGAAAUAGUAUUUAAACCUAAUUCUGAUGCCAAUAGUGAAGAAAAAGAUCGAAAAAAUAUUGGCCUGAAGCAUCAUAACAAAACUGCUGAUAUAACCUCGCGAUUCAUUCUGCUGUUACAGUCCUGUGGAGAUACAAAAAACUGUAAGCAUUUCGAGUGACCUAUUUGCAAUUAUACUAUUAUUAUGUAAUAUAUAGGAGAAUCAUGUAAAACAAGUAAUAGGCUUAUUGUUUCUUCCGCCAUCUUUGUUAAAUAAAAUUUCAAAGCCACCCAUCAUCAUCAUCUUUUUCUCAUCUAUUUUGAUUAAACCUUUUGUUUUAUUUCUCAAGGUUUACUUGCUGAUUUCAGAAUUUACACUCUUGAGCUGCAGUUUCAGAGUUUACGGAGUACAUUAAAAGUUUAUCUCCCUCAUCUCUGGAUAUGGAACUGCGAUUGCUCCAGAUAGUAGAUGACGGCAAUCUAGAAAAUCUGGACCAGCGGCCUGAAUUAGGUUCUAUCGCACUUCUGUUGGAUUAUUUCAUUCAUGAGCUUUCCGCCAGGAAUAACUUCGAGUUUAUUCAAGCUGUUAUUAGGUUGUUUCUUAAGGUAUGUAUUGGUUAUUUAGUGUUUCAUUGCUUUUUUACGCGUGCUUUUAAUUAAGCCUUAAGAUGUGAACUGUAAAGAUUAAUGUUAUUUCAUCAAAUGAAGCUUAUUUUGGCCUUGUGAAGUACGGCAAAGUAAUUUAUGUUCGCAGCUACACUUAAGUGGUUCUUUCCAGGGUAAGCGAAUCUCAGAAAUUGAACAUGGAAAAUUAGCCUUGUUUGGCCUCUAAAUUACUUAAAUUGGAACCGUAACACCUGUUGCUUGAGAAUCUUCUGUAACUUCUUUUUUCUGUUUUAUGUUAUAGGAAAAGUAUGAUUUUAAUGCAUUGUUUUUUUAUACUAUUAUUUAGGUGUAAGAAAAUUAUUGGCUUCCUACUAACAUAAACUCUACCGAAUCUUGGAAACAGAUACACGGUGAAACUGUGCGGCACCAUUCAAUUUUACAGGCGAAGGCGAAGAAGCUUCUAGAAGUUCAAAGCUCGGUUUGGCAACGGAUAGACAAAAUGUUUCAAAGUGCAAGAUGCAUGGCCACAUUUCUUAGCAAUUCACAGUUCUAGCAAAGGGUUCCUUCUCUGAUUGCAUACACAAGGGUAGUUUCUCCUUGCAGUUAAUUUCAUGCCAAGCCUAUGCUUUGCUGCCUUAGGUAUUUGAUGCUCAUUUUAGAGUGUUUUUUUUUUCCAAACAAAAUUUCAAGACAUGACAGAAUUACAAUAUAAUCCAGGAAAAAGUUGGCAUUGCCUCCUAGCUUUUCUAGUAAAUUUAGAUUCCUGCUUUUAUUUCAUAUAUUGUUGGUUGAAAAUGAAAGUGUAUUGAGUUCUUAGCAGCAAGUGUGACCAAAGAGUGGGUAGCACUCCAAUUUAACUUGAGUUAUAGCCUUCAUUACACUAGAUGCAAGUCAAUCUCAUAAAAGAAGCCCCUUACUAAUUCAAUCUAUGCUGCCUUGUUAUCUAAAACCCUUCUGUCAAUUAUAUUAUUUAUUCCUAACAUAGAUAAUUAAGUUUUCAUGCAUCAAUUGUUGGAGAGAAUUGGAAAAUAAUGAAUGAUAUGCAUUUAGUUUGACAGGGAACUUACCCAAGACAAAGUUGACGUUAAAAAAAAAAAUGGAGUCACAUACCUGAUCCACAUAAUUGGCUAAAGAUUUGUUUCUUCUGCCGAUGAUAUAUACAACGUGAACAUAUGUUAUAUCUCGCAAAGUGUAAAGGUGCGAACAUGUUAGUGAUGUGACAAUAAUAGAUAAGGUAUUUCAAGAGUACUAGUUGAAACAUGUAUUCUCGACAAUUGAGAAUUUUCAAGAUUGGAGCUAAUGAAAGUUUCAAGAGAAUCACCUCAUUGAUUAAAUCUGGUUCCUGGAUAAUGAGAAUAUAAGUUAUACUUCACAAUAACUUAAAGUUGAAUUCCUACCCUAAAAUCAUUAGUUUUCUGACAGCUGUACUGACUUUCUUGUUACUUGUCAUCUUAUACUUUUGGUCUUUCACCUUUUUGGCCUUUUUUUUUUUUAAAUUUUAAAUCUUUGCUAACAAUUGAGUAUCUCACUAAACUUUGCAGCUAAUUAGGAGGUACAAUCUCUAUUUCCAGCUACAGCUCCGUAUUGCUUCUGCGCUUCCCUUUAUCUAAAGAGAGACUCGCAGCUCAUCAGCACUUCUUGAUAGCUUCUUCUUUUUGUCAACUGAGAUCCGCUUCGGAGAUUUACAGUGAACUGAACUUCAUCUGCCCAGAAACCAUUCAUAGUCUCGACGGCGAUAGAGACGAAGAUCUCUACAGACAUGUUGAGGAGUCGUCGAACAACACAAACCAUGCAAAAUUUUGGGCGCCAAUCGCGUAUUUUGUAGGUAUUACCAGUAUCUAUUGCUGCGUGGUGAAAAUCUCACCAUGAAUCGAAUUUCCGAUCUUGAUUAAUGUAUAAUUUCUUGAUAUCUAAACAAGUAUGUUGCGGCGUGAAAUUUUGUUAGAAGUUGUAUUUAUGGUCAUUAUAUUUGUAAUCUAAUUAUAAUGGCAAAAUUUCUGAGUUAUGUAUCAAAUUUUCAUGUUAAAUCGAGAGAGUUGAAUAUAUUCCAAGGUCUUAAAUAUUCAGAGAGAAAGAUUUCGUUCUUACUUAUCUUAUCACUCUGGGGGGUGUUUGGUUUGCUGGAAAUCAUUCGAGAAAGCAGGUUUCAGUUGGAAAAGUAUUUUUCGUCCGUUUGGUUUGUGAAAAAAACAUAGUUUUACAGAAAAAGGUUUUUGAUGUAGAAUUUUAUUUUUCGGUAAAAAUGAAUGUAACUUAUCGGGACUAAGGAUCAUGGACUAUUUUCAAUCAUCUAUCUAAUUUUUUAGAAUUUUGAUUUUACUAUCUAAUUUUUUAAUUUGUUCGUGAUAUUAAAAGUAAAGCAAAUUUUUGAGUCAGUAUUUUUCUCUUUCAAUGUUGGUACUAAGCUAAGCAUGAUGAUCGAAGAAUAUUUUGAAUCGAACGUCAUUUUUUAGCGCCUACUUUACAUUACAAAAUACAAAAAAUAAAUUUUUGGUGUUUUGAAGUUUUAUAAAACUAUAUGGAAUACAUACGAUUAAAAUAAUUAUACAUUGUAUAAUUAAUAAAUUUAAUCGAAGAGAAUGGUCUAUUGCACUACUUGAUAAAAUUUAAAGAGUUUUAUUGCCCAAAUUAAAAGUUCAGGCACUUAUCUACAAAAGAUUUGAAGUUCAGGGGUCUUUGUACAUUUUUUUUGGCUUUAUCCUUUUGUUAGAAAAAAAAGAAAAAAAUGUAUAGAAAUUAUCUGAACUAUAAACCAUUUUGAUUUAGUUAUUCAACUUUUCAAAAUUUAAAUUUUACUAUCCAAUAUUUUAAUUUGUUUUAUUUAAGUCAAAGGCAGCUGGACUUCAAAAUUUGAAUGCGUCAUUUAUAUCUAUAAAUUUAGUUUGCAUACUUUAUCUUGUAACUAUAAAUUUAUUAAAAUAAGCUAUUUGCAUAAACUUUAAAGUUUAUAUAUAUAUAGAGAGAGAGAGUAGAAUAAUCCAAAUUAUAUGAAAAUUUAAUAAAAAAUUAUAUUUAAUAUUAAUAGUAAGUUCAAUAUUUCUGAUUUGAAAUUUAAGUCUUUUAUCACUAAUUUUUAUAAAAUUUUUAUUUUCAAUCAUUCAUUUUUAGAUUACUCGUUUGCUAGACAAAUAAAGUUAAUAAAUUAUAAAAUUUGGCAUCUAAAUAGUUUCAAUAGCGUAAAUUAUAUUUAACGAAACCGAUCGCCAAGUUAGAUGUCCAUUAUUGAAAACAAUUUACCAGUACGGAAGACCUCCGUAAUUUCAAAAGCAUAGGAGCCUAGCGCGCGCGCGCUCUCUCUCUCUCUCUGCAUAUAUAUAUAUAUAUAUAUAUAUAUAUAUAUAUAUAUAUAUAGAGCUAGGCUACUAUACUAUCUAUAGUACCGAGCUCCGGUACUAUAGUGUUGAUUUUCGAUCUUAGGGCGUUCAAAUCAACGAUCCACACCAUUAAAACUGAUCUAGGGUAUUUAAAGUUUAUAGAAAUAAAAUUUCAUAUUUUUUCGACAUAGUUUACUUUAUGAUCAAACUAUUUCAAAAUUGUCAAUUUUCAAUGGCUAUUAUGACGAGUUUGGAGUUUAACGGUGUAGAAGAAUCUAAAUUUCUUCAAAUUUUGAUAGAAAAUACUUUAAACUAUAUAGAUUAAGGUUAACAUUCUUGAUCUUGAAUUUAAAAGUCCUAUACUCAAAUUUUAAAGAUUAUUCAAUUUUCACCGUCCAUUUUGAUAUAAUUUAUUUAUUAAGUAAACGAUAUCGAAAAAAACUAAAAUUUUAUUCCUAAGAAAUUCAUAUAUCCUAGAUCAUAUUUAACGGUGUGGUUUGUUGAUUUGAAUGCCCAAAGAUCGAAAACAAACACUAUAGUACCGGAGCUCGGUACUAUAGAUAGUAUAGUAGCCUAAUUCUAUAUAUAUAUAUAUAUAUAUAUCGUUCACUGAUUGAAAUCAAAUAAAUUAAUAAGGUUGGAUGGUAAAAUCAAAAGUCGUAAAUGAUUUACCGCUUUCAGAAAGCGAUUAAUCAAUCAUCGCUUUUGCCAAGCUUAUAUUUUUUUACAUCUAAAUUUCUAAAAAUGUAUAACAUUAAAUAGUAAAAAUAAUUUUAACGUUUUGAAAAAAUAGUAAAUAAUUUAUCAAAUUUAAAAAACGAUAAAUCAUUUAGACUGGUUUUAUAAAUAAAUUUUUUAAAGGACUAUUUUGACAAUUAUAAUGUAUUUUAGGGGAAAUUCUUAUAAAAGUUUUAAAUUUUCUUAUUUAUCCACUUAGAAGGAUAAUAUAUAUAAAAAAACCUUUUUAUAAAUACUUUCAAAUAUAUCAAUAGAGAUAAAUUCUGUAACUAGUAAAUUGUUAUGAACAAUCGAUAUCGAUGUAAAAUUAUUAUUUUGCUCUUUCAAAUAUAUAUUUUUUUAUCGCCACUAAUUUUUUUUAUUUGCUUUUAAAUUAAGAGAAAAAAAAUAUUUUGAUUUGUGUGUCGCCGCUAUCAAUAGAGUUGAAUGAUUCACUGUCUUAUCUGUGUUUAAUUUCAAGACUUAAACAAAUUUUAAUAAAUUUAGAGUAUUUCGCACUAAAGGCGGUAGCAUAUAUAUUAUGAAGGCGGUGAAUCAAGUGAAUGAUUCACCGCCUUUAUUAUAUAUAUGUGAAGGCGGUGAAUGAUUCACCGUAUUUAUAGCAAAAAUCUGAUUGGCGCCUACGUAGCGAAAGGAGGUUAUUUUUCCAAAUAAACUUUUGACAGGGUUAUUUCCUCAAUUUUAAAAUUUUUGAGGGGCAUUUUAUAAAAAAGCCCGAGGAGGAUGCGGAGGUGAUCGAACUCCUCUCCUCUCCCUCUCGCCUCCUCGAUGGGAUUCGCGAGACCCUUCGUCUCCCUCCUCCUCUUCCUCCUCGUCCUCUCCCCCUCCAAUCCCUUCCUCAUCGUCGCCGUUUCCGCCGAUCAGAUCUUCACAUCGUCUUCGGGUAAUCCCCCUUUUCCCACCUGUUUUUUCCGCCCCCUUUUUUCGUGCGUUUUUUCGUAAUUUCUGAAUGAUUAUCUCCAAUUUGAUCUCAAUUUGUGCCGUAGAAUGUUGUAUCUGUUGAAAAUAUGAUCUGGGUUUUGUUCAAGCUCGGAUUUUUUUAAGAUUUUGGGCUUGCGAUUUAAUGCUCAAUAAAUGGUGGCUUAGGUAUCUGAAGUUUGGAUUUUUACUACGCUGUGCGCAUGUGAACACCAAUUUGCAAUUUGGUAUUCGUCCAAAAAUAUUGAUGUUGAAAUGGAACAAAUAUUUUAUUGGAUGUUUGUGAUGGAAGUGUUUUAUGUAGCUAUUGUUAUAUUGCCUCAAAUAAGUUGAGAAUUAUUACUUGCUUGCUCUGAAGUAGCCGAUCUUAUGUGUUUAUUUACUAAUAAUAGCAUUGCAUUCAUGGGUGUAGAUUAUUGGUUUCUUGUAUAUUUAUCUUAAUUUAGAGAGCGAACUCAAUUGUGCAAAAUGUUGGGGAAGGCCAUGUUUAUGUCUCUGUGGGAAUUGAACCUUUUGGCUAUAUUCUGUGUUUUUCUCUUUUGUCCUAGUAAUUUUUCUUAAUUUUGACUCUCAGGUGUGGCAUUUGGGCGGAGUUCUCGUGAACCAAAAUAUGAUAUAGAAUUUCAUUCGACAGAUUCACCCUUUCAUCCCGUAAGUGGAUUUAUUCUUUUCAUUGUUUUCUCUUAUUCGUUUUGUAUUUAAAUCUUCGCUUGCAAAUAGGCUACUAUUCUUAUAAGAUCUUGACACAUCUUCGCUAUCAGAGAUCACAUUUAUCAAAUCAAUCGCAAGUACUACUUAAACUCUCAAAUGCUCUGGUCUCAUUUUGAUAUCCUGCAGGUGGAGAUUAGGACGAAGAGGAAAUAAAUAGGGAAAAGACAUACGAAGUGAAGACCUACGAAUUCAAAUCUAUAUUCUAUUUACUAAAUCAUGCCUUACAAUUCCGAGCUUUGAUGAACCAUUUACCCUUUUCAUUUACUAAAUCAUGCUAUACCUUUUCUAACAGCCUAAUUUCUUUUCACACCUCUAUUCCACAAUCAAUCACAUAGUAAGAACUAAUCCGUUAGGCAAGUGGAGAUGAACGUCAUGCAAAUUUCAUUUGUUUUGGGCGAUUGGAAAAGAGAAGAAAGAGACUUAACAUUUUGAUUUUCUGUUUGUAAUUUUGUUUGAAAGCGAGCCUAUUGAUCAAUGCUUGAAAGAAAAUGUAUUAACUGGCCUCAGUGUUGUCGAUCGAACAACAUAGUAAGUUUAAACACUAUCCAGUAUGCUUUAAUCGAGCUGAUUUACAGCCUAGUUGACACACUUAAUAAUGUUUGAGAUGAGCAAGAAAAUUGAUUUUGAAGUGCCAUUGAAAAGUAGGAUAUAGAUCGCAUUAAAAAUCUCAUGUAUUUGUCAGAAAUCUCCACCCUAUUUGAGAGCAUCAUUCCUUCUUUCUGGUAAACACUCCGAAGGUUGCUUAUUUAUUUGGGAGUACAUAUUUUUAUAUGUAUUCAACAAGAUGGUCUCUGUCAAUUUACUGACCAUUAUACAUUUAUACUGUUAGGAGUUACGGUAAUUUUUCUUUUGGAAGCUGUAAAACCAUAUUACUGGAACAGUUUUUCCCUCUGCCCAACCUUGCCAGUUUUGUGAUUCUAGUUACUGAGCUUAUAGUUUUCCGCCUUUAUGCCUAGUUUAAUAGUGUACUUGAUUUAAGUGUAUGUUAUAAUUUUGAGUUGCUAGCAUGACAAUAGAAAUUGCAGGAGAAUGGCCAGGAAUCCGUGGUAAUGACUAAUAAAGAGGGCCAAAAUUACAUGUGUUUCUUACCAAAGGAAGAGGAAACCAAAACGGUAAGGUCUAUUAUCCAACAGAAUUCAAGCAAUGUUAUUGUAGAAAGUGACCGAAGGAUCAAGUUGAAGACACCAGAUGAAUUGCUUGAUGUUCUGAAGGAUCAAUGCUUCUAUAGAGUAAGAGGGUUUCAUUUCUUUUUCGUUUUCUUCUUCUUUGUGGCAGUUUCUUGUAACUGCUUUUUUCUUUUUGUCUGUCAUGUAGCACGAAGGUUGGUGGUCUUAUGAAUUCUGUUAUCACCGAAAAAUAAGGCAAAUUCAUUUGGAGGAUAAUGAGGUCAGUUACUUCCUCUUUUUGCCGUUAUUGUUGUGUUGAUAGAUUUGUCGUUUUUGUCAUGAUUUCACACAAAAAGAUUUAGUAUAAAUCAACUCCUUGAUUUGGUAGGCAGAGGAUGGCUAGAGAAAAAAAAAAAAAGGUUGGUGGUAGGUUUUGAUAGCAUUGUUGGAUUCUUGUUGAGUUCGUCCCAAUCGUCCUUCUCUAGAUGCUUAAGUGGUCAUUUGGUCUAGUAGGAGCUUCUGAAAAAAUGCUAUUUGAGUAGAGUUAUUCUUUGGUUUAGUUUGGAAAUGCAUUCUCUAAAAGCAACCAUCUUGAGGCUAUAAAGCCGACAAAACAAAUCCGAAUGUGCUUUGAAGCUCCACUCCUCCGAUGCUAAACAAUGGCGGUAGGACCUGAAGAGUGGAGCCCAAAGUUCUAUAGUUAUUCAAUCCAUAAUAUGCUAUCGAUCAGGUGCGGUCUGUACAUUUUUGCCUUAUUGUAUUGCGACUUAACAAUUCCCAGACCCAUUCUAUGCUAGUGAUAUUUGUAAGUUCCACCGUGUUUUCUUUCCAAUUCUAUGCCCUCUGCCUUAUUAGCUACAGAUCGUAUAGCCAAUGAUUAUGUUGUCAUUACAUCAUAUUUGGAUACUUUUUGAUACUUUCAGUAAUUUUUAUUCUAUUUUUCUCUGCUAUCAUCAGCUAUCUAUUACACGCGAUUACCCAAUACCUAACUUAAAUAAUUUGAAAAUCUGUUACUGUUGAAGGUUGUUCAAGAAUUCGUGUUGGGCGAAUUCGACCCUGAUGGAACAGCUGCUCACAACCAGAAAGAUUCUGAUGCCUUUAUGCUUAAAGAUCCUCGCUCCAGAGAUGCCUCUCAAAGGUAGAAACAUCCCCUUAAAAAACAACCGAAGUAUGUAAAGAUCACGUGUUUCUUUUAAAAUCAAUUAGAGCAAUCAUGCUGAAAAAAAUAAAACUGAUUUUGGCAGGUAUCAUGCACAUCAGUAUACAAAUGGAACCACUUGUGACCUCACAGAUCAACCUAGGGAAACUGAGGUAGAAGAAUUACUAACUGUACCACUCGUUGUGUAGUUCUUAUGCGUGAUUUCUUAUGUAUCUUCUCUUUCCUACAGGUUAGAUUUGUUUGCGCGGAAUCCCCUGUAAUAAUUAGUUCAAUUAAGGAGAUUUCUUCUUGCAAAUAUGUCGUCACAGUGCAAAGCCCGAUGCUCUGCAAGCACCCGUAAGUCCUAAAUUGAUCAGUUCAGAAUUUCGUAAAGUCCUUGUGAUGAUACCGUGGAAACUUAACUUCUUCGCUAUCAAUCCAUUACUGUAAAUUACGAUGCACGUGACAAUUUUGGAUUAUACAUCAAGUAGGCUUUUUUUUAAAACUGCUGCAUUAAUCAUUCAAAAGCGGGCACCGACUGUUCAAAGCUAUGAAUUGUUGUGUAUAAGGAGGGGCGGGUCGGUCCUGAAGUUAAAAAGCUAGAGUUGCAGAAACAAAAAGAAGUGUCACUUUUCUGCAAAAACGAAAAAAAAGGAUUUACAAUUCGGUUUUUUCGCUCUAACUUUAUAUUCUCUGUUGACAGAAUGUAUCAGCAAGAAAGGCCGACGAGGCUCAUUCACUGCAACCAGUUGCCUGCGGACGCUAAAGACUCGGUCGAGAACAGCCCUAAAGUAACCCAAAUUACACUAGCUACCGAGGAAUCUGAAAGCUAUGCUACAUGAUUUCAAACUUUUCUGUUUUUCUCCUUCGAUGACCAAAUGCUUAGAUACAAUCACAUAGAUAGUAACUAUAGAUAUAAAAUCAAUGUUGUAUCUAACAAUUUUCACCAGUAUAUUAAACUUACCUUUGAUUGAUCAUUCCUGCCUGACGAAGGGAUCAUGCUGCGUCGUCUUUGAUAAUUAGAUGAGAAUGUGUUUAGGCUUAAAAAAGGGUGUUAGGAGAUUCAUUUAGCUGCUUUUUCUAUUCUUUUUUCUUUUUCUUUUUCUUUUUUUCCACUGAGAGAGAUUUACCAUGUAUUCAAUUUAUCUUAAUGCUUUUGUUAGUAUUUUCAGAUCCAGUUAUGAGAAAAUUGAAAAAGUUGGGGGUUUGUUUUCAACCUCAGAACCCCAUCUUAGAACAGCUACUGUGCUUUUCGACCCAGGAAAUUGGGGGGUUUGAGCUACACGGAUGGACUGUUUGGCUGUGUCACUGACUAUGAAGUCAACUAAUGUCAAAUCAUGUCACGUAUAAAUACGUAUGUCACUGACAAUGAAGUUAACUAAUGUCAAAUCAUGUCAUGUAAGGAUACGAGUAUCAUCGACUAUGAAGUCAACUAAAGUCAAGAUCAUCUACUAUAAACAUGUUAUGGAUGAGUCAAUCAUCAAGAAUAUCGCUCUACUAUAAGAUCAUGACCAUAUGAAAUAGAAGUAUCCGUAGAGCAACGAACUAUGAAGUCAAGUGGUAUACAAAAGCUCAACCAACAUUAAGUAAAUGAAAAAAGAUAAAAAUGGUAGAAAUCACCGAGCAGGCACCACUUUACCGACUUCGGAUCGAAGUAUCUACCUGUAUGAAUAACGCACCUGUCUCCGGACUGUGGAAGAUCAUCAAUCGGACCUACGGAGGAUCCACCGGGUUAGUAUAUAUAUCUAACCUUCAUAUAGGGAACACUAAAUCCACAACCCCACAAUAAUCCCACGGGGAUUGGUUUUCCAAAAUCGAUUAUUGUAACUCAUCGGGAGUUCCAAAAAUCGCUCCGGGACUCCACUGAGACCCACGAAGUGUCCCGAAACUUACAGACUCAUGCCACAAGUCACCCGCUGCCACGAAACACCAUAUUAAAGGUGUUCUGGCAGCAUACACGAAGGCUCACAUCGAAAUGAUUAUCGACGGAUAACCGUUUAGAUCCGGAUUUCCAAAAGUGUCGAUUUCGGCACUGAAACCCACCGUCACUCACCCAAUCAUCUCCGAACCUCCGAAACGAUGUGAGUGACCAGCCAACCAGGCUCAACGACAAAGUAUAGUAUACUCUAGCAUCAUCGAAAGAAAUCCGAAUGGAAACCGCAUUCUGUCUGCGAAUUUCGCGAAAAACACACCGAAAAUCGAUAUUCGAUUUCUGCGAAAGGCCUCAAACCCUGCACAAUCAGUCCAGAGAUCACCUGCCACCCACACAUACUGCCCACAGCACCCAUGGAGUGCACAAUUACACAAAAGCCCUUACUAUUCCAUAUAAUCACAUUAUUUUAUGUGAUUUACCGAGUUUUAUAGGUCGUUACAGCAAAUCGAGGGCUUUCGAGGUCGGCCAAGACAUGUACUAAUAGGUCUCGACGUGCCGGAGGCCGUGCUCACAAUCCGGAGCACAACGGUCCACUGUGGAGAGUGCGGGAGCGACUCGAAAAUCUGCAAACCCUGCGCACUGAAACUAAAAUGCAUCUAAUUCACCAAUCUGGGGCUCAUUGACCCCAAAUGAGGUGAUCACGAUGAUCGGCAUUGAUCCAGGAUCAUCGUGCUCACAUCUAAAAGCAUCGGGGUGCCCUUGGAUCGUCGGAAUAGCGAUCGCAAACUAAAAUAGUGCACAAACAGCUUAUAAAACUUACUGGGCAAGGGGAAGCUAGGGCACGGACCGCGGCGGGCGCGCCUGUGGCAGGCAGGUGCGGGUGACAUAGGGAGGUCAGGGCGCACGUCGGCCGGCGACCGCCGGCGGCAGCGGGCAAUGAUGAGCUAGCCGCAUGGGUAAAGGGAGGGUUUGGCUUUGGUCCAGCUGGCAGGGAACUCCGACGACGGAGGCGUCGGCGACAGCCAAGUGCAGCCGACCAGGGGGAGCCGGCACUCUUACUAACCAGCGGCAGGAGGCAGCGGUGGCGGCGUGGGAAGCAAAUCUGAAACCGCAUGAGCUCGGCUCGGGUUCAGGGGCUCAUGACGAUCACGGCUAUGGUCAAGGAGCUACGGGGCGACGGGGAUGGGUCGCCAGAGGCCGGAGGGAAGGUACCAAGGUGGCCCAAGGCGGCGAUAGCGCGAGGGGAAGGCCGCGGCAUCAUCUUGGCCUGAACUCGCCCAGGGUGGCCGCAGGGAUGUUGCAACCGUGGCAGCGGCGACAGUCGGCGGGGAGGGUCACCGGAGGCCCGGGGGAGGCACUGGUGAGGAGUUGGAGGGAGAUGGACCCUCAACUUGUGCUCGGCAAGAAUGGAGAGCCAAGGGAAGCAAUAUGCGGAUGAGGGAGAGAGAAUGUGGCUUUUCCGGCGGCCGGAGGUGCACGCGCACGGCCGAGGGGCGUGCGGCAAGGGUAGGGGAGGGUGGUGAGGCGACUAGGGCUUAGCUCAGGGCGACAAAAGUUCUAGGGUUAGGGUUUGGGUCAACAAAACCCUAAUUGCCACAAUAUAUAUAAUUGUAUUUUUGCAUAAGUCCUCCGAUGCUCAGUAUUUUGUACCGAGUCCCUCACAACGUGAGUAAAUCACACGGAUAUAUCUCCACAUUAGAUUUCACGCAAAACGAUACAUAAAAUAAAGGGUAUUUUGUGGAUUUUUCGUUUUGCCAAUUUCGACCCCUUUGCGAGCAUUUUAAAUUUUCGCGAUAUCCGUCCAUCGGAUUUGCGAACGGACUGUGCCAGCACGUUCAGCACGAUCGGGGCAUUGAGCUCACGAUUCUGUUUUGUUCGAAUUGGUCGCCGAUUUGUGACAAAAGCCAUCCUCUCUCCAAUUUUCAAAAACCAAAUAUAUAUAUAUAUAUAUAUAUAUAUAUAUAUAAUAUACGAGUUGAGCUGGCUACUAUUAGUAGCAAAAUCCCAUUGUUCUACCAGUUUUUUAGCCUUCGAAUCAACUCUUCAUUAUUUCUAACCAUUGGAUUAAAUAUUAUAACCCAGUGGGGACACUCAACCCUAGGGGGACCAUUCAAUUCAAACCGACUAAUAUCAUCCUGACUUACAAUUUUUCAUCCAAGGGUUAAAAAUUUGAUAGCAAAAAGAGCGUUUUACUAUUAAUAGUAUUCCAGCCUAAUUCUAUAUAUAUAUAUAUAUAUAUAUUAUAUAUAUAUAAUAUAUAUAUAUAUAUAUAAUAUAUAUAUAUAGCACGAAACACUUAGUGCUACCAAGUUUUCCCGCGUUAGAUCCAUCCUUUUGAUUUAUUUCACCCGUUAGAUCAUACUAUUCAACCAACCACCCACUCAACCCUAAGGGGCCCACAUCAUCCUAACCACAUAUCUCUUAAUCCAAUGCCAAAAACUUUGUAGCACCAAUGACUUGGUGCUAUUAAUAGCAUAGUACCUAGUUCUUAUAUAUAUAUAUAUAUAUAUAUAUACACACCCCCCAACGAUAGCAUAGUAGAGCUACUAUGCUAUCGAAGCAUAAAAGUGGUUGAUGGGGAUCACUCACCCUAAGAGGACCGCUAUCAUCCCAACCGUAGAAUUUUUUAUCAAAGGGCUAAAAAAUCGAAAGCAUCAAAUACUUUAUACUUCAGAUAUAUAUAUAUAUAUAUAUAUAUUAUAUAUAUAUAUAUAUAUAAUAUAAUAUUAUAAAGAGAGAGAGAGAGAGAGAGAGAGAGAGAGAGAGAGAGAGUUGGACUGGGCUACUAUUAGUAGCAAAAUUCCAUUGUUGCUACCAGUUUUUUAGCCUUUGGAUCUACUCUUUUCAUUAUUUCUAACCAUUGGAUUAAAUACUAUAACCCAGUGGGAGACACUCAACCCUAGGGAGACCACUCAACUCUAACCGACUAAUAUCAUCCUGACCUACAUUUUUUAUCCAAUGGUUAAAACGUUGAUAGCAAAAGAGCGUUUUACUAUUAAUAGUAUUCUAGCCUAAUUCUCUCUCUCUCUCUCUCUCCCCCCCCCCCUCUUCCCUCUCUCUCCUCUCUCUCUCUCUAUAUAUAUAUAAAUAUAUAUAUAUAUAUAUAUAGUACGGCUACUAUACUCUUAUGAGUAGUGGUCUCUAGUACUCAUAAGUUGUUUUCGAUGAUGAAGCUUCCGAAAAUGGACAUCGCACUCCGUUAAAUAUGAUCUAGAGUAUUUGAAACUUCUAGAAAAUAAAUUUUGUAAUUUUUCGAAAUCAUAAUAAAGUCCAUCAAGCGGGCAUAAAAUGAACGGUCAAAAUUAAACAACGUCCUAAAAAUGGAUGAUCGGAUCCUUCAAUUUAAAAUCAGAGUUAUUGAUCUUUAUCUAGGUAGUGAAUAGAAUUUUCUAUCAAAAAUUCAACCUAUUCCGAUUCUUUUCUACCGUUAAACUAGCAACAAGAAUCCCAUACCGGCCGUUAAAAAUUGUCAAUUUUGUGAGCUUUUGAUCGUAAAGUAAAUGAUGUUGAAAAAUUAUGAAAUUUGAUUUCUAGAAGUUUUAAAUGCUCUAGAUAACGUUUAACGGUGUGGAUCGUCGAUUCGGAAGUUCUAUCAUCGAAAAUAACUUAUGAGUACGAGGGCGAUCGUACUCAUAAGAGUAUAGUAGCCGAACUAUAUAUAUAUAUAUAUUGCUCCUAUGUUUUUAAAAAUACCAAGUCAUUGGUGCUUGUAAGUUUUUCGCCCUUGGAUUAAGGGUUGUGCUGUUAGGAUGAUGUAGGCCCCCUAGGGUUGAGUGGGUGGUUGGUUGAAUAGUAUGAUCUAACGGGUGAAAAUGAUUAAAAACGUAAAUUUAACGGUAAAAAAUUUACAAGCACUAAGUGCUUGGUGCUUUUAUAAGCAUCAUAGCCGGACUCUAUAUAUAUAUAUAUAUAUAUAUAUAUAUAUAGUGUAGAGCUAUUAUGCUNNNNNNNNNNNNNNNNNNNCUCUCUCUCUCUAUAUAUAUAUAGAGUCCAGCUAUGGUGCUUGUAAAAGCACCAAGCACUUGGUGCUUGUAAGGUUUUACCGUUAGAUUUACUUCUCGGAUCAUUUUCAACCAUUAGAUUAUACUAUUCAACCAACCACCCACUCAACCCUAGGGGGCCCACAUCAUCCUAACCGCGUAUCUCUUAAUCCAAUGGCUAAAAAUCUACAAGUACCAAUAACUUGGUACUUUUAAAAGCAUAUGAGCUCAAUUAUAUAUAUAUAUAUAUAUAUAGUAGGGCUACUGUGCUAUUAGGAGCACAACAGUCCUUGUGCUCUUAACUUUCUAACCAUCCAUCAAGUUUGAUGAGUGGUUAGAAUGAGAGGUGGAAGAGAAAUUGGAGAGAAAUUGGGUGUCUCAAUUUUUCUUCUCCUUGAAUUUCUCUUCAAUAUCUCUUCCACUUUUUAUUCUAAUCACCCAUCAAAUUUGAUGGGUGGCUAGAAAGUUAGGAGCAUAAGGGCUGCUGUGCUCCUAAUAGCACAGUAGCCCUGCUCUAUAUAUAUGUAUGUUAAACCUCAAAUUCAAAUUCGAAUUUGAAUUCCCUCACUGGUAGGUACCUGAAAUCCUCUACCCUACUCCAGGACACAAGCACGGAGUACGAGAAGUUUUACAACGCAAGAACAGCAAAGAACAAAACCCUCUUUGCGAUAAAAUCUCUUUUUCUUGAAAAUCGUGAAUUAAAACCUAAAUCCGUCAAUGUUAUUGGGUUCAGAAUAGUUGAACCGUUGAAAACGAGCUAUUGGAUCAUUAUUAACGGAGUCCAGUACACAGCGGAAGCUAUCUCCACUCAUUGGCCUCUCCGAAAACUCCAAGUUACUAUUCACUUUAAGUGAUUAGUAAGGUCGCGUAACUUCUUCAUCCUAACUCGUUUUCUCCAGAAACUUGACGAGUGUUUAUGUAAUUAAAUUACACACAAAAAUAUCGUCAACAAAUAGUUUAGUUACACUGCAAAAUUCUCAGUCCUCACAAAUUAAGCUCAUAACAACUUUUUCUUAUUUAUUUUUAUUAAACUCUUUAGUCAAAAUCUUUAUUAGCUCUACUCUUGUCACAUGACAAUGUCUUGCCGCAUGACAGAAUCUAUCCAAUUGAAAGAGAAUUCAGAAACUAAUUCAAACAAACAGCAAAGAUUAGGGAUUAUUUAGAAAAUGAGACCAUGUAAACAAAUUAUUACUUCAACCAAUUGUAAGAUUUUAAAAAUGCAAAAUAAGAUUGGACCUUAAAAUUUUGAAUGUUGAAAAUUGUAUUAUUUAGUUCUAAAAAAAUCAACAAUAUGUAAAAUAAUAUUAUCUAUUCGAUAAUUAUAUAGUAUUCAAAAUCUAUGAUUUUGUUGUCUCUUCCUUUUAAUAUCAUAAAAUAUAUAUUCAACUUGUUAGAUUUUGGCAUCGAUGCAUUAAUUGCUUGUGGGAUUUUAGUAAUACAUGCCUCAUAUGGUGGUAAUAGUUUCUCCAAAUAGCCUUGAUAAGUACAUAUAUAUAUUUAAUCGCUUCAAAUUUCUCAAUUAAGUAAUUUAGCUGACACAAUAAAAUUUUCAAUUAAUUAAUUUUUUUAAGUUAAAUAGUUCAGUUAUCUUUGUUUAAUUCUCCCUAAUUGUUCAAAUUUAGAGGAUAGCAGAUGCCAUUCAAAUCCACAAACGUUAGUAUUAUACAUUAUUUCUUCUAUGCAAUUUUUUUUAUGAAGUUGUAAUAAAUUAUGACCUCAAAUUUCUAAUACGUAAAAUAAAUAUUUUUAUAAAGUUGUUAUAAAUUAUGGCCUCAAAAUUGUAAUACGUAAAAUUAUAUAUAUAUAUAUAUAUAUAGAGAGAGAGAGAGAGAUAAGUAGCUCGCUACUCGCUUCAAAUAAACUUAGCUGCAAAUAUGAAUCAACUAGGAUUCGAACUUGAGACCUCGGGUACCAACCACCAAACUUUUUGCCAAUUGCUCUAGGGACGAUCAAUUAAAAUAAAAAUAGUUAGUCUUUGUUUUGUAUCAUUUCUCUUUUUUUACGUUUAAUCUCAUACAACUCUCUAUAAACAUAUCAAAUAGCAAAUAUAUCCUUACAACGUUCAACUUUUAUUUUUAUCCAUAUAAAAGUCCAGUGAUAUUCAUAUUUACCCUCUUAAUUUGUUACCCUUAUAGCACUAUUUAUUUUUUAACAGCAGAUAAGUAAAAUGAUAUUUUUGCCCUCACAAAUAUAUCUUCCAAAAGCCCAAAUUAUUAAAAUUAUAUAGAAAUAUUCUCACAAGAAAGUAUCUUGCCCAAUAAUAUAAGAGGAGAAGAAAGGUUAAUUUAACUUAUUCACUAAUCAGGAUUAAGUAUUUUACUUUUGGUUAACUAUAUAUUUCUAACAGAUCCUAACAGUAGAGCUAUUAUUUAAAAGCGUUAAGACUUUUGCAGAGAUAAAAAUAAAAAGUUGAACUUUGUAGGGAUAUAUCUGUUAUUCGAUAUAUUUACAUGGAGUUGUAUACAAUCAACCUUUUUUUAAUAU
This 88827-nucleotide long non-coding RNA is filed under the name Ananas comosus (pineapple). RNAcentral describes it as "long non-coding RNA (ACOM_LNC028429)". The record is from RNAcentral. Lineage: Eukaryota; Viridiplantae; Streptophyta; Magnoliopsida; Poales; Bromeliaceae.